GGUGUUUGCAAAUUAGGCCAAAAGAACCAAGCUUUGGCCUUGAUGAAUGAAAUGGUGGAGCAGAACAUAUCACCUGAUGUUUAUACCUUCAAUGUAUUGAUUGACGCUCUUUGUAAGGAUGGAAUGGUUUCAGAGGCUCAAAAUACAUUCAAUAUAAUGAUUCAAAGAGGUGUAGAGCCUAAUGUGGUCACCUACACUUCCUUAAUUGAUGGUCUUUGCAUUUCAGACCAAUUCAAGGAAGCUUUUGCCUUGUUGAAAGAAAUGGUGGGGAGGAACAUAUCCCCUAAUGUUUUUACCUUCAAUAUAUUGAUCGACACUCUUUGUAAGAAAGGACUGGUUUCAAAUGCACAGAUUAUAAUCAAAAUAAUGAUUCAAAGAGGUGUGGAGCCUAAUACUGUCAAUUAUAAUUCAUUGAUGGAUGGUUAUUGUCUUUGCAAGCAAAUUGAUAAGGCUAGAAAGCUAUUUGAUCUGAUGGUGACCAAUGAAAUAGCUGACAUUUUUAGCUACAGCAUUUUGAUCAAUGGAUAUUGUAAGUGCAAAAUGAUAGAUGAUGCAAAGGAUAUUUUUGUUGAAAUGUCUCAUAAAGGUUUAGUUCCUGAUGCUGUUACUUAUCAUACUCUUAUAAAGGGUAUGUUUCAAGCAGGAAGGCCCCAAAAUGCAAAAGAGCUCUUUAGGAAUAUGUGCUCUCAUGGUCAACAGCCAAAUAUAGUAACCUUCUCAAUUAUGAUUAAUGGCUUGUGUAGUCAGGGGAAUCUGGAUGAAGCACUCACCCUAUUGAAAGAAAUGGAGGAAAGUCGGUUGAAGCCUGAUCUUGUGACCUAUUGCAUUCUGAUCAAUGGUAUGUGCAAAGUUGGGAAGAUUAAUGAUGCCAAGGAACUUUUUUCUAGUCUUUUUGAAAUUGGUUUACAACCUGAUGUUUAUGUAUAUAAUGCAAUUAUGAAAGGACUCUGCCAACAAGGACUAAUGGACGAAGCGUAUAAGGUAUUUAGAGACAUGGAAAAGGGAGGAUGUUUACCGAAUAAUUGUUGUUAUAAUAUCAUCAUUCAAGGGUUUCUCAAGCAUGAGGAUUUACCAAAAGCAUCAGAACUAAUCAACGAAAUGGUUGAUAAGGGGUUCUCUGCUGAUGAUGCUAACACAGCAUUGGUAGUACAUUUAUCGCGGAAUAAUGAUCUCAUUCUGAGGCUUUUAAAGGUGCGCAAUGAGGGAUCAGCAAACUAAAGUUGUUAUAUCUUGACCAUUCAAGUUGUCUUGGAGCGCAACUUGGUAAUUACCUUUUUCAAAUAUAAUAGAUAUGUAAUUUAACUAACUUCUUCAAAUAUCAUUUUUAAUUUCAAUCAGCUGUGAUUCUCUUCCACAAAAUAAAAAUUUCUAACACGGCAAAUGACCUGUGGUGGAAACCAUGACAUGUGUGUGCCUUUCGCUUGAAUUCAGACAUGGACUUGAUCUCUUUGAGAUAAGAUUGUUGAUGAAUGGAGGUCAUGGAUUUCUAAUGAUCAAGUUGCUGGUAAACCCACCAUCUCCUUACAAUUUUUUAUUGGCUGCUACUACAGCCUCAACUGGAGAGCUCAGUCCUAAAAUUGAGUUGAGAACUAAAACUAAUUGGUUCCAUACUACAAUGCUUAAGAAUCUUUAUCUAUUUUUAUUUUUGUGCUCAAUGACCUUUUAAAAUGCUAUCAUUUCUCUUGUAGGUACUUGCAAGGAUAUGAUUACAACUUCACCUUUCUAACAAUAAAAAAGGUCUAAGCAAUUCUUUUUUGCUUAAUUAUUAUUCUAUUUUUAAUAAUUUUGAAAAUAAUGAUUAUAAAUCAGUGUGCUUUAAUUGAGAAUUGAUUUAACAAUUAGACUACACUAUAAAUGCAGGGUGCAGGAUAUACGGUCCCAGAGUACAAGGUAAGAGAAUCACUACACAUCUACAGCUGUUGGUUGGAUGAAAUGUCACUAAAAUUAUACACAACCGAAAAUGUUAUGGGAAUUGGGGAAAGGCAAACAUCCUCUUUGUNNNNNNNNNNNNNNNNNNNNNNNNNNNNNNNNNNNNNNNNNNNNNNNNNNNNNNNNNNNNNNNNNNNNNNNNNNNNNNNNNNNNNNNNNNNNNNNNNNNNNNNNNNNNNNNNNNNNNNNNNNNNNNNNNNNNNNNNNNNNNNNNNNNNNNNNNNNNNAUAUAUAUAUAUAUAUAUAUAUAGAUCCUUAAUUUCUUUUAUUUUCCUUCAAGUCAAAUUAGUGAAAUCAUUGCAUUAGCAUCUAAUAAUAUGAAGUUCACAAUCUUUUCCAAUGAAAUCAAUUUUUUAACAUGAAAAUUUGAAUUUUAGAAAUGUUUGUGGAAGGUAUAUAUAUUCUUCCCUUCGAGAUUCUUUAUUUUGUGCCAAGUUGAUUGGAUGUACUGUUUGAAAUGUUAGUUAAGUUAGGCAAGAAAAGUUGUUUUGGUUGUUUCUUUUCUCCUUUCAGCAGUAUAUAAUGAGACAUCUUAUGUUUUUACCACUUUCUAAUAUACUACUCAAUAAAAUUUUCUUUGGGCUCUUGUUUGUACAUGGUAUUUUUCUUUUUGCUUGAUGAUUCUUGAAGUUUUUGUGACUGCAUCCAUGGGAAUUGGUUUGUUAGGGAAGGUGGGGCUGACAGGGUACAUAUUGAGAGGUAGGAAACCAAUUGCAAAAUGAUUCAGAUCCUUUUACUCUUCAAAACUCAGAUAAUCCAAGUAGAAUUCUCAUAUCUGCACCGUUAAAUUAAGUAUAAAGAAUAUAUAGUUAAAAAGAUAAAUCUAUUUAUAUCCAUUUAAUUUUAAUUUUUUUUUAUCCGUUUGUAAAUUUAUUUUUUUUAUAGUGCUAGAGGUUUAAUAAGUUGGAGAGAGCAGGGCUCACAGCAGCCUCACUCUCUUGUAACCAUUCAAAGACUCGAGUCAUAUCAGUGGCGUUAAUAGCAUCUCUUGAUAUGUCACCUCUCUAGAAAAUUUGAACCCAUCCUAAAAAAAAAAGCAAGCAAACCACCGCACUUUCAGUGGCCGGAAGAGUGAUAUCACAUCUAUGAAUUGACUUAAACCAAGACUGGUCUUUAAAAUACUCUCACCAUGAAGCUCUAAAUUUACAACUGCAAAAGUAAAAAUAGAAAAACACAAUAUUUUCACCCCAGCCAUAGAGACAAGGAGAGUAAACCCAUAUCCAAGACUCGAGGAAGCCAUCCCUUAAAAGGAACAGGGAACGGUUGCAGGACUAACCAUUAGUAGAGAAACAAGGUUUGCCCUCAGAAGUAAACAGGCAGAGAUAAAGCACUCUCUCUUUAACUUUCACGGCUCUUAUUCAAAAAUUUGAUUUCAAAUUAUAAAAAUAUGCUUUUAUAUUAUAGCAAUUCUUAUCUAAACCAGCUUAACAUUAACUUAAAAUAUAAAUAUAUAAGAUUUUUCUUACAUUAGGUUUACAUAACUAUUUUUUUAUAUAUUAAAUAUACCCUUAAUUAAAAUGAUUUUUUUUCUAUUACAUGAAAAUAUAUUUGCACCUAUUUUCAAAUAAAACUUUAAUAUAAUUAAAAUAAACUAUGUUUGCCUUUGGUUAACAUACCAUUCACUCAUAUUACUCCUUAAAUAUUAAAGAACUCAUACUAUUAGAAGAUUUUUAAAAUCAGUAAAUUUUACUUUUUUUCAAUAGAUAUUAAAUAGAAUAUAUUAAUAAACUAAUAAAUAAAUCAUCAUAUACAAGUUCAUAUAAUUUAACAUUACACUGCUGAUUGCAACUACUUAGCUCCAUAACGCCAUUCUCUAAAACCCCAACUCUCACACCCAACCCUCUGCAAUAAACACAGAAACAAAACCUCAUCUCUCUCUCUCUCUCUCCCCUCAAAAGAAAAUCAAUAUAUAAUAUGUAAGUGAUCAAGUGAUUGAUUAUGGACAUCAUAGAUCUAACAGAAAAUUAUACCUUGCAAUUCACCCCCACAAAAAUAUUUUCCCGGCAAAGAACGAUCAUUCGAGCCGCUGUGUAUUCGAGCUCUCCAAUGACCACAGCUUGAAGUUACUUCAUUGUCUUGUUAGUGAAUGAUCAAGUAAUUCUUGAGAAGCAUUACCUCUUCUGGUUGGUAUUAAUUUUGUUGAGAAGCAAGCCAGGCAUCUCAUCAAUAAUGGCGAUUUACGCUUAUAGGAACGCGCUGAGCAGCUUCGCUACUGUUUCCGAACCAUUCACUGUUAUAAGAAGACCAAAGAGAAAGUCCACUUUUGUAUGAUAAGCUGUCAAUGAGAAAAUGAUCCUGAAUUCCUAUUCGUUGCCUCGGUGUGCUCAUCGACCUCGCCUUUGCCUUUGCAGAUUCUGUUGCAGCCAUGUAAGUUGGGAAAACAGGAGAAUUCAGUGCAGAACUGUCAUCUCCUGUAGUAUUCCGUUGUGUCCGACAAAAUGAUCUUCUUGGAAAUGACACUGGUGAACUCAAUGCUUCUAUGUUAUCUCGUUUCCGUGAACUCAUUUUCACUUGUGUUGUACCAAAUAUGUCACUUGCUUUCAGAUUCUCUAUCCGUUCUCUAGCCAAUUCUUCCAGCCAGUGUCUCUGUCUAUCAGGUUCAUUCUUGGCUAUUGAUUCUUCCAGUACAUAGAUAAGAAAGUAAAAAAGAGAUGUUUUUUUAAGAAUAUAAUCUUCGUUAUAUUAAUCUUCACAGUACACACAUGAUUUAAAUAAGAGAAUUGAUAACUAAAGUUGCCUAUUGAAUAGGAGAGAAUAAUGGAAAAAUAUCAUCAGUAAGUGAAUGAAUCACCCUAAGAAUCCUAAUCACAAGACUCAUUCAAUUGUAUAAUAUUUACAAAAUUAACACUUAUCACUCCAAUACUCAAGCCUUAGCACAGCAGCCUUAUUACUCCUGAGAGGUGGAACCAUUCUUAUGACUCCCUGAACUAGUAUCCCCCCUCAAAUUGUGUCCAGAAUGGAGACAGAGUUUGCGUCGAAAUUGUGCUAGACGAGUUUUUGUCAUUGACUUUGUAAAUAUAUCAGCAACUUGAUAUGCUGAGGGAAUGUAUCUCGUGAUCAGAACUCCUUGAGCAACGCGUUCUCUGACAUAGUCUAUAAAUCUUGAUUUUGGAUCAGUUACCAACACUCAAUAAAGUCUAUAAAUCUAUAUGCAGCCACUGAGUGUGUUGAUGGACAAGCAACUGCAAUUGGUCCUACUAGGGAUUGGAAUGCUAAUUUAGCUUCAGGUAUUUAACAGGACUUUUUGUCCAAAUGUAUUUAUGAACAAGUUCAUAAAAGGCAGGUUAGCUCUAUAUAUAACACAAGUAUAAUCUUGCAAUAUACUUGAUAAAAUUUUCUUUGAGCUGUUAUUUACACACCACCUGCAGUAGGUAUCCAGUCUUAAAUUAGUUAGAUAUUCAAUAAAAGGACUUUUUAUAUGAUUCCAAUAAUUCUCUACAUAAUAUGUUCCUUAAAACAAAAUUUGAUUCAAUUUAUUUUAACACCAUAAUUCUUUAUAAAAAAAAUAGCUACAAAAUUUCUUACAGUUAGUAAUUUAAUGGUCAUGGUCAGUAAACGGUCAGUAACUUAUUUUACAAAUCACUUUUUCCAUAAUUUGAUCAGUUAACAUGAUUUCUUCUGGUGCGUUAUUAUUUAUAAAUACUAAUAAUUACAUUGUAAAAUUUAUAAUUUAUUUUUAUUAAUAUAAUUUAUUUAAUUAAUUUAUAAUAUAAUAUUUUAAUUUACAUUUAAAAUUCACAUGUUCACGUCUAUUUUAAUGGAUUAAAAAAUUAUACAAAUAUAUAUUAUUUAAAAUAUUUCAAUUUAAUUUGUUCGAUUAAUUUACUAUUUUAAUUUAAUUUAUGUUCUAUUAACAAAUAUAAUAUUAAACUUUUAAUAGAUUAAAUAUUUUAUUAAAACUAUUAUAUGUUUUAAUAAUUUACUUAUAUUAAGGUUAGUAAUUAGAUAUAUUUGUCUAUACUAUAAAAUCUCAAUAUCAUACAAUACAUUAUUAAUAAAUAUACUACAUAAUUAGUUCAGGCGAGAAAGUGGGCAACAUGCUACAAACUAUAAUUCUUGCUAAGAAUUAGAAUUAAAUUAAAUUUGUAAUACUUUAAUAUAAAGAAAAACUAUAGUUCUUACUAAGAAUUAGAACCAAAUCAAAUUUUUAAUACUUUAAUGCAUUUCAAACUAAAUUUCGGUAUAGUUCUAAUACGAUUCUAAGUAAUUUUAGUACUAUCUCAAUUUGAUUUUAAUUUUUUUAUUUUAAUUUUAUUUCAAUUUAAAUUUUAAUUUUUACAAAUAAAAUCAUAAUAGCUUUUACGCAUAUUUUNNNNNUACAACUCUUGAUAAGAAUAUUUUAUUAUUUUAUGUAGUUAUUAAUUAUAUAAUUUUAAUUAAAAAAUGUAUGAAAUUAAUAUAUAAAUAUAUAUUAUAUUACUAAUAAUACAUUUAUAAUUGAUAUAAAAAAAGGAUGUAUAUAUCAUUCGAGUAUAAUAAUUUUUUAAAAAAUAUAUAUAUGUUAAUGAUAAUUUUAUUAAAUAACAGAUAUUAGCAAAUAUAAUAAAAAUUUGAAUAUUUCAAUUACAGUAAAAAAAUCAACUAAAAUGAUACAUUUUCUUAAUUUUAUUUUAUUAUAAUUUUUUUAUAACUUUGAUUAAAUAUAUUCAUAUAAUAAUGUGAUAUUAAGAUAAUAGGAGCCCAAAUUUAAUAGUCUAUUUGCAAUAAUAAUAAUAAUAUAUAAAAAAAUUAAUAAAGAGAUGAAAAAAUAACGGUAAAAUAUUGUUUAGUUUAUGAAAGUGUUAAAUUUGGUUGUGGAUAAAUAGAGUGGUUUAUUGAAGAUUUUGAAAUCAAAUGGACAUUCAAAGCCGCAAUAUAAAGAUUUAUUUGGCUUUAAAGAGAGAUAAAUCAACGUCAAUCAGACUGUGUAUCUUACUAGAGGUUCUUGUAUCCCACUUCUGAUUAGAUUGAUAAGAGAAUAAGAGACAGCUGAGGUUCAAGAGGUGAUUUGUUCAGAUCACAUGGGCAACUCAUACAAAAUUAAAUAUAAAAGGAAGUUUUUUCUUAGAAAUCUGAUAUAUUUUUCUAUGCUACAAAAUCUCAGUACAAGCGAGAUAGUGGGCAACAUGCUAAAAUAAAAAGCUAUAGUUCUGAUACUUUUAUCAUCAGAUUUUACUACAAUAUAUUUUAAUCUAUUAGUAAUUUUAACAGAUUUAUUAAAAAUUUUGAAAAUCCUUCAAUAAUUCUUAAUAUAAAACAUUAUAUAAAAAUUCACCAAUAGAUUUGAAAUCUGUUGGUAAUCUACUAGUAUUACUAACAAAUUUAAAAAUUUAUUGGAAAUUUAUAAAUUUAUAAAAUAAUUGGUAUUGAUAUUUAUCAACAGACUUAAAAUUUAUUAGUAAAUCAUUAACAAUUUUAAUCUGUUAGUAAAUUUAGGGGUGGAAAUGAAACAAACCGUUUGUGACCGUUUGUGAGCUAUUCGAGAUUCGACUCGAUAAAAACUUGACCGAACUCGACUCGAUUUCUAAACGAUUCAAACUCGAACUUAAUUUUUAGGCUUGUUUAGUAAACAAGGCAAACUUAAACCAUAUAGUGUCUUGUUAAGACUCGUGAGCUCGACUUGCGUUCGAAUUUAUGAGCAGACUGGUGAAUAGUCUCGUUAAGCAGACUGAAAUUAAUAUCAUAAGAGAAAUAAAUUUAACUCCUGCAUAUAUUUUCAUGAGGCAAAUCUAAAUUUUAUAAAAUUCAAUUCUAUAUUAUUUAAUUAUACUAUUAAAACUUGCAUAUUUGGAUUAUUAAGAGCUCAUUUUUAUAAGUUUAUAAGCUAAUUUUUAUAUGUGAAAGUCAGCUGCUUGCUUGAUGUGGGACGUCCCACAUCGGCGAAGUACAAAAAAUCAAAAUUGUAUAUAAUAAUUAGUAUGAAACUACUAAAUAACUUGAGUUAACCAUUUUGAGUUAGGUGGAAACUGAAUUCCAAGUUAUUUGGGUCAAAACUACCCCUGAGUCAGAGCUAGUGGCCCUGUCACAAUACCGAAGUUGAGCUUAUUAAUACUUAACUCGUCUAAAUUCAGUUCGAGUUCGAAAUGAGUAAAACUCGAGUUUGGCUUGAACUUAAAAAAAUUUUAACGAACUAAAUUUGAACUCUUCAAAUCUCAGCUCUACUCGUCGUUUACACCCUAAGUAAAAUUUUAAAAGUGUUUAAACUACUAACGGAUUUAAAAAUCCGUUACUAAAUAUUAUCAUCAAAUUAAUAAGUAUUAAAUUUAUUAACGGAUGCUAUCCACUAAUAAAUCUUUUAAUAAAUUUAAAAUAAAAUCCUACAAAAAAUUUCUGCAUUCUUUUUUUAUAACUCAUAUUUUUCAAAUUUUAAAUCCAUUGGUAAUUUUUUGAGAGAAAAAAAAAAAUUUUUUUUCAAAAUUUAGUAACGAGUCGUAAAUUUAUUAGUAAUUCACGUUUAUAAAUAUAACACAAACUCCUCUACUUUUAUCAUUCAUUCAUUUUAUAUCAUCCACCUUUCUUUCAUUUUUUUCACUUUCUCUCAUUUUCUUUUUUUCUAUUACAUUCUUUCAUUUUAUUUUUUUAUCUCAUAAUUUUUUUUUAUUUUUCUAUUAUUUUUCUUUCCUCUCUUAUCCUAUUUUCUCAUGGUUCUCUUUUAUCUUCUAUUAUUUUUUUCAUUCUUCAUAAUUUUCCUUUCAUUUUCUCCCUUUUCUUUUCCAUAUUUUUUUUUUCCUUUCCUCUCUAUACUUUUCAUUCAUAUUAGUUUUUUUAAUAUUAUUUUCUUCUAUUAUUUUCUUUCUAUUUACAUUUUUUCUAUUAUUUUCUCUUUAUUUAUUUUCUUCUCUAAGCAUUUGUUCACUUUUUUUCAUUUUUCUAAUCAUCUUUUUACUCAACUCUCAUUCAUUCUUUUUUUUCAUAAUUUUUAUUUUUCUAUUAUUUUCUUUAUUUUUCUCUUUUUUCUUUAUUUUUUAUUAUUUUCUCUCAUUUUAUACCAUUUAUUUUUUUAUUUUCACUUUUUUAGAUAUAAAUUAAAAACUUGGUAACAAUAAUAAUAUAAUUUUAAGUCUUAUUAAAUUAAUAAAAAAUUAUUUAAACUCUCAAUAGAUAUAUUAAUGAAUUGCAAUUCAUUGAUAAUUGACUAACAGAUUUCACAUCUGUUAAUAAAUUAUUUUUCUCUUAUACUAACGAAUUUAAAAUUUAUUAAUAAUUUAAAAUCUAUUAGUAAUAAUAGCGGGAAUUCCAUUAGUAAAUCCACUAGUUUACUGACGAAAUUAAAAACUGUUGGUAAAAAUUUAAUACCGACAUUUUAAUAACGGAUCGUAAUCUAUUAGAAAUCCCUUAUUAAUUAAUUUACCAACGAAUUUUUAUUAGAUUGCUAAUGGAAAAAUCAAUGCAUUAUUAAUAUAAAUUAAGAAGUUGAUUCUUAUCUUUACAAUAAGAUAUCUUUUAAACUCUUAAAAAUUUUGAAGCUAAAAUUGAAGAAACAUUCAUGACGUUAUAUUUUUCAUUUCAUGCAAGAUGAUAUCUGUUAUUGGAAUGCAUAUGAUUAUUUUAUUGAUAUAAAAUAAGUAUAAAGAAUAUACAAUUAAAAAGAUAAUUAUACUUAUCGAUCCGUUCGUAUCAUUUAAUUUUACUGUCUCUUUAUAAAUCUAUUUAUAUCCAUUUAAUUUUAAUCUCAUAUAGGUAAAUUAUAAGAGAUGAAGAGUUCUCCUUCCUUCCCUAUAAAAAGAGAAGGCCUCUCUUCCCUUCAAUAUUAGUACCUGAUUUUUUAUAAUUUAUAAUAUAAUAUACUAUAUAUUAAAUGUAUAGAAAUAAUUUAAUUAUUAUAAAUUUAAGUUAAUAUUAUUAAUAAUAAAAUAAAAUAAUAAAUAAAAUUUAAAAUGCAAAAUAUAUUUAGUGAGUUUAACAUUUCAAAAUUUUAUUAUUUUGAAAUAAUUUUAUAUNNNNNNNNNNNNNNNNNNNNNNNNNNNNNNNNNNNNNNNNNNNNNNNNNNNNNNNNNNNNNNNNNNNNNNNNNNNNNNNNNNNNNNNNNNNNNNNNNNNNNNNNNNNNNNNNNNNNNNNNNNNNNNNNNNNNNNNNNNNNNNNNNNNNNNNNNNNNNNNNNNNNNNNNNNNNNNNNNNNNNNNNNUUUUUUCCUCAUCUAUAUUAUAUACAAUUAGACUAUAAUAAUAUUUUUAAAAAUAUACAUUGAUAAUUAUUUAUUCAAUAAGGAAUAUUAUUUAAUAAAAUAAAAAAUCAAUAUUCUACAAUUAUAUUUAUAAUAUUUUAUUUAAAAAUAUAAAGUUAACAAAAUUAAUUAAUUUUCAAAUAAAUUUAAUUAAAUAUAAGGUACGGUUAUAAUAAAAUAUUAUUUUUAUGAAAAUCAAUUUAAUUAAUUCUCUAUAUUUUUAUUAAGAAUCAAAUAAAUUUAAUUUAAAAUUUUUAAAACUUUAAGCUAAUUAAACUAUAUAAUUUUAUUAAAGGCUAAAUAGAUUCUAACUUAAAAUGAUUUUUUAAUAAUAAAAUAUUAUUUUUAUAAUUUAAAAUAUUAAAAUUUAAUAUUUUAAUUAUCAUAAAAUUUUUAAAAAUAUAUAAAUAUAAUAAAUAAUUUUUAAAAUUAUAAAAAAAAAAGUUUUAUCAUAUAAAAAUUUUUAUUAUUAAAAAAUAAUAUUAUGUUAGAUUAUGAUUUAUUUGACUUUUGAGUAAUAAUAUAGAGAUUUAAUUUAUUUAAAAUUUUGAAUUAAAAUUAUUUAACUCUUCAAUAAAAGUAGAGACUUAAUUGCAUUUAUAUUUAUAAAAUUAUUAUUAUAAAAUGAUAAAUUUAAUUUGUUAUUAAAUAAUAUUUUUAUAUGAAAAAUUAAUUAAAAAAAUUACAAAAUGUGGCGCAUAUAAACAAUUCCCAAUUUCCUUUUGUUAUCCUUACCACAUUACCAGCAGGCAGAGAGCCUUCCUUUUCCGAUUCUCUAUUUCCGUUUCUCAUUCCCAAUCUCCGAUCCAUCCCUAAAAACGACUGACAAGAGAUCGAUGAUGAUGAAGAUGCCUUGGAGGAGGAAGAGCAGGAGCUUCCAUCUUCAGCUACAAGGGGCAAUUGGUACCAUUCAAUCUCCAUUCCUAUUCUUAUUUACCAAUUAUUGUCAUUCUUCUACUUCCACACUUGAAGAUGCACGCUUCUUGACAAAUAACUUCAAAUCUGCUUCUUUUACCCACCUUGAUGAUGCCAUUGCUUCCUUCAAUCAUGUAAUUCAUAAGCAUCCUCUGCCUUCUAGGGUUCCAUUUAAUAGAUUCUUAUCUGCCCUUGUGAAAAUGAAACAAUAUCACACUGUCCUUUCCAUGUCCAAAACAAUUGAAUUGCUAGGAAUCUCUCACGAUGUUUAUUCUCUUAGCAUAUUAAUUAAUUGCUUCUGCCAUUUACACAUUGUGGAUUUUGGCUUCUCUGUUUUUGGUAAGAUGCUCAAAUUCGGAUUGGAGCCUACCACUGUGACGUUUACUACCUUAAUUAAUGGGCUUUGUAUGGAGAGUAAAAUCCAUAAAGCAGUGGAAUUUUUCGAUGAUAUGGUUGCACGUGGUUAUCAACCUAAUGUUCGUACUUUCAAUGUGAUAGUAAACGGAUUGUGUAAAUUUGGGAAAACAAACGUGGCUAUUGGGCUACUAAAGGGAAUGGCUGAUAGAGGUUGUGAGCCAAAUGUUGUGACAUACAAUGCAAUCAUUGACGCACUUUGCAAGGAUGAGCUAGUUGGUGAAGCUUUAGAGCUCUUCUCUCAAAUGAGGAAUAAGGGCAUUUCACCUGAUGUCAUCACUUACACUAGUUUAAUUCAUAGUGUUUGCAAAUUAGGCCAAAAGAACCAAGCUUUGGCCUUGAUGAAUGAAAUGGUUGAGUGGAACAUAUUACCAAAUGUUUAUACCUUCAAUGUAUUGAUUGAUGCUCUUUGUAAGGAUGGAAUGGUUUCAGAGUCUCAAAAUACAUUCAAUGUAAUGAUUCAAAGAGGUGUAGAGCCUGAUGUGGUCACAUACAAUUCCUUAAUUGAUGGUCUUUGCAUUUCAGACCAAUUCAAGGAAGCUUUGGCCUUGUUGAAACAAAUGGUGGGGAGGAAUAUAUCCCCUGAUGUUUUUACCUUCAAUAUAUUGAUCGACACUCUUUGUAAGAAAGGACUGGUUUCAAAUGCACAGAAUAUAAUCAAAAUAAUGAUUCAAAGAGGUGUGGAACCUGAUGUUGUCACUUAUAAUUCAUUGAUGGAUGGAUAUUGUCUAUGCAAGCAAAUUGAUAAGGCUAGAAAGGUAUUUGAUCUGAUGGUGACCAAUGAAAUAGCUGACAUUUUAGGCUACAGCAUUUUGAUCAAUGGAUAUUGUAAGUGCAAAAUGAUAGAUGAUGCAGAGGAACUUUUUGAUGAAAUGUCUCAUAAAGGUUUAGUUCCUAAUGUUGUUACUUAUCAUACUCUUAUAAAGGGUAUGUUUCAAGCAGGGAGGCCCCAAAAUGCAAAAGAGCUUUUUAAGGAUAUGUGCUCUCAUGGUCAACAGCCAGAUAUAGUAACCUUCUCAAUUAUGAUUGAUGGCUUGUGUAGACAGGGGAAUCUCGAUGAGGCACUCGCACUAUUGAAAGCAAUGGAGAAAAGUCGGUUGAAGCCUAAUGUUGUGAUCUAUAGCAGUCUGAUCAAUGGUAUGUGCAAAGUUGGGAAGAUUAAUGAUGCCAAGGAACUAUUUUCUAGUCUUUUUGAAAUUGGUUUACAACCUGAUGUUUAUGUAUAUAGCGCAAUUAUGAAAGGACUCUGCCAACAGGGAUUAAUGGAUGAAGCGUAUAAGGUAUUUAAAGACAUGGAAAAGGUAGGAUGUUUACCAAAUAAUUGUUGUUAUAAUAUCAUCAUUCAAGGGUUUCUCAAGCAUGAGGAUUUACCAAAAGCAUCAGAACUAAUCAACGAAAUGGUUGAUAAGGGGUUCUCUGCUGAUGCUGCUACCACAGAAUUGGUAGUACAUUUAUUGCGGAAUAAUGAUCUCAUUCUGAGGCUUUUAAAGGCGCGCAACUAGGGAUUAGCAAACUAAAGUUGUUAUAUCUUGACCAUUCAAGUGUAUCUUGGAGCGCAACUUGGUAAUUACCUUUUUCAAAUAUAAUAGAUAUGUAAUUUAACUGACUUCCUCAAAUAUCAUUUUUAAUUUCAAUCAGCUGUGAUUCUCUUUCACAAAAUGAAAAUUUCUAACACCGCAAAUGACCUGUGGUGGAAACCAUGAUAUGUGUGUGCCUUUCGCUUGAAUUCAGAUAUGGACUUGAUCUCUUUGAUAUAAGAUUGUUGGAGAAUGGAGGUCAUGGAUUACUAAUGAUCAAGUUGCUGGUAAACCCACCAUCUCCUUUACAAUUUUAUUUUUGGUUGCUACUACAGCCUUAACUCGAGAGCUCAGUCCUAAAAUUGAGUUGAGAACUAAAACUAAUUGGUUUCAUACUACAAUGCUUAACAAUCUUUAUCUAUUAUUAUUUUUGUGCUCAAUGACCUUUUAAAAUGCUAUCAUUUCUCUUGUAGGUACUUGCAAGGAUAUGAUUAGAACUUCACCUUUUUAACAAUAAAGGUGUAAGCAAUUCUUUUUGCUGAAUUAUUAUAUUUUUAAUAAUAAUGAAAAUAAUGAUUAUAAACCAGUGUGCUUUAAUUGAGAAUUGAUUUAACAAUUAGACUACCCUAUAAAUGCAGGGUGCAAGAUACAGUACCAGAGUACAAGGUAAGAGAAUCACUAGACUUCUACGGCUGUUGGUUGGAAUAAAUGUCACUAAAAGUAUAGACAACAGAAAAUGUUAUGGGAAUUGAGGGAAAAGCAAAAAAAGACUAUGAAAAUCAGACAUAUGCAGCCACUGAGACAAGCAACUGCAAUUGGUCCUACUAGAGAUUGAAAUGCUAGUUUAGCUUCAGCUAUUUAACAGGACUUUUUGUCCAAAUUUAUUUAUGAACAAGUUCAUAAAAGGCAGGAUAGCUCUAUAUAUAACUCAGCUAUAAUCAAAGAAGGUGGCAGGAAAAAUGUCAAUACAAUGAAACUUCAUCUGAUUAAAUGGAAUACUCUUUGGUUGCCUAAAAAGAAUGGAGGCUUAGGCAUGAAAGAGAUCUGUCUUCAAAUUCAAGCUCUUUUGUUCAAAUGGCUUUGGAGAUUUGGAAAUCAUAGGGAUUCACUCUGAGUUCAACUUCUUCUAUCCAAAUAUUCUUUCAAUUUGGAGAAGGGUAUCUCUCUUGCUCCAGGAAAUUGCAUUUCUUCCCUUCAGAAAGACAUUCGAGGGUAUGCUACUUUCGAUGAACUCUUUCUCCUCUCCUUGAAUUCAUAUCAGAUUUGCUGUGGGGAAUGAGAUGAAAAUGAAAUUUUGGAAUGAGAGACGAUCGGUUGGUAAUAUUGCUCUCAAAUUCUCCUUUAGCAGACUAUUAAAUUUAGCUGCUAACCUAGAUGUGUUGAUGUUAAAUACGGGCUGUUGGGUGAAGAGCAAAUGGGAAUGGGAAAUAAUUGAAUUGUCAAUAUUAUACUUAAUCUUUUAUAUUAUUUCUAAUAAUAUAUUUUAUUAUUUAAAUAAAUUUAUUUUAGAGUUUUUAUGAAUUUAAAAUUUUAAGUUCCAUAAAUAAAUGUGGCAAUAUUUAUGUAAGAUUGUAAAUUCAAUAUUUUUUAAAAAGGUAGUUUUAGAAAAAAUAAAAUCGAUUUUGUAAACAACUUUUAAAAAAUGGAAAACCCAAUUACUUUAAAAAUAUCCAUUUCCAUAUAAAUUUAAUUAAAAAAUAAAUAUUUGCUUCUUUUUUUUUUAACUUUCAUUCCCCAUUAUUAUUUAUAAAUACUAAUAAUUACAUUGUAAAAUUUAUAAUUUAUUUUUAUUAAUAUAAUUUAUUUAAUUAAUUUAUGAUAUAAUAUUUUAAUUUGCAUAUAAAAUCCACAUGUUCACUACUAUUUUAAUGGAUUAAAAAACUAUAUAAAUAUACAUUAUUUAAAAUAUUUGAAUUUGAUUUGUUCAAUUAAUUUACUAUUUUAAUUUAAUUUAUGUUCUAUUAACAAAUAUAAUAUUAAAAUUUUCAUAGAUUGAGUAUUUUAUUAAAACUAUUAUAUAUUUUAAUAAUUUACUUAUAUUAAGACUAUUAUUAAUUAUUAAAAUUCUAAUACUAUUAAAAUAAAAAAUUUUAUUUUUUUUAAUAAGAGUACAGUUUUGUGAAUAAUAUUUUUUAUAUAUUAAAAUAAAAUUAUAAAUAAAAUAAUUAAAAAUAAAUAUUAUACAUGUUAAAAAAUUAAUAAUUAUUAAAAUUUGAAUAAUUAAUAUUAUUAAAAUACAAAUGGAAUUUAUAAAUAAUUAAUUUAGUGUGAAUAUUUCAUAUAAUUUGUGAUAAUCUAUCCCAUUUCAAACUCCUAACAAAAAAAUCUACUGACCUAUAAACUAAAUCUGCCAUCUUAAGAAACUUAAAACCAUAAAACCAAGAAAUUUUAUUUAUUCUCAGAAUUAUAAACUUAACCAUCACUUAAUUACCAUAUUUACCGAUUAACAUUAAUAAAUUAAAAUGAAAAUAAUUACAUAAUUAAUAAAAAUUCUUCUUCACUGCUUUAAUUUGCAAUUUUUUUUAAAACCAAUUAAUAAACUAAUCCAGCUAAAAAAUUUUAUUUAAUGCUAAAAAUCUAAAUUUUAUCAGAAAAAUCUAAUCUUUAUCCAUAUAUAUAAAUUGAAUCCCAAUUACUCUUCUCUCCUAUAAAAUUUCCUUUUGAGUUUUCUCACUCUCAAACAUUUUCUUAACUUAGAAAAUUUUAAUCAAUAAUGCCAUCGUGGAGAGCUUCUAACAUGAAAAUGGAUUCUCGCUCGAAAAUUUUAGGUCAACGACAUGUAACCAAGUCAUCUUUUUCCUACAAGUUACUUUCUAGUUCGACUGAUCAAAAAACUAAAAUACCGCAAAUUCAAAAGGGUUAUGUAGCAAUAUACGUGGGUGACGAGAGAAAGAGAUAUCAAGUUCUAAUAGAGAAUCUAGAGUUUUCGACAUUACAAGAACUUAUUAAACAGUCUCACGAUAGUGAUUUCGACUCCAAGAUUGAUGGACCAAUCGUGCUUACUUGCACUACUGAUAGGUUUGAUGAACUCCUGAAAUUUAUAAAUGGUUGACAUAUAAAACUUUAGAGAGUUUUAAAUAAUUAUUUUUUAUAUGUUUAAAUUACUAAUAAAUCCUUAUAUUUUAUCAAAAUUAGCUAUUUAAUCCCUAUUUUCAAAUCAUUAAAUUAAAACAUUUUGAAUUUUAUAAAGUCAAACUCUUUGAUAUUCUUAACGAAUAAAAUAUUAGUAAAUAUAUUUUUAAUUUUAAUUAGAAAAAUUAAAUUAUAUAUAUAAUUAAAAAAUAAAUAAAUAAUAUAAAAAUUUAUUUUAAUCGAAUAACAUAAAAAUAAAAAAUUAAAUAGUCAAUUUUGAUAAAAUAUAAUAACCAAAUAAUAAUUCAGACCCUUCAUGGCAAUUUCUCAGUAAUUUUAUCGAUUAUAUCUACCAUUUAUAUACCUCCUUUUUCAAGUUUUAUUUUUUCUAUCAUUGAUUUUUGUCAAUUUUUUAUUAUUUUAUCCGAUUUAAAUAAAUAACUUCUAUUUUAUUAUUUUAUUAAUUUUUUUAUUAUUAUUCUAAAGUUAUUGUUCACUUUCUUUCAUUAUAAUAAUAUAUAAUUGACUAUUAUAAUCUUAUUUAAUUUUAUAUUAUUUUCAAAUUAAUCUAUCAUUGAUUAUUAUUUUUUCAAAUAAGUAUUCAAAAUAUUUCUUAAUAUUUAAUAAAAUUUAAUAUUUUUAAAAUAGUAUAAUUGAAAAUUUUAUAAAAUAAAUUAUUUUUUAAUAUGUGUGAAAAAUUUAUAUUCAGAAAAUAAAUUUUUAUUAAAAAAUAAAUAAACUAUUAUAAUUAAAUCAUCAUUAUUUUCAUCUAUUUUUCACUCAUUAAAAUAUAUUUUUAAUGAUAUCAUUAUUAAUAUUUGUAAAUAUAUUUUUUAAUAUAAGUUAUCCAUCAAUUAUUUAUGAUUUAUUAUUGUAGAGUUGAUUUUUAAUUAUAUUUACUGUAAAAAAAAAAUCUUUUCACUAUUGUUAAAACAUGUAAAUUUAUAAAAAAAUUAUAAAAAUAAUAUAAUAUUUUAAUACAGGAUUUACUAUUAAAAUUUAUUUUUUUAAAAAAAAAAUUUAACUCAUUAAAAUUUAUUUUUGUAUAAUUUUAAUUUUAUAAAUAGAUUAAUAACAAAGUAAGAUAAAUAAAAAAAAUUAUAAUUUAAUAAUAAAAAUAGUAUUAUAAAAAUAAAUUAAAUAAUGAGUGAAUAACUUAAAAAAAAAAUUAAGUGGAGAUUUGAAUUUGAAAUCUUAAAAAUGAAAAGUAAAUUUUUUGAAUUGAAAAAUAAUAUAGAAGAUGAGAGAUUAAAUAAUAAAAAUUUCUUUGAUAAAUAUAUUAAAUAAUUUAAAAUUAUAAAAUAUAAUUAUAAUUUAAUUAAAUAAUUUUGAAAUAAGGUCGAAUUGGUAAAUUUUUAAAAUAUAUAAAAAUUUAAUAAUAAUUUUUCAUAUUUUAAGAAAAAUUAUCUAUACACCUUAAAAAAAUUUCAAAAAUUUCAAAAGGCUUAGGAGUCUGUCAAUGUGCACUAUCUUGCUAUUCGUUUGACACCAAACCCUUAGAUAAAGGUAAUAUAGAAAUUAAAACUUUAUUUAUUUCAUAAAAAAUAUUUUAUAAAAAAUAUUACACGUAUAGUUUUAAUAAUAAUAAAAAAAACAGCUAAUUUAGGGGUUAAGUGUCACUUUAUAAUUUUUGUGUUUUUAUUUUUCUAAAAACUAAUUAUAUAAAAAUAAAUAUAAAUUUUUUAUAUAAUAAUAAGAAAUAAUAUAAAUUUUUAAAAUAUGAUAUUUAAUAGCAAAAUAAUAAUUUUUAAAAUAAUAAAAUUUUAAAUUUUAUAAAAAAAUUCACUGAUUGCCCACAUAUAUAUAUAUAUAUAUAUAAAUUGAAUUCCAAUUACUCUUCUCUACUAUACAAUUUUUUUUCGAGUUUCUCACUCUUAAAUCUUUUAUUAAUUUAAAAAAAUUUUACCAAUAAUAUCAAGGCGGGAGCUUUUUAGCAGGAAAAUGAAAUCUCUUUUUAAGAUUUUAGACACCGUUAUACAAUUAAGUCAUAUUUUUCUUAUAAAUUACUCUCAAGUUUGACUAAUUAGAAAGCUAAAAUUCCACAAAUUUAAAUAGGCUAUGUAGCCAUAUACAUAAAUUUUGAAGGUAAGAGAUAUCAAAUUUCAGUAGUGAAUCUGAAGUUUCCAGUAUUACAAGAACUGAUUAAACAGUCUUAAAACAGUAAUCUCGACUCCAAGAUUGAUAACCAAUCGUACUUGCUUGCACUACUGACAAAUUUAAUGAACUACUGAAAUUUAUAGAGGUUAUCAUAUGAAACUUUAGAGAGUUUUAAAUAAUUCUUUUUUAUAUGUUUAAAUUACUAAUAAGUCCUUCCAUUUUAUUAAAAUUAAUCAUUCAAUCUCUAUUUCUAAAUUAUUCAUUUAAAAUAUUUUAAAUUUUAUAAACUCAAAUUCUUUAAUAUUUUUAUCUAAUAAAAUAUUAGUAAAUAUAUUUUUAGCUUUAAUUAGAAAAAAUUAAAUUAUAUAUAAUAUAAAAUUUUAUUUUAACCAAAUGACAAAAUUAAAAAAUUAAACGGUCAAUUUUGACAAAAUAUAAAAGUCAAAUAAUAAUCCACUCUUUUCUAUCUUAAAUUAAUUUUUUGGGUACUUCAUGGAAAAUUCUCAAUAAUAAUCUACUCUUUUAUAUAAAAAUAUUAAUAAAUUAUGUUUACACAACAUAUCAUAGAAAUUAGAUAAUAAAUUUUACUUAUAAAAAAAUUUAAAAUAUUUUUAAUACGGAUAAACUAAUUAAUAAAUAUUUUUAUAAAACUAAAAAAUUAAUUAAUAAAUUUUUAAUAUCAUAAAAACUAAAUAAUAAAAUGUUUAAUAAUUAAAACUAAUAAAAUGACUAAUUAAUAUAUUUUUUAAAAUUUAAAGGAUUUUUUAUUUUAUUUUUCAAAAUUAAUUAAUAAAUUUUUUUAUAUUAAAUAAUAAUUUUUUAUAAUAAUAAAAUAAAGAUAUAUUUUAUAAAUUAAUUAAAUAAAUAUUUAUUUAAUAAUAUGAAUUUGACUGAUGAAAUAAAAUUUUAAAAUUUUUAACGAUAAUUUAAUAAAAGUUAUAUAUAUAUAAAAAAAAAAAUCGCAAUGACAAUAAACAUAUUCUUAACUUUUCUCGUUAAUGGCACGUAUAUAACUAUUAAUAAUAUAAGGUUUUAAAGUGAAAAUACAUAUUUUCUCCAAAUGUCAUAUAGGAAAAAGAAGAAAUGAAAUAUCACUUAAAAUUAUUAUAAAUUAAUAAAUAAUAUAACUUAUAAAUUAUAUAAAUUUACUGUGAGUAGAAAUUGAACUUGUUAUGUAUUUAAUUAUUAUCAUAUUUUAAAUUUAUUAUACAAGAAAAUAAUAAUUUUUUAUUUAAUAAUAACUUUUAUUGUUAUUAAAUUUUUUUUAUCACUAUAUUAAUUAUUAUUAUAUAAAUUUAAUUUGUUAUUAAAUAAUAUUUUUAUAUGAAAAAUUAAUAAAAAAAAUACAAAAUGUGGUGCAUAUAAACAACUAGUAACGCAUUUCCUUUUGUUAUCCUUACCACUUUACCAGCUGGCAGAGAGCCUUCCUUUUCCGAUUCUCUAUUUCCUUUCCUCAUUCCCAAUCUCCGAUCCAUCCCUAAAAACAACUGAGGAGAGAUCGAUGAUGAUGAAGAUGCCUUGGAGGAGGAAGAGCAGGAGCUUCCAUCUUCAGCUACAAGGGGCAAUUGGUACCAUUCAAUCUCCAUUCCUUUUCUUAUUUACCAAUUAUUGCCAUUCUUCUACUUCCACACUUGAAGAUGCACGCUUCUUGACAAAUAACUUCAAAUCUGCUUCUUUUACCCACCUUGAUGAUGCCAUUGCUUCCUUCAAUCAUGUAAUUCAUAAGCAUCCUCUGCCUUCUAGGGUUCCAUUUAAUAGAUUCUUAUCUGCCCUUGUGAAAAUGAAACAAUAUCACACUGUCCUUUCCAUGUCCAAAACAAUUGAAUUGCUAGGAAUCUCACACGAUGUUUAUUCUCUUAGCAUCUUAAUUAAUUGCUUCUGCCAUUUACACCUUGUGGAUUUUGGCUUCUCUGUUUUUGGUAAGAUGCUCAAAUUGGGAUUGGAGCCUAACAUUGUGACAUUUACGACCUUAAUUAAUGGGCUUUGUAUAGAGAGUAAAAUCGACAAAGCAGUGGAAUUUUUCGAUGAUAUGGUUGCACGUGGUUAUCAACCUGAUGUUCGUACUUUCAAUGUGAUAGUAAACGGAAUGUGUAAAUUUGGGAAAACAAAUGUGGCUAUUGGGCUACUGAAGGGAAUGGCUGAUAGAGGUUGUGAGCCAGAUGUUGUGACAUACGGAGCAAUCAUUGACGCCCUUCGCAAGGAUGAGCUAGUUGGUGAGGCUUUAGAGCUCUUCUCUCAAAUGAGGAAUAAGGGCAUUUCACCUGAUGUCAUCACUUACACUGGUUUAAUUCACGGUGUUUGCAAAUUAGGCCAAAAGAACCAAGCUUUGGCCUUGAUGAAUGAAAUGGUGGAGCAAAACAUAUUACCAGAUGUUUAUACCUUCAAUGUAUUGAUUGACGCACUUUGUAAGGAUGGAAUGGUUGCAGAGGCUCAAAAUACAUUCAAUGUAAUGAUUCAAAGAGGUGUAGAGCCUGAUGUGGUCACCUACAAUUCCUUAAUUGAUGGUCUUUGCAUUUCAGACCAAUUCAAGGAAGCUUUGGCCUUGUUGAAAGAAAUGGUCGGGAGGAACAUAUCCCCUAGUGUUUUUACCUUCAAUAUAUUGAUCGACACUCUUUGUAAGAAAGGACUGGUUUCAAAUGCACAGAAAAUAAUCAAGAUAAUGAUUCAAAGAGGUGUGGAACCUGAUGUUGUCACUUAUAAUUCAUUGAUGGAUGGAUAUUGUCUGUACAGGGAAAUUGAUAAGGCUAGAAAGGUAUUUGAUCUGAUGGUGACCAAUGAAAUAGCUAACAUUUUUAGCUACAGCAUUUUGAUCAAUGGAUAUUGUAAGUGCAAAAUGAUAGAUGAUGCAAAGGAACUUUUUGAUGAAAUGUCUCUUAAAGGUUUAGUUCCUAAUGUUGUUACUUAUUCUACUCUUAUAGAGGGUAUGUUUCGAGCAGGGAGGCCCCAAAAUGCAAAAGAGCUUUUUAAGGAUAUGUGCUCUCAUGGUCAACAGCCAGAUAUAGUAACCUUCUCAAUUAUGAUUGAUUGCUUGUGUAGACAGGGGAAUCUCGAUGAGGCACUCACACUAUUGAAAGCAAUGGAGAAAUGUCAGUUGAAGCCUAAUGUUGUGAUCUAUAGCAGUCUGAUCAAUGGUAUGUGCAAAGUUGGGAAGAUUAAUGAUGCCAAGGAACUUUUUUCUAGUCUUUUUGAAAUUGGUUUACAACCUGAUGUUUAUGUAUAUAAUGCAAUUAUGAAAGGACUCUGUCAACAAGGAUUAAUGGAUGAAGCGUAUAAGGUAUUUAAAGACAUGGAAAAGGUAGGAUGUUUACCAGAUAAUUGUUGUUAUAAUAUCAUCAUUCAAGGGUUUCUCAAGCAUGAGGAUUUACCAAAAGCAUCAGAACUAAUCAACGAAAUGGUUGAUAAGGGGUUCUCUGCUGAUGAUGCUACCACAGAAUUGGUCGUACAUUUAUCACAGAAUAAUAAUCUCAUUCUGAGGCUUUUAAAGGUGCGCAAUGAGGGAUCAGCAAACUAAAGUUGUUAUAUCUUGACCAUUCAAGUGUAUCUUGGACCGCAACUUGGUAAUUACCUUUUUCAAAUAUAAUAGAUAUUUUAUUUAACUAACUUCUUCAAAUAUCAUUUUUAAUUUCAAUCAGCUGUGAUUCUCUUCCACAAAAUGAAAAUUUCUAACACCGCAAAUGACCUGUGGUGGAAACCGUGAUAUGUGUGUGCCUUUCGCUUAAAUUCAGAUAUAGACUUGAUCUCUUUGAUAUAAGAUUGUUGAAGAAUGGAGGUCUUGGAUUACAAUUUUAUUUUUGGUUGCUACUACAGCCUUAACUCCAGAGCUCAAUCCUAAAAUUAAGUUGAGAACUAAAACUAAUUGGUUUCAUACUACAAUGCUUAAGAAUCUUUAUCUAUUAUUAUUUUUGUGCUCAAUGACCUUUUAAAAUGCUAUCAUUUCUCUUGUAGGUACUUGCAAGGAUAUGAUUAGAACUUUACUUUUCUAACAAUAAAGGUAUAAGCAAUUCUUUUUGCUUAAUUAUUAUAUUUUUAAUAAUAAUGAAAAUAAUGAUUAUAAACCAGUGUGCUUUAAUUGAGAAUUGAUUUAACAAUUAGACUACCCUAUAAAUGCAGGGUGCAGGAUGUACAAUCCCAGAGUACAUGGUAAGAGAAUCACUAGACUUCUACGGCUGUUGGUUGGAUGAAAUGUCACUAAAAGUAUAGACAACAGAAAAUGUUAUGGGAAUUGAGGGAAAAGCAAAAGAAGACGAUGAAAAUCAGACGUAUGCAGCCACUGAAUGUGUUGAUGGACAAGCAACUGCAAUUGGUCCUACUAGCGAUUGGAAUGCUAGUUUAGCUUCAGCUAUUUAACAGGACUUUUUGUCCAAAUUUAUUUAUGAACAAGUUCAUAAAAGGCAGGAUAGCUCUAUAUAUAACACAGGUAUAAUCAAAGAAGGUGGCAGGAAAAAUGUCAAUACAAAGAAACUUCAUCUGAUUAAAUGGAAUACUCUUUUGUUGCCUAAAAAGAAUGGAGGCUUAGGCAUGAAAGAGAUCUCUCUUCAAAUUCAAGCUCUUUUGUUCAAAUGGCUUUGGAGAUUUGAAAAUCAUAGGGAUUCACUCUGAGUUCAACUUCUUCUAUCCAAAUAUUCUUUCAAUGUGGAGAAGGGUAUCUCUCUUGCUCCAGGAAAUUGCAUUUUUUCCCGUCAGAAAGACAUUCGAGGCUAUGCUACUUUCGAUGAACUCUUCCUUCUCUCCUUGAAUUAAUAUCAGAUUUGCUGUGGGGAAUGAGAUGACAAUGAAAUUUUGGAAUGAGAGACGAUCGGUUGGUAAUAUUGCUCUCAAAUUCUCCUUUAGCAGACUAUUAAAUUUAGCAGCUAACCUAGUUGUGUUGAUGUUAAACAUUAGCUGUUGGGUGAAGAACAAAUGGGAAUGGGAAAUAAUUGAAUUGUCUAAAAUAUACUUAAUCUUUUAUAUUAUUUCUAAUAAUAUAUUUUAUUAUUUAAAUAAUUUUUAUGAAUUUAAAAUUCUAAUUUCCAUAAAUAAAUGUGGUAAUAUUUAUGUGAGAUUGUAAAUUCAAUAUUUUUUAAAAAGGUAGUUUUAGAAAAAAUAAAAUCGAUUUUGUAAACAAAUUUUGAAAAAUGGAAAACCCAAUUACUUUAAAAAUAUCCAUUUCCAUAUAAAUUUAAUUAAAAAAUAAAUAUUUGCUUCUUUUUUUUUUUAACUUUCGUUCCCCAUUAUUAUUUAUAAAUACUAAUAGUUACAUUGGAAAAUUUAUAAUUUAUUUUUAUUAAUAUAAUUUAUUUAAUUAAUUUAUAAUAUAAUAUUUUAAUUUGCAUAUAAAUUCCACAUGUUCACUCCUAUUUUAAUGGAUUAAAAAAUUAUAUAAAUAUACAUUAUUUAAAAUAUUUUAAUUUGAUUUGUUCAAUUAAUUUACUAUUUUAAUUUAAUUUAUGUUCUAUUAACAAAUAUAAUAUUAAAAUUUUUCAUAGAUUGAGUAUUUUACAUAGAAUAAAAAUAUAAAAUUAUUUAGAAUUUUGUCAUAUCUUUCAAAUUAUAAAUCACUAAGUACAAUUUAUUAUUGAAAAUUAAUAAUUUUAAAUAAAAUAAAAAUAUAUUAUUAUUGUUAUUAAUUUUGAAAUUUAUAUUGUAUUAGGAUAAAGUUUUUUAGUUAUAAUUUAUAUAUAAUUUGACUAUAAUAAUUUUUUUAAAAAAAUGUAUAUUAACGGUAAUUUUAUUAAAUAACAGAUAUUAGCAAAUAAAAUUAAAAUUUGAAUAUUUCAAUUAUAGUAAAAAAAUCAACUAAAAUUAUUUAUUUUCUUAAUGUUAUUUUAUUUUAAUUCUUUUAGAUACUUUGAUUAAAUAUAUUCAUAUAAAAUGUGAUAUUAAGAUAAUAGGAGCCCAAAUUUAAUUGCCUAUUUGCAAUAAUAAUAAUAAUAAUAAUAAUAAUAAUAAUAAUAAUAAUAAUAAUAAUAAUAAUAAUAAUAAUAAUAUUUAAUAAUAAUAAUAAUAAUAAUAUUUAAUAAUAAUAAUAAUAAUAAUAUUAUCAUUAUUAUUAUUAUUAUUAUUAUUAUUAUUAUAUAAAAAAUUAGAUAAUUAAUAAAAAUUCCUCUUCACUAGGGUGAGCAGUAUUCAGUUCAAACCGAAAAAAUCGACCGAAUCGAAUUAAUUUGAAAAUUCAGUUCGGUUUUUUAUUUAUUUCGAUUCAGUUCGGUUUUAAAUUUCAGAAAUUUUGGUCAAAUCGAUUCGGUUCGAUUUUAAUCAGAAAAAAAUCGAAAAAACCGAACCGAACCGAUUAGUAAUAAUAAUAUAGUUUUUUAAUAAUAUAGAGAAAUUAAAUCAUAUUAAAAUUAAAAUAUUUUAAUUAAAUUUUAAAAUAUUAAAAAUAAAUUGUAAAAAAUAAAAAAAUUAUUAAAAAUUGAAACCGAUUAAACCGAAUCGAAUCGAACCGAAUCAGACCGGUUCGGUUCGAUUCGGUUUCUGACCAAAAUCGAUUCGGUUCGGUUUUCAUAAAUACUAAAAUUUCAAUUUUCGGUUUAUUCAGUUCGAUUCGGUUUUGAACAGAACCGACCGAAUGCUCACCCCUAUUCUUCACUGCUUUAAUUUGCAACUUUUUUAAAAUCAAUUAAUAAACUAAUCCAGCUAAAAUAUUUUAUUUAAUGCUAAAAUUCUAAAUUUUAUCUCACUUGUUAUCCAUAUAUAUAAAUUGAAUUUCAAUUACUCUUCUGAAUUUCCUUUCGAGUUUUUUCACUCUCAAAUCUUUUUUUAAUUUAGAAAAGUUUGAUCAAUAAUGUCAUUGUGGAGAGUUUUUAACAGGAAAAUGGAUUCUCUCCCUAGGAUUUUAGGUCAAUGAUAUGCAAUCAAGUCAUUUUUUUCUUAUAAAUUACUCUCCAGUUCAACUGAUCUGAAAACUAAAACACCGCAAAUUAAAAAGGGCUAUGCAACCAUAUACGUGGAUGACGAGGGCAAGAGAUAUCAAAUUCCAAUAGAGAAUCUAAAGUUUUCGACAUUAUAAGAACCGAUUAAACAGUUUCAUGAUAGUGAUCUCGACUCCAAGAUUGAUGGGCCAAUCGUGUUGCUUACACUACUGAUAAGUUUGAUAAACUGCUAAAACUUACAAGAGAUUGUCAUAUGAAACUUUAAAAAAAUUUGAAUAAUUCUUUUCUAUAUGAUUGAAUUACUAAUAAAUUUUUAUGUUUUAUUAAAAUUACAUAUUCGAUUUCUAUUUCGAAAUCACUCAAUUAAAAUAUUUUGAGUUUUAUAAAAUCAAAAACUUUAAUAUUCUUAUCGAAUAAAAUAUUAGUAAAUAUAACAAAUAAAAUUGAAAAUGCCAAAUAUAUGAAAUGAGUUUGAGCAUUUUAAAAUUUUAUUAUAUUGAAAUCAUUUUGUAUAUUAAUUUUUUAUUAUAUUAAUUAAAAUUGUAAUAUUAUUCAAAUAAAAAAUGCUUUAAAUAACUUUUGUAAAAGUAAAGCUUGGUAAAAAAAUUAAUUUAAAAUAAAAUAAUUAAUAAUAAAAAAUUAUAUAAAAUAAAAAUCAAUUAGAUUUUUCAUGAAAUUUUAUUCAAUAUUAAAAAUAAAAUUAACUAUUUAUAUAACCGCCUUUAAUUAGGUACCCAAUAUUGUAUAAAAAAAAUAAUAUAGAAGUAAUAUAUAUGUAUAAUUAACAUACACAAUGUCUACAAAUAGGCAAUAGCCAAUAGCACUUUAGCAAUGAUAAAUUAUUAUUAUAUAAAUUUAAUUUGUUAUUAAAUAAUAUUUUUAUAUGAAAAUUUAAUAAAAAAUUACAAAAUGUGGUGCAUAUAAACAACAGAGUAAUGCAUUUCCUUUACCAGCAGGCAGAGAGCCUUCCUUUUCCAAUUCUCUAUUUCCUUUCCUCAUUCCCAAUCUCCGAUCCAUCCCUAAAAACAACUGAAGAGAGAUAUGAUGAUGAAGAUGCCUUGGAGGAGGAAGAGCAGGAGCUUCCAUCUUCAGCUACAAGGGGCAAUUGGUACCAUUCAAUCUCCAUUCCUAUUCUUAUUUACCAAUUAUUGCCAUUCUUCUACUUCCACACUUGAAGAUGCACGCUUCUUCACAAAUAACUUCAAAUCUGCUUCUUUUACCCGCCUUCAUGAUGCCAUUGCUUCCUUUAAUCAUGUAAUUCAUAUGAAUCCUCUGCCUUCUAGGGUUCAUUUUAAUAGAUUCUUAUCUGCCCUUGUGAAAAUGAAACAAUAUCACACUGUCCUUUCCAUGUCCAAAACAAUUGAAUUUCUAGGAAUCUCACACGAUGUUUAUUCUCUUAGCAUCUUAAUUAAUUGCUUCUGCCACUUACACCUCGGGGAUUUUGGCUUCUCUGUUUUUGGUAAGAUGCUCAAAUUCGGAUUGGAGCCUACCACUGUGACAUUUACUACCUUAAUUAAUGGGCUUUGUAUGGAGAGUAAAAUCGACAAAGCAGUAGAAUUUUUCGAUGAUAUGGUUGCACGUGGUUAUCAACCUAAUGUUUAUACUUAUAAUGUGAUAGUAAAUGGAAUGUGUAAAUUUGGGAAAACAAGUGUGGCUAUUGGGCUACUAAAGGGAAUGGCUGAUAGAGGUUGUGAGCCAAAUGUUGUGACAUACAGUGCAAUCAUUGACGCCCUUUGCAAGGAUGAGCUAGUUGGUGAGGCUUUAGAGCUCCUCUCUCAAAUGAGGAAUAAGGGCAUUUCACCUGAUGUCAUCACUUACACUGGUUUAAUUCACGGUGUUUGCAAAUUAGGCCAAAAGAACCAAGCUUUGGCCUUGAUGAAUGAAAUGGUGGAGCAAAACAUAUUACCAGAUGUUUAUACCUUCAAUGUAUUGAUUGACGCUCUUUGUAAGGAUGGAAUGGUUGCAGAGGCUCAAAAUACAUUCAAUGUAAUGAUUCAAAGAGGUGUAGAGCCUAAUGUGGUCACCUACAGUUCCUUAAUCGAUGGUCUUUGCAUUUCAGACCAAUUCAAGGAAGCUUUGGCCUUGUUGAAAGAAAUGGUGGGGAGGAACAUAUCCCCUGAUGUUUUUACCUUCAAUAUAUUGAUCGACACUCUUUGUAAGAAAGGACUGGUUUCAAGUGCUGAGAAUAUAAUCAAAAUAAUGAUUCAAAGAGGUGUGGAACCUAGUGUUGUCACCUAUAGUUCAUUGAUGGAUGGAUAUUGUCUGUGCAGGGAAAUUGAUAAGGCUAGAAAGGUAUUUGAUCUGACCAAUGAAAUAGCUGACAUUUUUAGCUACAGCAUUUUGAUCAAUGGAUAUUGUAAGUGCAAAAUGAUAGAUGAUGCAAAGGAACUUUUUGAUGAAAUGUCUGAUAAAGGUUUAGUUCCUGAUGUUGUUACUUAUUCUACUCUUAUAGAGGGUAUGUUUCAAGCAAGGAGGCCCCAAACUGCACAGGAGCUCUUUAAGAAUAUGUGCUCUCAUGGUCAACAGCCAAAUAUAGUAACCUUCUCAAUUAUGAUUAAUGGCUUGUGUAGACAGGGGAAUCUCGAUGAAGCACUCACCCUAUUGAAAGAAAUGGAGGAAAGUCAGUUGAAGCCUGAUCUUGUGACCUAUUGCAUUCUGAUCAAUGGUAUGUGCAAAGCUGGCAAGAUUAAUGAUGCCAAGGAACUGUUUUCUAGUCUUUUUGAAAAUGGUUUACAACCUAAUGUUCAUAUAUAUAGUGCAAUUAUGAAAGGACUCUGCCGAGAAGGAUUAAUGGACAAAGCAUAUCAGAUUUUUAGAGACAUGGAAAAGGGAGGAUGUUUACCGAAUAAUUGUUGUUAUAAUAUCAUCAUUCAAGGGUUUCUCAAGCAUGAGGAUUUACCAAAAGCAUCAGAACUAAUCAACGAAAUGGUUGAUAAGGGGUUCUCUGCUGAUGCUACUACCACAGAAUUGGUAGUACAUUUAUCGCAGAAUAAUGAUCUCAUUCUAAGCAAACUACGAAAUCGUUCUGAGGCUUCUAAAGGGGUGCAAUGAGGGAUCAGCAAACUAAAAUUGUUAUAUCUUGACCGUUCAAUGGUGUCUUGGAGAGAAACUUGGUAAUUACCUUCUUCAAAUGUAGUAGAUAUGUAAUUUAACUAACUUCAAAUUUCAUGUUUAAUUUCAAUCAGCUGUGAUUCUCUUCCACAAAACAAAAAUUUCUAACACUGUAAAUUACCUGCAGUGGAAACCAUGAUAUGUUUGUGCCUUUCUCUUGAACUCAGACAUGGACUAGACCUCUUUGGAUAUAAGAUUGUUGAUGAAUGGAGGUCAUAGAUUUCUAAUGAUCAAGUUGCUGGUAAACCCACCAUCUUCCUUACAAUUUUUUUUUGGGCUGCUACUACAGCCUUAACUCGAGAGCUUAGUCCUAAAAAUGAGUUGAGAACUAAAACUACUUGAUUCCAUGCUAUAAUGCUUAAGAAUCUUUAUCUAUUUUACUUUUGUGCUCAAUGACCUUUUAAGAUGCUAUCAUUUUUCAGUAAACAUGCUGCAUUAGGACAAUAACUUGGAGAUUGGAUCAUAUAUUUUGAUUUUUACUAGUAAGAAUGCAGGUGUUAAAUCAGUGAACUAGCAGGUGUUAACACCUGCUUUCUGUAUCAUUUUACCAAAGCUACUCAUGCCUGUUUCCGUCCAUUAGAAUUUAACACCUACUAGUUUAUCAUAUACUUGCAUUACUUGUAAUAAGUUUAUGCUCCCAAAAUGAUUUCUAUUUAUUGCUAGUUUAUUACUUGUAGUAAGUUUAUGCUCAAAAUAAUUUAUAUCUAUUGCUCCUUGAGUUAAUACUUAUAACUUGAACUAGAGUUAAUACUUACUCCUUGAGUGCAAGUUUUAACACCUACUUGUUGAGUUUAAGUAUUAAUUUGAGCUUUUGCAACAGGUACAUCUGAGCUUUAGCAUGGUGCAGUAUGUCUUCCACCAGUCCAUCGGGUCUUUUCCCACAUGCCUGAGAUGAAGAUGGAUUAGAUGAGCAAAUCCAGGAUUUUUGUUGAUUACUUGUUGUACACAUUUUGGGGUACUAUUUGUUUUGGCAUUUACUACAAAAAUAUACUUUUAAUUAUACAUUUUUUUGUGGUUGUACUAGAUUAUUUAUGUGCAAAUUUAAGUUCAAAAGACUUUUCUUUUUAUUAUAAUUGAAUACAUCAGAUUUGUGGUUGAUUUGUGUUAUAUUAUGCAUUUAAUAGGUUGGUUUUGUGAUAUUUGUAAUUAUUUUGGAUCGGUUAAAUAAAAAUUGCAAACGAAAAUGCAAUUGAAAAUCUGGUUCAAAUUUCGUAAAGGGUGUAAGGAAGCAACAUUGAGUCACUUUGCUCUGUAGAUGAUUUGUUUUUGUCUUGUCAUGGGGCUAGGAAUUUGGUCUGUGGGCUUGGAGAGGCCUUGAAGUUGAGGAGGUUUUAGGAUUGCAAGUAAAUGAGUCUAAGAGCUGUGUUUAUCUUGCAAGAGUGCUAGAGGAGAUUAAGCAGCAAAUUCUACAAUUCCUCAAUUUCAGGGAGGCAUUUCUUCCUGUUAUCUAUUUGGGAUUACCUCUGGUAUCUACUAGUAUUAAAAAAGAGCAUUUUCAGAAGCUUAUUAGUAUAAUAACUAGUAGAAUUGACUCAUGGUCUGCUAAAUAAUUAUCCUAUGCUGGUAGGGUACAUGGUGAGGAAUAAGUUGAAAAGCCUCAGUUUUUGGGGAUCUCUAAACCUUGUAAUGCUAGUUGAUCUUGAAAGAAUUGGUGAAAAUUAGAGAUUGUUUUAGAAAGCAUUGUGCAUAUAAGUUGGGAAGAGGGGUUUUUCAUUUUGGUAUGACCCUUGCAUGGGUGGGAAAAGUCUUGUUGAGAGGUCUCUGAGUUGAAUAUGGGAUAUUCUGACAUCAUAGACAUACUAAGGUGAGGGAGGUUUGGAGGGAUGGUAUGUGGAGGCUUCCUAAUCCAUUGGGUUCCACUAUGGAAGGAGCCUGGGAAGAGGUUCAGAAAUAUUACGUAAGCAAUGAAUGGGCAGAUUGUAUUAAAUGGAAACUCAUAGACUUACACUGUUAAUAGUACUUGGAAAGUCCUAAGAAGGAAGGGUGGAGUGGUUAAUUGGUGGAAGGUGGUGUGGGGUGAGCGUAUUCCCAGGCACAGUUUUAUAACCUGGUUAGCUAUCUAUAGUAGACUUGUUGUCAAAAAGAGGCUACUUAGAUGGGGAAUGGUAAAUAAUGCGUGGUUUUGCUUAUGAUUACUUAAUAUUAAUUAGAUUAAUGAUCACUAAUAGAUAAAAGUGUCUGAAGGAAAGAGACACUUAUAAAGAUUAGUGUGUAAAAUCUAUAUGAUUAUUUAAUAUUAAUUAGAUUAAUGCUCACCUAUCGAAAAAGGUGAAAUUAAGUAAAAAGGUCAUGUUUUUUUAGUAAAUUGUAUCGCUCACGAUUAAGUAGAAAUGUUCUUGUGACAAUACUUUACAGUUUUGGCAUGGUGCAGUAGUUAGGAGUAUAAAUGAAUUAAAUUAUUUGUUUGUGAGUUAUUUGAGAUUCGACUCGAUAAAAAUUUAAUCGGGCUCGAUCUAAUUUAUAUACAAGCCAAGUUCGAGCUUAAUUUUUAGACUUGUUUAGUAAACGAGUCAAGUUUGAACUCCAUAGUAUUCGGCUCGUUAAAACUUGUGUGCUCGACUCUUUUCCGAGUUUAUGAACAGAUUCACAAAUAGGCUCGUAAAUUAUCUCGUUAAGUAGGCUGAGAUUAACAUCAUAAGAUAAAUAAAUUCAAAUCAUGCAUAUAUUUUCAUAAGCCAACCUAAAUUUUCUAAAGUUCAAGUCUACAUAGUUUAAUUACAUUUUUCAAACUUGCAGAUAUUUGGAUCGUUAAGAUUUAAGAGCUCAUUCUUUACAAGUUUGUGAGUUAAUUUUUAUAUAUAUUUAUUGAAUUAAAAUUAAGUAUUUGAUUGUCUAGUAUAACUUGGUUAAGUGACUAAAAGAAUAUGUAAUUCAUCUGAAAUUAUAAAUUCAGUUUUCACUCCUCUAUUUCCCAAAAAAUAAUUAUUAUAAUAAAAUAGAUAAUUGCUAAAAAAAUCUUACAUUUUUAAUUUUAUUACGGUUAUACCUUAAACUUUUAAAUUAUUAUCGAUUUAAUCGUGAAAUUUGUUGAUGUGUCAUACUGAUAUGAUAUUGAUAUGGCGAAUGACGUGGCAAUUCUGUUAGUUUUUAACGGCACAAGUAACAGUAGGGUAUAAUUAGAACAACUUUAAAAGAUAAGGGUUUAAUUGACACAAAAAAAAAAGUAUAGAGUGUAAUUACAAUAAAAUCAAAGUACAAAAUUUUUUUUUCCAUUAACGGUUGAACAUAUUAGUUUUAAACUAAAAAUCAUUAUAUAUGUACAUAAAUUGAACUGUUCAUGAAUUAUUCGAUAUUAAACUUGAUAAAAACUCAACUCGUUUAAGUCUGUCUGCUAAAUGAGGUUUAAGUUUCUUUACUAAAUGGGGCAAGUUUGAAUUUAUCGAUACUUGAUUGGAGUUCGAAAUAAGUAAAAAUUGAGUUUCACUCAACCUCAAAGAACUUUUAAGAAAUUAAGUUUAAGCUUUUCAAAGUUUGGAUCGUUUCACUCACACCCCUAACAGUAACUCCUCCAUUCAGUCCUUUCUUGUGAGUCUCAGAUGAAGAAGGAUUAGAUGAGGAGAUCAAAAAUCUUUAUCCGUUACUUGUGGAUUAUUUGUUAUUUACAUUUGUAGAUAUUAUUUAAUUUUAUGUUUACAAUAAAAAUAUACUUUUAAUUAUGAAUUUCAUUUUGGUGUUGUAUUGAAUUAUUUAUGUUCGAAAUAAUUUUUGAUUUAUUGUUUCAAUGCACUAUAUUUGUAGUUGAUUGUAUAAAUAUUGGGUUUUUGAUAUUUACAGGUGUUUUAGAUUAGUGGCAUAAAAAUUAUAAAGAGAAACGCAAAUUAAAAGUAUAUUUAUAAAAUUACAAAUAAAUUUAUAAAUAAAUAUUUUAUUACAUUUACAAACGGUGUCGUAUAUAAUUUAGCAAGCAAUGUCCAUAAAUAGAUAAGUUUAAAUUACAAAUGGACUUAAUUUUUUGUAUGAUUAAUGAAUUUAUAAAUAAAUAAAUUAUUUGAAUUUUAAAUGAAUUUUACAAAUAUAUAAACAGUUUGAAUUACAAAUAUAUUUCAUAUCAGACAUUUAUAUCAUAAAUAUUUUUAUAAAUAGAUUGUCCAUUUUAUAUCAUAAAUGAAUUUACAAAUAAAUUAUCUGUUUAUACAUAAAAUUUUAUUUAUAAAUGAGAGAAUAUAUAAUAAAAAAUUUUAUUUUUCAUUUCAAAAAUAUUACAUAUGAAAUUUACAUAAAGUUUGCGAUCGUAUAUUAAAUUACAAAUGAAAGUGCAUAAUUUUCAACUAGAUUUUUUCAUGUGUAAUUUUUUUUUUUUUUUUUAGUGGCAAGUCUAAUAAGAAUGUUGAACAAAUACUUGGUCUCUUUUUAUUCGCAGACGAGACAUUACAGUGGUAAAAGUUAGGAUCUUUUUAAUAGGAUUUGAACAAUAUAAAUAAAAACAAAGGCUGGGGGAGAAAUAAUAGGAUUGCAAAAAAUAUAUAAGAUAAUUUAUUAUUAUAAAAAUAAAUGAAUAAUCUUAUUUAACAUUUAUUCGCUAAUAAAAAUUAAAUAAUUCAAUAUAUUUUAAAAAUUUUAAGUUAUAAAAUUCUAAUAAUGUGAUAUGAAAAUAUAUACAAUAAUUUAAUAUUAUACUAAAAAGGAAUUAUUUUUAUUUAAAUUAAUUAAUAACAAAAUUAAAUUAAUCAAUACUUUGAAUAAAUUUCAACUUAUAAAAUUAUAGUAAAAAAAAUAAGAAUUCUAAUAUCAUCUCAAACUCAGUUUUAAAAUAAAACUCCUUCUACAUUAUUUACAUAGGAAUAAUAUUAAUAAAUUAAACUAAUAUUAUGUUUUUAAUGGAAUAAAAUAAAAUGAUAUAAAAUAUUAAUGUGGUUGAUUAAUUUUGAAAUUCUAAUACAUUUUUAAAGUUAGUGUACAGUAAAAUUAAUAUAAAAUACACUUAAUUUAAUUAAUUAAAUAAUAACUUUAAUUGAUUAAAAUAUAUACACAUAAAAACUCCAUGUGAUUAAUAAAAAAAUAAUAACUUUAAUUGAAUGAAAUAUAAAAGUUUAAUGUAAUCAAUUUUUAAUAAAGAGUGAACUAUAUUUAUUAUAAAUUUAUUAUAAUAAUGAAUAAUUAAAUUUAAUUAAUUUAAAAUUAAUAAUAAUAAUGAUCAUAAGAAUAAUUUAUAUAAAAAAAUAACGUUAUAAAAAUUUAAGAUGCUAUAAAAUUUUUUUAAUAAAGUUUAUUGGUGCAAAUAUAUAUCUAGUUUUUCUUAAUUCAAUUAUUAUCAAUUUAUUUUACUCUUUUAAUAAUUACUCUCUUAAAAUAUGUUAGAGAAACACUUUUUUUGUAAGUUUUAUACCAAACGUACUUUAUAUUCAUUUGAUAAAUCUGCUAAAAUUUAAUUUAUUGUACAGAAUUUAAAAUUAUUUAUUUUUCUUUUUAAAAAAUAAAAAAAAUCUUUGUUUUACCAUGUUUCAGCUUUUAUGUAAUUAAUAUGAAUAAAGAUUGGUUUUAUACUUAGUAAAAUAUAAAUUCAAGUAAAUUCAUGUAUAGAUUUGUCCUAAAAUAUAUGUAAAAUGUAAUGUAAUUAAUAUCAAUAAUAGUAUUUAGUGAUGGUAUCCUCAGCAUAUAUAAUGUCGGGUAUAAAUUUGUAAAAUAAAUAAAUACGGAAUGGUUGGUUGUGGAUAAUUUUUGUGAUACUUAGGUCAGUAAGUGAUUUAUCAGAAAUUUUAAAAUAAAAGGUAUAGAGAAUAGUUUGAUUAAAAGAGUAUAUACAUGAGGUGUCUUUUUAUAGGUCUAAAGUUGGUUGAUUUUUGGUAGAAGUAGGAUUCUUUUUUGAAAUCUAUUUUUGUAACGACCCGGAAACCGGACCGCUACCGGCGCUAGGAUCCAGAUCGACUUAAGGUCGCCGGGAUCCGUAGCAAACCUACUAUACAACCUGUGUACCUGAUAAAACCCAUACAUGAUCAUACAUUUUCAUAACAUUUUAAAUUUUUCAUAUGCAAGCUUGACCUGUGCAUGCACCAUAGCCAAAAACACAAAACCCCUAUACUAGAGCCCUCAUCAAAUGCUCUAGUAGGGUCAACAUUUCAUACGUCAAGCUUGGUUCAACAUACCUCAUCAUUAAAAUAUUUCAUAUAGAUCAUGUAUAAAAGGGUUUAACCAUACAUCACUAGGGCAAAGCACAAUUCUAUCCAUAAUACAUUACAUUACAUUAUAUUACAUUUCGUUCCAUAUCAUGUUCACUACUGUUCUAUUACAUAACAUAACUAUUACUCUUGCUGACUUCUUGAGCUACCUCUGACCUGCAAACUGGGGGUUAGGGGAAAUGGGUGAGCUACUAAGCCCAGUGAGCAGAACCAUAAAACAGUUAAAUAAUCAUAUGCUCAUAUGGAAUGCACCACAACACAAACAAUACACAUUAAGGAUGGACUGACCCAAAAAUCCCUCUACUCUGUGCCCGGCCCUCGGUGGAGCUCCUCAUGACUUCUUUACUUACAUAAAUUGCGUGCCAGGGGCGUAGAAUGGGCAAUUCUGGUCUUUCAUUACAUAACAUAAUAUGUAGAGGGCUAAUGGUCGUCCUGUUGUCCAUCCACAUCAACAACCAGUUAUGCAGUGCAGCAUAUUCGUGAAGUCUAAUGCAAACAACCUAUUACAUAUACAUGAUGCGUGAACAUGCUUAAAACAUUUGAUUUCUUGAGAUAAAAGAUUAGUUUAGUUCUACUCACCUCUGACUGACGCUUAACUAACUCUGAAGCAGCUAGCUCACUGCUGGUCUCUUCGGUCUCUCGGCUCCGAACCUACACAGGUGGACUCAAAUGAGGGACCAAACAUACUCUAUAAAGACUCUAAAUAUAGCCCCCAAAACCCCCCAAAGCAUCAUAAAACAUGCAUGCAAAACAGGCAAGGGAAGGCUGGACAGAGGACUUUCGGCGGCAGGUUCGGCGGCCGAAGGUCCCUACAGAUCCGAAAGUCAAGCACUUUCGGGGGCAGGUUCGACGGCCGAAACUUCACUCUAGAGACGAAAGUCACCAACCUUCGGCUGCUGAAACUCCUCUCCAGAGCCGAAAGUUCAACUUUCGGAGGCGAGCUUAGGCGGCCAAAACUGCCUCCACAGUCAGGUUCGACGGCCGAACAUGGCUUCGGCGGCCGAACCUGGAUCCUUCUGAGUGGCAGAACCCGAUUCUGCCAUUCCACAUCUAGCCUCCCAAAACCUUCCAAACUCAAACUCAACACACCAAAGCAUGCAUAAACACAUUCUUAAGCAUAUAGGGGCAUAAAACUAGCCUAAACCCCAACAUAACAUCACAUAAACAUACAUAGAGCAUACAUUCAAUAUAAACCCUAACAUUUUCACAACUAACCUAAACAUGCAUCAACAACCCAUAACCCCCUUAUAAAACAUACUUAAAACAUAAAAAAGGGUAUGGAUCUACACUUACCUCUUGAAGAUCGAGAGGAGAGGUGAUCCAAACUUGGAGAUUGGGAGAAAUCGAGCUCCGGGGUCUCCAAGCUUCAAAACUUUAAUCUUAGCUUAAAAACUUCAAAAUAAGGGUAAAAACUCAUCAAAAACAUAAUUGAUUUGUAGGAAAACAUAAAAUCAACCAAAGGAGGGCGAAAUCUCACCUAUGCUCAAAAAUAGAGAGAGAAAACUCGUCCGUUUUCGGAUAAGGGGCUUUUUAUAGGUGGCUGGCCAGACCACCUUCGGAGGCCAAAAGUGCCUCCGCAAGAGGCCAAUGUUCGGAGGCCGAACAUGAGGUUUGGCGGCCGAACCUGGCUUUUUUCCUCCUUGGUCUUUUCUUUCAAAACUCAAUUUCCUUCUUCAUUAAAACCAUAAGAACAUAUAAAAAUAUUUUAGAAAACCUUUAUUUUCACCAUUCUAAGGGAUUCCGGCCUUAAGAUUCCAGAUUUCAACGGAAAUUCCGCUGGAAAAUUGGAAUUCCGGUGCCGGAACUUAGCCAGGUGUUACAAUUUUGGUCCUAAAUUGUAGAAUUUUACUUUAAAGACUUUUUACUUAUAUGUGAUUUAGAAUCCUAAUUGUCAUACGACUUUUACGUGAUUUGAACAAUGUUGUCUAUUUGGAUUUCGGCCUAGUAGGCCGAAGCCUUCGGCUCCGUGAUCGUCACCUUUGGUUUCAAUCCUAAGGCUGAGACCUCGUGUUGAUAUUAGCCUUGAGGCUGAAAUCUUGAGGUCUCGACAUCCAUUUAGCAUUUUGGAUGCCGAGAUCUAAGAGUUUCGACCUUUCGGUCCUAAAGCCGAACACCUUUGAGUAUCAGAACCUUAUUUCUCACUAAAAUGCAUCGCUUAGAAUCAAGCAAAAUAUGACAUAUUUUUAAACUAAUAUAAAUGAUUAAUUAUAUAAUAUUAUGAUAUAGACACUAGAGAGCAUUUUAGUUUUCUUUUUUUUUUCUUUAUAUAUAUAUAUAUAGACACUUGAGUUUAUCUUAUAUAUGUCUAUAAAUGGUAGUUUUAGAAUUUAAGAUAUAAAUAUAAAUAAUAAGGUAUUAUUAUUUAAAUUGCCAAAACUACAUUUAAUAAUUGUAAGUUUGAUGAGUAGCAGAACUCACCACUUGUUUCUUAUUAAAUUUCAUAAUUUUAAUAUAAAUAAUUAAUUUUUACUUAAAAUUUAAUUUUGUUCAGGUUUUUAAGCGGAAGUUAAAGAAAAGGAACGCAAAUAGGCUUAAUUAAAAGAUUUUCAAAUUGAGAGUUACAGUAUUGGGUAAGCCUGUAGUCCAAGACAAUGGACAGCUUCCGAUUUCAAAAAAUGCAACUUCAGCCCAAUUUUUUCAGCUGUAUUAAUAUAAGAUCAACUUUAAAUUGGAGCAAAUACAAUCAUAUUAGAAUAGGGAUAAGAUAGAAGUAAUAAAAUUUAUUUUAAAUUGUAAAUAUUUAUAUUUUUGUUGGAAAAAAAUCCAUAUAAAGGCUACUCAAAAAUUAAUCUAGGUAUCAUAUUUUUCUCUUCUUCUUCUCCCCUCUCAAAUUUGGCCACCUCCUUGCUGUCCCCUUCUUCUUCUCUUUAGUUUUUGUAAUUUUAUCAUGACUCUUAGGGAUUGACCAAUUCUUUUCAAUUGAAAGUUAAUCUAAAUUGAGGUUUUAUUCAAGUUGUGAGAUUAUGUGCUUAAAUUCUCUUCCUAUUAUUUCUAUUUUCUAUUAAUUUCUAUUUUCAAAAAAUACGACCUCGAUUGUUGUCCUCUUAGAAAUUAAGGGGCCCAUUGAAUCUCUUGGAAAGACAACAUAUUACUCAUUAACUCAAUUAAAUUCGUAAUUGUUUAAUUGAGUUAAUAAUAAAUACUAAUUAUGUUAAGAAAUUAGUUUUGAUUUAAAUAAUUCGCGUGUUAUUAUUGAUCAAAUUUAGUGCAAACUUCUUUUCUUUUGUUGGAGUGGUUUGACGUCUUUGUCAACAGACAACUUAUGAGCAGUGAGAGCGAAAUUCACUCUUAUUACAUCUUUUGGAGACCAAGCGAAAAUGGUUACUUGGCAAUUUAGCAACUCUAUUAAAUAAGUCUUUGUUUCACUGGUUAACGCAAUACCGAACCGUACUUUUUGAUUCUUAUCUAAUUCAACCUUUUCUACUAGGUCUCUAGCUCUGUUUUUAUGUGAGAUUCUGGCUUCUUUAGCAAGUCAAUGGGUAUUGUGGCUUUCUCGAGACUUUUUGCGGGGUGUUCGUAAUAUUCUUUAGCCAAUCUCAGGCUACCUCAGACCACGGUUAUCCCCCUGGAGCUGUUAACUUAAGACACAUAGUAUCCGUGUUAAUAACAAUACUGUGACAGUUUAGAACUGGGCGACUGAGUAUCACAUGGUACACAAAUGAGAUAUCUACCAUCGCAAACUCUACAUACAACUCUCGCCUAUAUUUUUCGUCACCCAGGGAAGGUUGAUGGUAUCUACUACUGUCACGGACUUAUCUCCUAAGAUAGGAAACUUUGACAAGACUGUUUUUAUCUAAAUCUAACUUGUUAAAAAUAUUUUAUAUGAGAAGGUUAAUGGAACUAACUGUAUUCACCCAUACUCGCCUUACUUCGAAUCUAUUUUAGAAGGAUUUUAACAACCACUAGGUCAUUUUGAAAGAAUCCAAUCACUUUACCUACAGGACCAAACCUUUAUUUUUUCCUUUACCCUUGUCAUGUCCUCUAUAAUGAUAUGUAUGAUUCCGGCCAUUUAGCUAUUUCAAGAUAGAGAAGAGAUAUUUCUUUUUUAGAGAAUUAGAUAUAUUAUAUGACCCUAUUUACGCUGGACUGUAUCUGAUAACGGUUACUUUACAUUGAAAUCUUGAUAAUCAACCGCAUAUUUAAAGUGUCUGAAUUUUUCUUUUCUCAAAUGAAAAAGUAUUACUUAUUUAUAAGGUUCUUGUCAUAUCACCCUAUUUUAUGGCAAUAACUUAUAAAUUUAUUGUAUUUUAUUAUUAUUUAUAAAUAUUUAAUUUAAUUGAUUAAUUAUAUCAAUUUUCUAUUUAAAUUUAAAUAAAUUUUAUUAUAAGAACCCACUAAAAUUUAAAACUUCUUAUAAAAUAUUAAUUUUAUAAUAUCAAUACUUGAGUUGGCUAAAAAUUUCAGCAAUAAAUAAUUCAUGCUAAUAAUUUUUACUAAUUAAUAUUUCAUAAAAAUAAUAAAUCGGCAUAAAAUUUAUUUUUUUAAUAUUAUAAUAAAUAGAUAUAAAAAUAAAAGUAUUAGUAAUCAAUACUAUUUUAUAAAAAUAAUAUAAAAAAUGAAUUUUAAAGCCAUUUAAAUUUUUGAUAAUUUUAUAUUUUAAUGUUUAGGUUCACACAUUAAUUUAAUUUUUUUAAUUUAAAAUUUAUAUAACCGCCUUUAAUAUACACAAUGUCUACAAAUAGAAAGUAGGUUAAAAAAANNNNNNNNNNNNNNNNNNNNNNNNNNNNNNNNNNNNNNNNNNNNNNNNNNNNNNNNNNNNNNNNNNNNNNNNNNNNNNNNNNNNNNNNNNNNNNNNNNNNNNNNNNNNNNNNNNNNNNNNNNNNNNNNNNNNNNNNNNNNNNNNNNNNNNNNNNNNNNNNNNNNNNNNNNNNNNNNNNNNNNNNNNNNNNNNNNNNNNNNNNNNNNNNNNNNNNNNNNNNNNNNNNNNNNNNNNNNNNNNNNNNNNNNNNNNNNNNNNNNNNNNNNNNNNNNNNNNNNNNNNNNNNNNNNNNNNNNNNNNNNNNNNNNNNNNNNNNNNNNNNNNNNNNNNNNNNNNNNNNNNNNNNNNNNNNNNNNNNNNNNNNNNNNNNNNNNNNNNNNNNNNNNNNNNNNNNNNNNNNNNNNNNNNNNNNNNNNNNNNNNNNNNNNNNNNNNNNNNNNNNNNNNNNNNNNNNNNNNNNNNNNNNNNNNNNNNNNNNNNNNNNNNNNNNNNNNNNNNNNNNNNNNNNNNNNNNNNNNNNNNNNNNNNNNNNNNNNNNNNNNNNNNNNNNNNNNNNNNNNNNNNNNNNNNNNNNNNNNNNNNNNNNNNNNNNNNNNNNNNNNNNNNNNNNNNNNNNNNNNNNNNNNNNNNNNNNNNNNNNNNNNNNNNNNNNNNNNNNNNNNNNNNNNNNNNNNNNNNNNNNNNNNNNNNNNNNNNNNNNNNNNNNNNNNNNNNNNNNNNNNNNNNNNNNNNNNNNNNNNNNNNNNNNNNNNNNNNNNNNNNNNNNNNNNNNNNNNNNNNNNNNNNNNNNNNNNNNNNNNNNNNNNNNNNNNNNNNNNNNNNNNNNNNNNNNNNNNNNNNNNNNNNNNNNNNNNNNNNNNNNNNNNNNNNNNNNNNNNNNNNNNNNNNNNNNNNNNNNNNNNNNNNNNNNNNNNNNNNNNNNNNNNNNNNNNNNNNNNNNNNNNNNNNNNNNNNNNNNNNNNNNNNNNNNNNNNNNNNNNNNNNNNNNNNNNNNNNNNNNNNNNNNNNNNNNNNNNNNNNNNNNNNNNNNNNNNNNNNNNNNNNNNNNNNNNNNNNNNNNNNNNNNNNNNNNNNNNNNNNNNNNNNNNNNNNNNNNNNNNNNNNNNNNNNNNNNNNNNNNNNNNNNNNNNNNNNNNNNNNNNNNNNNNNNNNNNNNNNNNNNNNNNNNNNNNNNNNNNNNNNNNNNNNNNNNNNNNNNNNNNNNNNNNNNNNNNNAAUUCCUUAAUUGAUGGUCUUUGCAUUUCAGACCAAUUCAAGGAAGCUUUGGCCUUGUUGAAAGAAAUGGUGGGGAGGAACAUAUCCCCUGAUGUUUUUACCUUCAAUAUAUUGAUCGACACUCUUUGUAAGAAAGGACUGGUUUCAAAUGCAGAGAAUAUAAUCAAAAUAAUGAUUCAAAGAGGGAACCUACCGUUGUCACUUAUAGUUCAUUGAUGGAUGGAUAUUGUCUAGGCAGCCAAAUUGAUAAGGCUAGAAAGCUAUUUGAUCUGAUGGUGACCAAUGAAAUAGCUGACAUUUUUAGCUACAACAUUUUGAUCAAUGGAUAUUGUAAGUGCAAAAUGAUAGAUGAUGCAAGGCAGAUUUUUGAUGAAAUGUCUCAUAAAGGUUUAGUUCCUGAUGCUGUUACUUAUCAUACUCUUAUAAAGGCUAUGUUUCAAGCAGGGAGGCCCCAAACUGCAAAAGAGCUCUUUAAGGAUAUGUGCUCUCAUGGUCAACAGCCAAAUAUAGUAACCUUCUCAAUUAUGAUUGAUGGCUUGUGUAGACAGGGGAAUCUCGACGAGGCACUCACCCUAUUGAAAGCAAUGGAGAAAAGUCAGUUGAAGCCUAAUUUUGUAAUCUAUAGCAGUCUGAUCAAUGGUAUGUGCAAAGUUGGGAAGAUUAAUGAUGCCAGGGAACUUUUUUCUAGUCUUUUUGAAAUUGGUUUACAACCUGAUGUUUAUGUAUAUAAUGCAAUUAUGAAAGGACUCUGCCAACAAGGAUUAAUGGAUGAAGCGUAUAAGGUAUUUAAAGACAUGGAAAAGGUAGGAUGUUUACCAAAUAAUUGUUGUUAUAAUAUCAUCAUUCAAGGGUUUCUCAGGCAUGAGGAUUUACCAAAAGCAUCCGAACUAAUCAACGAAAUGGUUGAUAAGGGGUUCUCUGCUGAUGAUGCUACCACAGAAUUGGUAGUACAUUUAUCGCGGAAUAAUAAUCUCAUUCUGAGGCUUUUAAAGGUGCGCAAUGAGGGAUCAACAAACUAAAUUUGUUAUAUCUUGACCAUUCAAGUGUAUCUUGGAGCACAACUUGGUAAUUACCUUUUUCAAAUAUAAUAGAUAUGUAAUUUAACUAACUUCUUCAAAUAUCAUUUUUAAUUUCAAUCAGCUGUGAUUCUCUUCCACAAAACGAAAAUUUCUAACGCUGCAAAUUACCUGUGGUGGAAACCAUGAUAUGUGUGUGCCUUUCGCUUGAAUUCAGACAUGGACUAGAUUUCUUUGAUAUAAGAUUGUUGAUGAAUGGAGGUCAUGGAUUUCUAAUCAUCAAGUUGCUGGUAAACCCACCAUCUCCAUUACAAUUUUUUUUUGGCUGCUACUACAGCCUUUACUCGAGAGCUCAGUCCUAAAAUUUAUUUGAGAACUAAAACUAAUUGGUUCCAUACUACAAUGCCUAAGAAUCUUUAUCUAUUUAUUUUUGUGCUCAAUGACCUUUCAAAAUGCUAUCAUUUCUCUUGUAGGUACUUGCAAGGAUAUGACUACAACUUCACCUUUCUAACCAUAAAGGUAUAAGCAAUUCAUUUUUGCUUAGUUAUUAUAAUUUUUAAUAAUAAUGAAAGUAAUGAUUAUAAACCAGUGUGCUGUAAUUGAGAAUUGAUUUAACAAUUAGACUACACUAUAAAUGCAGGGUGCAAGAUAUACAGUCUCAGAGUACAAGGUAAGAGAAUCACUAGACUUCUACAGCUGUUGGUUGGAUGAAAUGUCACUAAAAUUAUACACAACAGAAAAUGUUAUGGGAAUUGAGGGAAAAGCAAACAUCCUCUUUGUCACCUUUUUUUUUUUCUAGUCAUCAAGUUGGGUAUAUAUAAAUAUAGAUCCUUAAUUUCUUUAAUUUUCCUUCAAAUCAAAUUAGUGAAAUCAUUGCAUUAGCAUCUAAUAAUAUGAAGUUCACAAUCUUUUCCAAUGAAAUCAAUUUUUUAGCAUGAAAAUUUGAAUUUUAGAAAUGCUUGUGGAAGCUAUGUAUAUAUAUUCUUCCCUUUGAGAUUCUUUACUUUGUGCCAAGUUGAUUGGAUGUGUAACUGGCGAUUAAAUGUUGAUAGUUUAUAGCAAUAGCUAUCAAAUAAAGCGAGUCCAUUUUAAGGAUAUGAUUAAAUCACUUUGCUUGGCCUAAUGCAACUAUUUUCUAACUGCUUUCUAAAUUAACCAAACCUCUAUUGUAUGAUUUGUAUCCUGCUGAAGCCAAGGUACAAGUGUAGUGGUUGAGAAAUCUGCCAUUUUUUUUUUUAGUUUUUUGUUUGACAGAAAAUCUAACAAUUUAAGUGGUUGAAACUGUUGAAUCUUGUGAUAGUAAAUUAUUUACAAUUGCUGUAUAUUAAGGAAAAUUACUUAGGAAAUCAUCUCUGUAUAAGAUAUCUUUAUCGUAUUAUAUAAUAAUAAUAGAAUCAAAUAUGAUCAUUUUGUCAAUAUGGUAUAUAACGGAUAUAUUUUAGUGUUGGACCACCAUUUGAGUUAUUUGUAUGGUGCAUUUUGCGAUACUUUUAUGUGGUGGUAUGAAUGUGAAACGCAUUGUUUCUUACUGUUUGAGAUGUUAGUUAAGUUAGGCAAGAAAAGUUAUUUUGGUUGUUUCUUUUCUCCUUUCAGCAGUAUAUAAUUAGACAUGUUAUGUUUUUACCACUUUCUAAACCUUGUAAUAUACUCGAUAAAAUUUUCUUUGGGCUCUUGUUUGUACAUGGUAUUGUUCUUUUUGCUUAAUGCAUCAUUCUUGAAGUUUUUGUGACUGCAUCCAUGGGAAAUGGUUUGUUAGAGAAGGUGGGGCUGACAGGGUACAUAUUGAGAGGUAGGAAACCAAUUGCAAAAUGAUUCAGAUCCUUCUACUCUUCAAAACUCAGAUAAUCCAAGUAGGAUUCUCAUAUCUGCACCGUUAAAUUUAGUAAAUUAUUCGACUUGGAGUAUGUCUAUGACUAUGACACUUACUUUAAAGAAAGAUUUGGGCAACUUAUACACCAAUUAAAGAAAGAAAUAAGUAGUUUCAGUCAAGAAUCUAUAUGAGUUGUUGUUUACUUUACAAAAUUGAAGAAACUAUGGGAUAAACUUGGUGUUUUAAAGCAUCAUUAAAGAGUAGGUUGAAUAUGAGUUUGUUUUUAGUAUAAUUCUAUGUUCAGCCUCCUCAUUCUUAAAAGAAAAGUUAGGAAGUUAGAAAGUUGGGAGUGGAGGAAAGAGUUUCAUAUAGAUUUUGUGACUUUUGGAANNNNNNNNNNNNNNNNNNNNNNNNNNNNNNNNNNNNNNNNNNNNNNNNNNNNNNNNNNNNNNNNNNNNNNNNNNNNNNNNNNNNNNNNNNNNNNNNNNNNNNNNNNNNNNNNNNNNNNNNNNNNNNNNNNNNNNNNNNNNNNNNNNNNNNNNNNNNNNNNNNNNNNNNNNNNNNNNNNNNNNNNNNNNNNNNNNNNNNNNNNNNNNNNNNNNNNNNNNNNNNNNNNNNNNNNNNNNNNNNNNNNNNNNNNNNNNNNNNNNNNNNNNNNNNNNNNNNNNNNNNNNNNNNNNNNNNNNNNNNNNNNNNNNNNNNNNNNNNNNNNNNNNNNNNNNNNNNNNNNNNNNNNNNNNNNNNNNNNNNNNNNNNNNNNNNNNNNNNNNNNNNNNNNNNNNNNNNNNNNNNNNNNNNNNNNNNNNNNNNNNNNNNNNNNNNNNNNNNNNNNNNNNNNNNNNNNNNNNNNNNNNNNNNNNNNNNNNNNNNNNNNNNNNNNNNNNNNNNNNNNNNNNNNNNNNNNNNNNNNNNNNNNNNNNNNNNNNNNNNNNNNNNNNNNNNNNNNNNNNNNNNNNNNNNNNNNNNNNNNNNNNNNNNNNNNNNNNNNNNNNNNNNNNNNNNNNNNNNNNNNNNNNNNNNNNNNNNNNNNNNNNNNNNNNNNNNNNNNNNNNNNNNNNNNNNNNNNNNNNNNNNNNNNNNNNNNNNNNNNNNNNNNNNNNNNNNNNNNNNNNNNNNNNNNNNNNNNNNNNNNNNNNNNNNNNNNNNNNNNNNNNNNNNNNNNNNNNNNNNNNNNNNNNNNNNNNNNNNNNNNNNNNNNNNNNNNNNNNNNNNNNNNNNNNNNNNUUAUAUACAACUCUCAAUAAGAAUAUUUUAUUAUUUUAUGUAGUUAUUAAUUAUAUAAUUUUAAUUAAAAAAUAUAUGUAUAAUUAAUAUAUAAAAAUAUAUUAUAUUACUAAUACGUAAUUUAGUCAUAUAAUUAAAAACUACAAAAUAAUUAAUACAUUUAUAGUUGAUAUAAAAAAUAUACACAUAGAUAUAUACGUAUAUAUAAUCUAUUUAGGUAGAAUACACUAAAAUUAAUUAAUUAAAUUAUUUAAUUAUAUAUUUAAUAACUAAUUAAAAUAUAUGUUUAUUUUUUAAUAUCAUAGCAGCCGAAACCUGAUAUAAUUUGCUUAAUUAUUUUGAAAAUAUUUUCUAUUUAUUAUGAUCUUUCACUCUUUCAUCCUCCACAAUUUACAAACAGUUACAAAUUUAUUUAUAAAUGUUAAGAGUUUCACAAAUGGACACAACAAAAACAGUUUCUUUUCACGAUUCUAUAUUCGUUUGUACAUUUAUUUAUAUCUCGAUAAUUUUACAAAUAACUUAUAUAUUCGAUUAUAAAUAUGUUUGUAGUAAUUUAAUUUUACAAAUCAAUUAUACAUCCAUUUGUAAAUUUAUAUGUUCUUUUAAUUUUAUAAAAAACGUUUGUAAAUUCGUGUGUAUUCAUUUAAUUUCAUAAAUGAAUUAUAAAUUCAUUUACAUAUCUAUUUAUGUCUAUUUAAUUUUAGAAUGGUUAAACUUCCGUUUGCAAAUCUGUAUAUGUCCAUUUAAUUUUACAAAUAAAUUAUAAGUCCAUUUGUAAAUUAUUCUAUGUCCAUUUAAUGUUACAAACAACUUAUAUAUUGGUUCGUAAAUUUAUUUGUAGCCGUUUAAUUUUUUAAAAAAAUUAUUAUUUAGUUCUUAUGAUAUGAUAAAAUUUAUUAGUUGAUCCCUUUAUUUUAAAAAAUAAAAUAAAACAUUCUUGACAUUUUAAAAAGUCUAUUAGUUAGUCUCUCCAUUAAUUUUAGCCGUUAAGUAUUUUAAUGUUUAGUUCUUAUGCCUUGAAAAAUUUAUUAGUUAGUCCUGCAACUUUUUAAAAAGUCUACUAAUUAGUCUCUCUGUAUCAGGGGCAUUUUAUAAUUUUUUGCAAUACUUAGGGGUUAAAAAUAACAGAAUGAUCAAUUAGUAAAUUUUUUUAAAACGUCAGGAAUAUUUUAAUGUAUUUUCAAAACAGAGGAACCAACUAGUGAGUUUUGUCAUACUAUAGAGACUAAAUAAUUAAUUUUUCUUAAUUUUACAAAUCAAUUACAUGUUUGAUUGCAAAUUCGUGUCUUUUAAAUUUUACUAAUGAUUAUACUUUCAUUUGCAAAUUUGUGUGUACAUUUAAUUUUAAAAAUGGAUUAUAAGUCUGUAGCAAAUUCUUAGGUGUCUAUUUAAUAUUACAAAUGGUUUACACAUAUGUUGUGAGUUUAUUUAUGACCAUUUAAGUUUACAAAUGGUUUAUACAUCCAUUUGCAAAUUCGUGUAUAUCUUUUUAAUUUUACAAACAGUUGGAUUUUCAUUUGCAAAUUCUUAUGUGCCCAUUUAAUAUGGAUUAUACAUCCGUUUGUGAAUCUUUUUAUAAAUAUAAUAUAAGUUUGUUUAUAAAUUCAUGUAUAUCCAUUUAAUUUUAUAAACAGUUUAUAUAUUCGUUUAUAAAUAUGUUUGUGAUGAUUUAAUUUUACAAAUGAAUGACACGUCUGUUUGCAAAUCUGUGUGUCAUUUUAAUUUUAUAAACAGAUUAUAAGUUUGUUUGCAAAUCCAUAUAGGUCCAUUUAAUUUUUCAAACAGAUUAUAGGUCUGUUUGCAAAUUCUUUUCUGUCCAUUUAAUUUUACAAAAGAUUUACACAUCUAUUUGUAAAUAUGCUUGUGACCAUUUAAUUUUAUAAACAAAUUACAAGUCUGUUUUGCAAAUCCUUCUAUUUACAUUUAAUUUUAUAAAUUAAUUAGAUGUCCAUUUGCGAAUCGUUUGUAUACAUUUAGUUUUACAAACAGAUUGCAUGUCCUUUUGAGAAACUAGAUUUAUCUAUUUAAUUUUAUUAACAAAUUAUACGUCUAUUUGUGAAACUGUUUGUAUUCAUUUAAUUUCCUCUUGCUAAUAAUCUAAUCUUUCUCCCAAUGUUCAAAAUUAAAAUAAUCAAUCAUUUCUUCAUCAGCAUGCCUUUAAUCGACCCACCCCAUCUUUUUUAGUGAAUCUGACCUCCUCAUAGAUCCAUCGAUAAUUAAGAGCACUUGAGUAGUUCCACUGACUAGAAGCACCACUCAGAUCCACCUAUAGAUAUUUUGUUCGGAUAAUUUUCACUACAAAAAAUUUUUGAAUUAUCAACAGAUUUUAUUAAUAUGGUAAUUCGCUAACAAUUUCAAUCUGUUAGUAAAUUUAGGGGUGUAAAUGAAUUAAAUUGUUUUUGAGCUAUUUGAGAUUCGGCUUGAUAAAAACUCGACCGAACUUGACUCGAUUUCUAUACAACCCAAACUUAAACUUAAUUUUUAGGCUUAUUUAGUAAACUAGUCAAGCUUAAACUCUAUAGUAUUCGGCUGGUGAACUUACUCAUUUUCGAGUUCAUGAGCAUGCUCGUGAACAGUUUCGUUAAGCAGACUGAGAUUAAUAUCAUAAGAGAAAUAAAUUCAAAUCAUAUAUAUACUUUUAUGAGCUAAAUUUAAAUUUUCUAAAGUUAUUAUAAGAAAUUUUUGGAUUUUCAACAGAUUUUAUCGUUAAUCUAUUGGUACUUUUAACAGAUUUCUAACGAAUUUGAAAAUUUAUUGGUAAUUGUUAAUUGAAAAAAUUGUGUAAAAAUUCACUAACAGAUUUAAAAUCCCUUGGUAUUACUAACAGAUUUAAAAAUUCGUUGGAAAUUUAUAAAUUUAUAAAAUAAUUGGUGUUGAAAUUUACUAAUAGACUUAAAAUCCAUUAGUAAAACCGUUAGUAAUUCACUAACAAUUUCAAUCUGUUAGUAAAUUUAAUGGUGUAAAUGAACCAAACUGUUCGUGAUCUAUUUGAGAUUCGAGUCGAUAAAAACUUGACUCAAUUUUUAAAUGAGUCAAACUCGAACUUAAUUUUUAGACUUGUUUAGUAAACGAGUCAAGUUUAAACUCCAUAGUAUUCGACUCGUUAAGGUUCGUGAGCAGAACUCGUUUUUGAGUUCAUGAGCAGGCUUGCAAACAAGCUCGUAAACAAUCUCGUUAAACAAACUGAGAUUAAUAUCAUAAGAGAAAUAAAUUCAAGCUCUGCAUAUAUUUUCAUGAGCCAAAUCUAAAUUUCUUAAAGUUCAGCUCUAUAUAGUUUAAUUAUACUUUUAAAACUUGCAUAUAUUUGGAUCAUUAAGAGCUCAUCUUUAUAAAUUUACGAGCUAAUUUGUAUAUUUAUUUAUUUAGUUUUAAAUUAAAAAGUACUAUAUAUGUAAAUAAAUUGAACUAUUUGUGAACUAUUUGAAACUAAACUCGAUAAAAACUCGACUCGUCUAAAUUCGUUUGCUAAACGAGCUAAAUUUGAACUUAUUAAUACUCGGCUCAAGUUCGAAAGGAAUAAAACUCAAGUUCAGCUCGAACUGAAACAAAUUUUAACGAACCAAACUUGAAAUCUUCAAAAGUUAGUGCUGCUCGGUUCGUUUGAACCCUAAGUAAAUUUUAAAAAGUGUUUAAAAUACUAACAAACUCUAAAUCCGUUGGUAAUUUGCCCAAAAAAUUACUAACGAAUUUAGAAAUUUGUUUCUAAACUUUAUCAAUAAAUUAAUAAAUAAAAGAAAAAUGUUGAAUUUAUCAACAGAAACUAUCCGCUAGUAAAUUCAUUGGUAAAUUUAAAAUAAAAUCAUGUAUAAAACAUUUGCGUUCUUUUUUUACAACUCACAACUUUCAGUUACCAACGGAUUUAUUAACAGAUUUUAAAUCCGUUGAUAACUUUUAGAGAGAAAAAAGUUACUUUUUUUUAAAAAAAUUAAUAACAAAUUACAAAUUUAUCAGUAAUUCGUUUGUAAAUGUUACACCAGCUCCUAUACUUAUAUCAUUCAUUCAUUUUAUCAUUUUUCUUUCUUACAUUUUCUUUCUCUUUCUCUCAUUUGCUUUAUUUUUCAACUACUUUCUUUCAUUUCACUUUUUUUAUCUCAUAAAUUUUUUUCUUUUUUCUAUUAUUUUCCUAUAAUCACUUAUCCUAUUUUCUCUUGUUCUCUUUCCUCUUCUAUUAUUUUCUUCAUUCUUCAUAAUUUCCUUUCAUUUUCUCCAUUUUUUUCAUUUUUUUUCUUUUCUUUUCUCCAAUUUUCUUCCUUGUCUCUAUAAUUUUCGUUUAUAUUAGUUUUUCUAAUAUUAUUUUCUUCUAUCAUUUUCUUUCUAUUUAUAUUUUUUUCUAUUAUUUUCUCUUUAUUUAUUUUCUUCUCUAAUCAUUUGUUUACUUUUAUUCAUUUCUCUAAUCAUCUUUACUCUGCACUCAUUCUUUCUUCUUUUUCAUAAUUUUUAUUUUUCUAUUAUUUUCUUUAUUUUUCUCUUUUUUCUUUCUUUUUUCUUAUUUCCUCUCAUUUUAUACAAUUUACUUUUCUCUUAUUUUCACUUUCUAUGUAUUUUUAAUAAAUAUUAGACAUAAAUUAAAAUUUAAUAACAAUAAUAAUAUAAUUUUAAGUCUUAUUAAAUUAAUAAAAAAUUAUUAAACUCUCAAUAGAUUUACUAACGGAUUGAAAUCCGUUUGAUGGGUAUUGAUGAUAAAGGAUUAUUUAGAGUCUGUCAGGAGGUUUAACCAAUAUUGUUUAGCUAAUACCAUAUAAGAGAAAGAUAGGUUAGAAUCCGAAAAAUCUUAUUGAAAUUUUUUAAAUAUUGAAAAGUGAGUCGCUAAUAGCCAACGAAAACUAUUUAUAAAAAAAAAUCUUAAUAUGUAAAAUUGUAAAAAUAUUUUAAAAAAUAAUUAAAAUGUAAAAUUAAUCACUCAAACGAUGAAAUUUUUAUCUAGUCUCCAUGCUUGCCACUAUCACAAUUUAUUUUGUAUUGAAAAACCAGAAAUUUAUUUUAUCUAGUCUCCAUGCUUGCCACUAUUAAACCCAACUGAAAAUUUGGUGGUUGGAUUUGAACUUAGUUUGAUUCAUUCAAAUACUUAUUCUCAUUUUUUUUUAUUACUUUAUUAAUUGCAACCUACAUCUAUGUUUGGAAAUAGGUGCAGAGUAUUGGAGAAGAAGAGCUUAGAAUCCGGAGCUUGAUGAUGACUGCUAAGUGUGUGUUUGGAGAUGGUUUCUUUUCAGAAGCUGCGCGGGUCACAUUUGUUUUUACCUUGUUUAAUAUAUUUAUUUAUUAUUUAGUUUAUUUUUCAGUUAAUGAAUUUAAGUUUUAAAUCUAUAAGUAUGGUCCUUGGAUUCAGAAGGGAUGAGACACUUUUAAGUAUUAGUGUGUAAAAUCUAUAUGAUUACUUAAUAUUAAUUAGAUUAAUGAUCACUGAUCAACAAAAGUGAAGCAACCAAACUCAUGUAAAUCUUAUUUUUUUAGCAGAGUGUAGUGCUCCAAAUCAGGUAGGUGUUCAUGUGACAGGUAUUUUACAGUCUCAUUAUGGUGUAGUAGUUAGAGGUGUAAAUGAACCGAACUAUUUGUGAGUUACUCGAUCUUUGCAUUGAUAAAAAUUUGACUGGACUCAAUUCGAUUUAUAAACGAGUCAAGAUCGAGCUUAAUUUCUAAGCUCGUUUAGUAAACCAGUUAAACUUGAACUCCAUAGUAUUCAGCUCAUUAAAACUUGUGAACUCAGCUCAUUUCUGAGUUUAUAAGGAGACUCGCGAAUAGGCUCGUGAACAGUUUCCUUAAAUAGAUUGAGAUUAAUAUCAUAGGAGAAAUAAACUCAAAUAUUAUAUAAACUUUCAUGAGCCGACUUAAGUUUUCUAAAGUUCAAUAUUUUUACUCGUUAUUAAUUCAAUAUUUAUGUUAAUUCAAAAUUUUUAUGUUAAUUCAAUAUUUUCAGUCUUUAUUAAUUUUAGCUAAUCUUAUUAAUUUUUAUUAAUUUAUUCAAUAAUUUUAAUAAUUUUGUUAUUUUUAACAAAGUUUCGUGUUGAUAUAAAAAAAUAAAAUAUUUAAUUUUUUAUUAUAACCAUUUCUUUUUUUUAAUCGAAGAUAACCAUUUCAACAUUCUGUAUGAAAAAUUUAGAGAAUUAAUUAAAUGUGAAUAUUGCAUAUAAUUUGUGAUAAUCUCUCCCAUUUCAAACUCCUAACAAAAAAUCUACUGACCUUUAAAUUAAUUCUGCCAUUUUAAGAAACUAAAAACCAUAAAACUGAAUAAAUUUUAUCGUCAUAUCUUAUUAUUCUCAAAAUUAUAAACUUAAGCAUCACUCCAUAUUUAGCAAUUACCAUUAAUAAAUCAAAACGUAAAUAAUUAGAUAAUUAACAAAGAUUCUUCUUCACUGCCUUAAUUUGCAACUUUUUAAAACCAAUUAAAAAACUAAUCCAGCUAAAAAAACUUUGCUUAAUGCUGGAACUCCAAAUUUCAUUUGAAAAAUUCACUCGUUAUCCAUAUAUAUAAACUGAAUUUCAAACUAUUCUUUUUUGUUAUAAAAUUUCCUUUCGGAUUUUCUAACUCUCAACCUUUCUUUAACUUAAAAAAAUUUCAUCAAUAAUGCCAUCGUCGAAAGCUUCUAGUAGGAAAAUAGUUCUACUGAUCAGAAAGCCAAAACUCCACAAGUUCGAAAAGGCUACAUAGCCAUGUAUGUGGGUGACGAGAGUAAGAGAUACCAAGUUCCAGUGGAGAAUCUGAAGUUUCCAGCAUUACAAGAAUUGAUUAAACAAUCUCAGAAUGGUGAUCUCGACUCCAAGAUUGAUGGGCCAAUCGUGCUUGCUUGCACUACUGACAAGUUUGAUGAAACUUGCAAGGGGAUUCUCACGUUUGAUGAAACUUUAGAGAGUUUUGAAUAAUUCUUUUUUAUAUGAUUAAAUUAUUAAUAGGUCAUUGUAGUUUAUCAAAAUUAACUAUUCAAUCUCUAUUUCUGUAAUGACCCGGGAACCGGACCGCUACCAGCGCUAGGAUUCAGAUCGACUUAAGGUCGCCGGAACUCUUUAGCAAGCCUACUGUACUUUUUAUUGUACCUGAUAAAAUCCCAUACAUGAUCAUACCUUUACAAAAAAACUUAAACAUUUCAUGAAAUCAAGCUCAACCUGUGCAUAUAUCAUAAACUGAAACAUAAAACCCAUAUAGAGCCCUCAUCAAAUGCUACAGUAUGGUCAACAUACAUGCCUUGCUUGAAACAUAACUCAUACAUAAAACUUUUACAAUAAAAAAAAUCAUGUAAACUGGGAUUACAAGACUAUCAAUAGGGCAAAACACAAUUCUAAUCCAUUAUAACAUUACAUGUCCACAACUAUUCUAUUACCUAACUAUACCAGCUACUAUGCCGGCUCCCCGAUGCUAUCUUAGACCCUGCAAAGUCUGGGGUUAGGGGAAAUGGAUAAGUUACAAGAGCUUAGUGAGCAUAACAGUAAAAACAAUUUAAUAAACAUAUGCUCAUAUGAAAUGCGUCACAACACAAACAAAUCACCUUAAGAUGGACUUAUCACCAGUAACCCUCUACAUAUUCCAAAUAAUGUCCGGCCCUCGACGGAGCUCCUCAUAACUUCCUCUUAAACAUAACAUAACAUAUUCAACUGUGCCAGGGGCAUAGAAUGGGCAGCCCUGGUCUUCCAUAUCGUAUCAUAUCAUAACCUGCUCGAGGGCUAGUGGGUCAUCCAAUAUCCAUCCACAUCAACAGUAAAAAUGCAAUGCAUCAUAUUUGUGAAUUCUAGUGCAAGCAUCCUAAUACAUAAACAUGGCAUUCGUGAUGCAUGAACAUACUUAAAAGUUUAGUUACUUUAGAAAAUAUAGUUCAGUUCUACUCACCUCUGGCUGACGCUUUCUAAACACUGAAGCAGCUGACUCACUGCUGGCCUCUUCGGUCUCCCAAGUCCGAUCCUACAAAGAUAGACUCAAAUGAGGGACCAAACAUAACUCUAACAAGACUCUAAACAUCUCCCCCAAAACCCUCUAAAACAAUAUAAACCAUGCAUAGAAAACAAGCAAAGGAAGGCUGGAUAGGGGACUUUCGGCGGCAGGUUCGGCGGCCCAAAGUCCCUUCCAGAUUGGAAAGUCAGGGACUUUUGGGGGCGAGUUCGGCGGCCGAAGGUCUUUCACAGAUCCGAAAGUCACUAACAUUCGGGGGCAGGUUAGGCGGCCAAAGGCUGCCUCCACAAGCAGGUUCGGCGGCCGAAUCUAGGUCCUCCAGAAUGGAAGAACCCGAUUCUACUUCAUGCCCAAAGCCACCAAAACCUUCCAUUCUCACACCCAACUUCUCAAAAACAUGCAUACACUCACUCAUCAAGCAUAAGGGGCAUAAAACUAGUCUAAUCCCAACAAACAAUAACAAAAACAUCACAUAAGCAAACAUUCAUAAACAACCCAGCACAAACCCUAUAACAUUAUAUCUAACCAUUUCAUGCAUCAAAACCCUUAAACCUCUUUAAAACUUACUUAAAACAUAAGAAAAGACUAGGAUCUAUGCUUACCUCUUGAGGAACACGGUCUCCAAGCUUCCAAAACUUUGGUUUUAAGCUUAAAACUUCAAAAGCAAGGGAAAAACUCAUAAAUAUUUUGAAGGAUUUGAAGGAAAAACAACAAAAUUAACAAUGGGAGGGCAAGAACUCACCUUUGCCUGAAAAUGGGAAGGCAACAACAAACUCAUAAAUAUAUAUUCUUUUAUAUAUUAUAAUUUUACAUUAAUAUUAAUAACAAAUAAAAUUGAAAAUGUGAAAUAUAUGUAGUGAGUUUGAGCAUUUCAAAAUUUUAUUAUUUUGAAAUAAUUUUAUAUAUUAAUUUUUUUAUUACAUUAAUUAAAAUCAUAAUAUUAUCUAAAUAGAUGUCAAAAUAAAAAUGCGCUAAACAAUUCCCAUAAGAGUAAAGGUUGGUAAAAAAAAAAUAAUUUUAUUAUAUUAAAAAAAUAAUUAAUAAUAAAAAAUUAUAUAAGCUAAAAAUUAAUUAUAUUUUUCAUGAAAUUUUAUUAAUAUUAAAAAUAAAAUCAACAAUUUAUAUAACCGCCUUUAAUUAGGUAUCUACAAAUAGCACGUAGGUUAAAAAAAAUUAUUAUUACAAAAUGAUAAAUUUAAUUUGCUAUUAAAUAAUAUUUUUAUAUGAAAAUUUAAUAAAAAAUUACAAAAUGUGGUGCAUAUAAACAACAGAGUAAUGCAUUUCCUUUACCAGCAGGCAGAGAGCCUUCCUUUUCCAAUUCUCUAUUUCCUUUCCUCAUUCCCAAUCUCCGAUCCAUCCCUAAAAACAACUGACGAGAGAUCGAUGAUGAUGAAGAUGCCCUGGAGGAGGAAGAGCAGGAGCUUCCAUCUUCAGCUACAAGGGGCAAUUGGUACCAUUCAAUCUCCAUUCCUAUUCUUAUUUACCAAUUAUUGUCAUUCUUCUACUUCCACACUUGAAGAUGCACGCUUCUUGACAAAUAACUUCAAAUCUGCUUCUUUUACCCACCUUGAUGAUGCCAUUGCUUCCUUCAAUCAUGUAAUUCAUAAGCAUCCUCUGCCUUCUAGAGUUCCAUUUAAUAGAUUCUUAUCUGCCCUUGUGAAAAUGAAACAAUAUCACACUGUCCUUUCCAUGUCCAAAACAAUUGAAUUGCUAGGAAUCUCACACGAUGUUUAUUCUCUUAGCAUCUUAAUUAAUUGCUUCUGCCAUUUACACCUUGUGGAUUUUGGCUUCUCUGUUUUUGGUAAGAUGCUCAAAUUGGGAUUGGAGCCUGACGUUGUGACAUUUACUACCUUAAUUAAUGGGCUUUGUAUAGAGAGUAAAAUCGACAAAGCAGUGGAAUUUUUCGAUGAUAUGGUUGCACGUGGUUAUCCACCUAAUGUUUAUACUUACAGUGUGAUAAUAAACGGAAUGUGUAAAUUUGGGAAAACAAGUGUGGCUAUUAGGCUACUAAAGGGAAUGGCUGAUAGAGGUUGUGAGCCAAAUGUUGUGACAUACAGUGCAAUCAUUGACGCCCUUUGCAAAGAUGAGCUAGUUGGUGAGGCUUUAGAGCUCUUCUCUCAAAUGAGGAAUAAGGGCAUUUCACCUGAUGUCAUCACUUACACUGGUUUAAUUCAUGGUGUUUGCAAAUUAGGCCAAAAGAACCAAGCUUUGGCCUUGAUGAAUGAAAUGGUGGAGCAGAACAUAUCACCUAAUGUUUAUACCUUCAAUGUAUUGAUUGAUGCCCUUUGUAAGGAUGGAAUGGUUUCAGAGGCUCAAAAUACAUUCAAUGUAAUGAUUCAAAGAGGUGUAGAGCCUGAUGUGGUCACCUACAAUUCCUUAAUUGAUGGUCUUUGCAUUUCAGACCAAUUCAAGGAAGCUUUGGGCUUGUUGAAAAAAAUGGUGGGGAGGAACAUAUCCCCUAAUGUUUUUACCUUCAAUAUAUUGAUCGACACUCUUUGUAAGAAAGGACUGGUUUCAAAUGCAGAGAAUAUAAUCAAAAUAAUGAUUCAAAGAGGUGUGGAACCUACCGUUGUCACUUAUAGUUCAUUGAUGGAUGGAUAUUGUCUAGGCAGCCAAAUUGAUAAGGCUAGAAAGGUAUUUGAUCUGAUGGUGACCAAUGAAAUAGCUGACAUUUUUAGCUACAACAUUUUGAUCAAUGGAUAUUGUAAGUGCAAAAUGAUAGAUGAUGCAAAGCAGAUUUUUGAUGAAAUGUCUCAUAAAGGUUUAGUUCCUGAUGCUGUUACUUAUCAUACUCUUAUAAAGGCUAUGUUUCAAGCAGGGAGGCCCCAAACUGCAAAAGAGCUCUUUAAGGAUAUGUGCUCUCAUGGUCAACAGCCAAAUAUAGUAACCUUCUCAAUUAUGAUUGAUGGCUUGUGUAGACAGGGGAAUCUUGAUGAGGCACUCACCCUAUUGAAAGCAAUGGAGAAAAGUCAGUUGAAGCCUAAUUUUGUGAUCUAUAGCAGUCUGAUCAAUGGUAUGUGCAAAGUUGGGAACUUUUUUCUAGUCUUUUUGAAAUUGGUUUACAACCUGAUGUUUAUGUAUAUAAUGCAAUUAUGAAAGGACUCUGCCAACAAGGAUUAAUGGAUGAAGCGUAUAAGGUAUUUAAAGACAUGGAAAAGGUAGGAUGUUUACCAAAUAAUUGUUGUUAUAAUAUCAUUAUUCAAGGGUUUCUCAGGCAUGAGGAUUUACCAAAAGCAUCAGAACUAAUCAACGAAAUGGUUGAUAAGGGGUUUUCUGCUGAUGAUGCUACCACAGAAUUGGUAGUACAUUUAUCGCGGAAUAAUGAUAUGAGGGAUCAGCAAACUAAAGUUGUUAUAUCUUGACCAUUCAAGUGUCUUGGAGCGCAACUUGGUAAUAACCUUUUUCAAAUAUAAUAAAUAUGUAAUUUAACUAACUUCUUCAAAUAUCAUUUUUAAUUUCAAUCAGCUCUGAUUCUCUUCCACAAAAUGAAAAUUUCUAACACGACAAAUGACCUGUAGUGGAAACCAUGAUAUAUGUGUGCCUUUCGAUUGAAUUCAGACAUGGACUUGAUCUUUUUGAUAUAAGAUUGUUGAUGAAUAGAGGUCAUGGAUUUCUAAUGAUCAAGUUGCUGGUAAACCCACCAUCUCCUUUACAAAUUUUUUUUGGUUGCUACUACAGCCUUAACUCGAGAGCUCAGUCCUAAAAUUGAGGUUAGAACUAAAAUUAAUUGGUUCCAUACUACAAUGCUUAAGAAUCUUUAUCUAUUUUUAUUUUUGUGCUCAAUGACCUUUUAAAAUGCUAUCAUUUCUCUUGUAGGUACUUGCAAGGAUAUGAUUACAACUUCACCUUUCUAACCAUAAAGNNNNNNNNNNNNNNNNNNNNNNNNNNNNNNNNNNNNNNNNNNNNNNNNNNNNNNNNNNNNNNNNNNNNNNNNNNNNNNNNNNNNNNNNNNNNNNNNNNNNNNNNNNNNNNNNNNNNNNNNNNNNNNNNNNNNNNNNNNNNNNNNNNNNNNNNNNNNNNNNNNNNNNNNNNNNNNNNNNNNNNNNNNNNNNNNNNNNNNNNNNNNNNNNNNNNNNNNNNNNNNNNNNNNNNNNNNNNNNNNNNNNNNNNNNNNNNNNNNNNNNNNNNNNNNNNNNNNNNNNNNNNNNNNNNNNNNNNNNNNNNNNNNNNNNNNNNNNNNNNNNNNNNNNNAUCUAACAAUAUGAAGUUCACAAUCUUUUCCAAUGAAAUCAAUUCUAAUACUCUUUCGUUGUCUAAAAAGAAUGGAGGCUUAGGCGUCAAAGAUAUCUCUCUUCAAAUUCAAGCUCUUUGGAGAUUUGAAAAUCAUAGGCAUUUCUUCCCUUCAGAAAGACAUUCGAAUUGCGGGUAUGCUACUUUCGAUGAACUCUUCUCUCCUUUUAAUCAUAUCAGAUUGGCUAAUGAUAUAUUUUCUUAAUUUUAUUUAUUAUAAUUUUUUUAGAUAACUUUGAUUAAAUAUAUUCAUAUAAUAAUGUGAUAUUAAGAUAAUAGGAGCCCAAAUUGAAUAUUAAAUAACAGAUAUUAGCAAAUAAAAAGUUGAAUAUUCAAUUAUAAUGAAAAAUCAACUAAAAUGAUAUAUUUUCUUAAUUUUAUUUAUUAUAAUUUUUUUAGAUAACUUUGAUUAAAUAUAUUCAUAUAAUAAUGUGAUAUUAAGAUAAUAGGAGCCCAAAUUUAAUUGCCUAUUUGCAAUAAUAAUAAUAAUAAUAAUAAUAAUAAUAAUAAUAAUAAUAAUAAUAAUAAUAAUAAUAAUAAUAAUAAUAAUAUAUUAUAUAAAAAAAUAAUAAAGAGAUAAAACAAAAAUAACAGUAAAAUAUUAUUUAAUUUGUGAAAGUGUUAAAUUUGGUUGUAGAGAAAUAGAGUGGUGAUGAUCUGAGAUCCACUAAAAUAGGGUUUUAUAAGGAUUUCUUGUAUGGAAUCAAAAGCUUAUCCUUUUUUUUAGGGAGGGGUCUACCCUUUUAUCUUUUUCUUCCUGCUUGCUAGUGACGUGUAACGUCCUUCCUGUCAUUGGACCACGCGUCUCUGCUAUGAAGAUAUGGACGUACGAGGAUAUCAGGCAUCUGCCUCAUGCGUAACGACUUCUGAUUCUCUCCAUGCGUACACACGAGCGGAUCUGCGGGCUGGUCGACGGGUCUCGUUCUUAAUUCUGGGCUGGGCCGAGAGAGGAACUGAAUGCUGAGCCCAGGAGAUGGAGAUGGAGAUCUGCAUGUGAGGUCAUGCGAGCCGGGCUGAUCUGGGUGAAGAGUCCUGGUGGAGUCCGGCCUCAAGGGUUGAAUGAGACGGGCCUGCUUCAUUUAUAUGGCAUGUGGGCCUUCCUUUCGUGGGCUAUGGCCGUGGUCUAGGCCCAUAAUCGGGGUGGAGAAAUCCAGCGGUCAUCAAUUGCCCCUUUACCUUCUCGGCAGUUAUUGCUCGACUGUCGAGGGGGUAAAUACCAAGAACCAUUAUGACCGCGUCUGUUCGGAUGCAGAUGCCUUUAUAACACCCUUUCAUCUUAUUGCCACUUCUCAGUUUUUGAAUCUGGUCUGCCUUUUUCCCUUUCCGGCUUUUCCUUAUUCUUCGUGUACCCUGCCAUCUUUGCUUUCCUGCCAUUAUCGUCCGGACACGCAUUUUCUUUCUUUUUCCAUGAAUAGCUUUUAAGGAUCCUGACAUUGUCAGCUUAGAGUCUAGCACCACCCUACCUUGCACUAAAACCCCAACUUUUGGGUAUAUAUUAGCAUCUCCUCCUCUUCAUUCUCAGGCACUUUGUUGGAGCAAGGAGGUCUUUCUUUCGAAUUUGUCUGUUAGAACGAGAGUUUUAUAUCUGUAGAGGGUCUAUCCGAUGCCUUCUUCAAACUAGUUAAGACGAGCUUAGGACUUCAUUACUCUGUUUCUCGUGAGGUUUGCUUCAAUCUCUCUUAUAUGAUCCUGAUAGAAUAUUAUUUUGACUUGCCCCGGUUUUGGAUUUUUUGCAGUAUCUGAGAUGAAGAUGAGUCAGUCCGAGCCUCUGGAAAAUUUUACGUUGCCCCUAGGGAGUCUGAACGUUGUUUCGGAGGUCCUCCUAGUGGGGCGAUCGAUGGGUGGGACCAUUCUGCAGGUCAUUGAAACCAUCUCGCCCAGGUCGUCCGGCCGACCUCCUCCCCUGGUUAUUGUUCGAGCUCCAAAGAGGUUCCGGGCUGCUGAGAGGUCCGCUCUGGCUUUGUCUUCUUUCGAGAAAGAAAAAGAAACUUCUACGAUGCCCCUGUUGUCCGCUCCUGAUUCAAAUAGAGGUGGUGAAAAUGAUCAGCUUAUUGCCGACUUCGGUGUGGAGUGCUUGCGUUAUGAGAGACUGAGAUCUGCUGUACUCAGUCAAGCUUCCGUCGAUGCCUUUGAAUAUAUGCUCUGCGAUCUUCCUGGAGCCGUAACUCGAAGGCUUAUGUUUUUCAUGCGUGAUAUGCGAUCAACGUAUAAUAUCUUCGCUUGUUCGUAUGCACCGUGAAUCACACUUGGGCAACAGAAUGCUCGCCUAUAACGGAACGGUGAGAAAUGCUUAUGGGAAUCAACUUGUUCAGUUCUCCUAUAAUAACAAAGUAGAGCUCGGCCGACCUGCAAAGCUCGUUUUCCUAACUACGAGAAUUCCUCUGAAUUGAAAACUAAGAUAGUGGGAUAGGUGACAGUGAUGUAAACGUAGAUGAUGAUGUAUCUGGGCAUGUAAAUCCUUUAAGGAUAGCCUUUUAUUCCGUAAUGUAGGUAUUCGUAACGUGCUGUAAUGAAAUUUUUGUUUUUCGUUCAUACUCGAGCUGUUCUUUCCCCAUCAUGAAUGAAGUAUUUAGAUUGCUUGCUUCGUAGUUUUUCCUGAGGGAUCCACUAUUGUUUUUUCCUUCUUGCCUCCUAGUUGAUCAGAACUAGAGUCCAUUUAGCCGACUGAGCUUUCGAUUUACUUUUUCCGAACUGGACUAACCGUACCCGUGAGCUCUGUUUUUAAUCAAUGAGUUGAGCUCUGAGUCCACUUAGCCAACUGAGCUUUUGGUUUACUUUUUCCGAACUGGACUAACCAUACCCAUGAGCUCUGUUUUUAAUCAAUGAGUUGAGCUCUCGACCCACAGCUUUGUAUGAUUCCGAGGCGUCCUUAUCGCUUCAUUACUACAACUUCAGGCUCGUAGCCUUUGUUUAGUGAUGAUAAAUCAAAUCCUGUACCUUCCUAGGUGAUGGGCAGGUCUGAUCUUUAUCAUGCUUCCCUCUGUUCGCGUCCUUGGAUCUUUCCCUGAUUUACCCCUUUUACCUCCUUAGUAUUUAUCGUAUGAGUGAUGAUGAGGUAAACCUUGCAUGUUGAGCCGUCCUGGGUGAGAGAUCGAAGUAGACCUCGGUCUUAAGGUUUGGACGAGUUGGGCUUGUUUUAUGUAGAUAGCGUAUGGGCUUUCGGGUGAUGGGCUAUCGUCGUGGACCUGACCCUUGAUAGAGGUGAAGAAGCCCAGCGGUCAUCCCUUUGCCCCUUUACCUUCUCGCCAGUUAUUGUCUAACUGUUGAGGGGGUAAACUUCGAGAGUAAUAAUAACCGCGCCGCUCCAAAACAAAACUGCUCAGAACAACGCUUCAUCUCAUUAUUGCCUUUCACUUCGAAUUCUCUGUGUCUUCCGAAGAAACUUGUUCUCGUCUGCUCUCUGUUUUCCUUCAACUUCUUCUGCUUUUUCCACCUUAUCGCGUUUCAGGUACGCUUCCUUAUUCCUCCAUGGAGGGUUCUAAGCUCUCCGAUGUUGCUAAUCUUGGUCGCACGUUACCUCUUCUACCAUAACUAAGUACAUUUCUAGGAGGUAUUUAGACACUCCUCUUUACCUUAUUCGGGCUCCUUUCCGAAAUGAAAGAAUAGUUCUUCUAAAUCCUCCCCCUCCUGGUUUGAUGGAUCCCCAAAGGGGUCGUUGCAUAGUCUUCUUCCUCAAACAAAGAGACUUCGGUCAGACUUUCCCUUUUACCCCUUUCUUUAUCGAGGUUUUUCGAUACUUUAGGGUAACCCCCGGAUAUUGUCUCCAAAUUCCAUUUUGUUCAUGUGUUAUUUUGAAUCUAUCUGCCUGAGUUGGGGUUUUACGCCCACGGCAUGUUUAUUCGUUACUUUCUUCCGCCUCGUCAAGGCGGUUUAGAAUUUUUACUAUUUUUCCCCCCGUGGUGGGUUGUCUCUUUUCACGGGCUACAAGGAUUCCAUAAAGGGAUGGGUAGAGAGUUUCCUUGUGGCAGAGCUGAGAAAAGAGACCGCCUUAUCGUGGGGAGUGGAGCUAGGUUGGGAGGAUGUCGCUCCGGGCUGCAACGACCUACCCCAACUAAGCCUUACUGAGCAGGUGGGGUUUCUUCGACUGACUUCUGUUGACAAGAAGUAUGACGUCGAGAAGUGUAUGUUCGUGUCUAAUCUUAGGGAUAUCCGGGACACGGGUAUAGUGUCUUGUUCAGCAAUUCUGUUUUUUCCUUGCAAAUGAUAUCGGAAAGUACGCUAACUCUUUAUAGUUUUGUGUUUUUGCAGCUUCUGACGUUAAAAUGGAUGAGAUCAAGCCCCCGAAGAACUUAGUUCUGACCCGGGACAGUAUGCAUGCCUCCUUUGAUGCUCUUCGGGCUGGGCGUCAGGUGUCUGAGGUCGCUGCAGAGGUGGCUCAGAUUGCCUCUUCUAAGAAGGUUAGCCGUCCUCCUGCUAGAUCUUCCUCUCGAGCUCCUAAGCCGAGCUCUCGCGGUACCAAAUCACUUCGGCCAUCUAGCCGUGGCAGGUCGAUCUCGACUCCUAAACCUGCUGAAGAGUCUAAGUCUGCUCAAGCUUCUACGGAAGAUGUGAGGGAAACUCCUCAAGUCAUUGUGGAGCAGACAGAGGUUAUUGAGCAAGCGAAGUUGGGUCUUGCUCAUCCUUCUGAGGAGGGGCCAGGGGGAAGUUUAAGUCCCCCAUUACCGACGAGGAGGUUCCUGGGAAGGGAAUGGAGGUCGUUCUUGGGGAGGACAAUGUCCCGACGGCUCCUAUCAAAGAUGCCCCUGCCCUUGUGGAGACUGGAUCUGGGUCUGGAGGUACCAUAGUGAAAACCGGGGACAAGCGUCCAGCCCCUCCCGAAACGUCUGCCCCAGCCCCUACUCGGAAGAAGUCCAAGGUUUCCAAAGUCUCCUCUCCAGCCCUUCCUCCCAUUGGGAAGGAGAAAGAUGUUCCUGUUGUGCCUCUGUUGUCUGCUCCUGACAAUAAUAUUUUGAACAAGGAGGACAUCACCCAUCAAUCUCCGGCCAGUGUAGUCGCCGAGAUCCUUAGAGAACGGAUGUUUGGUGGAAUUAGGGAGGCCUCGGAUCAACAUCUGCUUGCCCUCACUGGUCUUUUAGCCAGUUCUACUAAGGAGCAAGUGUCAUUCCAGUAUCGAUCUCGUGAGGAGCUCGGGAAUACAAUUAGGGAGAUGCUUCUGAUGGUAAAUCGUCUUUCUCUUUUGGUUUUCUUUAUUUCUUUCUUUUGAUGGUUGUUCUUUUGUAUUAGGUGAUGGGCCUUUUCAUAGAGGUAGACGCUCGCGACCAUUCUCUCCGGGAGUCUGUGAAUCACCGGAUUGAAAAGGCGCGCCUGGAGGAGAACUUAUCUGCUACCGGCGACGCUAGAGGCAAUCUCACAGCUGCUCGAGAGCAUACCCAGUCUCUCCAGGUGGAGUUGCACUCUGCAUUGGAGGCCCUUAAAAGAGCUGAGGGGAGGGCGGCUGAGGCAGUGGAGCACACCAAGUCCCUGGAAGUAGAGUUGUCUCAUACUCGCAGGGUUCUCAAGGAGUCUGAUGAGAGGGCGGCUGCAGCGGAGGUCCGAAGUGAAGAAGUUUUGAAGCAGUUGUCCUCUAUGGUAGAGGCCCUUCGUGAAAGGAAUGAGGCUAUAAGCCAGAAGGAGGAGGUUCAGCGCCAGUAUGAGGCCCUGAAGGCUGAUUUAGAAGGGCUUCAGGUUCACCUGGAUAAGGCGAAUACUCAAAAGGAGAGGGCCCUGGCUCGGGUCGAGGUUCUUGAGCAGGAGUUGAGCAAGAAUUCUGAACGUAUUAGAGAUAUGUCUUCAUUGGUGGAGGAGUCCUAACUUCACAGUCAACAGCUUAACCAUGAAGUCAGGACUUUAGAACGUAAAUGUUCAGCCCUGCUCAAGGUAGUCAAACAUGCUGAAGGCAAGGUCCAGUUGGAGCGUGAGAAAUGUCUAGUGGAGUACCAGGAGUCGGAGGAGCUAAAAAGAAAAAUUGAGCAGGCCUGUGAGGCUCACCUCCAAGACUACAAAGAUUCCCCUGAGUUGAAGGCAGUCAUAGCUGAGGCCUGCGAGUCACAUCUUGACGAGUAUAAGGCCUCUACGGAGAUGAAGACUGCUAUUUGGCAGAAAGCCUUUCGCAUGUACAUGACUGGCUACAACCGGGGUAUAAGAGAGGCUAGACAUGCUCCUGAUACUCCUCUGGCAGAAUUUCGAAUUGCUGAAGUGGAUUCUGAUGGCGAGCAGGUGCUAUAUGGAGAAGAUGAUUUCCCUUUGCCUAGAGGAACCUCUCGCAUUGCAGCUGGGUCAGCUGUGUCUUCUGGGGAAGAAUCCGAGCCGGACGGGGAAGACAUGGAGGCCCUCGGAUCUGAAGGAGACGACUCUGAGCCUGAGGGGGAAGACCCCGGCCCAGGGCUGGAGAUUAUGCCUUUUGUUGGCAUUGAGAAAUCUAAGCUGGAGGAUGUCAAAUCUCCUUCAGAUGCAAAUGUAAAUAAAGAUAGUGUAGGCGAGGAUAUUCUUAGAAAUGUGAGUCCCUUGAGGACUGUUUUUCCUCCGACCUCGUCUGAUAAAUAGAUUGUAAUAGCCUUUUCUCUUAAUGAAAUUUUAAUUUCUUUUACUUGAACUACUUUUUGUUUUUCAUACAUCCUGGAAUUUAUCUCUUCUUAUCAUAAUUGGAACACUUAAACUGCAUAUCUCGUAAUUUUUCCUGAGGGGUCCUCUGUGAUGUCUUUUUCUUUUUGCCUUUAUGCCCCUCAGAACUGCGAUUCCGUCAUUUGGCUGAGCUCCUGACUUGUAGAUUUAUCUAUUUUACUAGGAUAUUUUUAUUCACAAGCUUUUUCCGAGCUAAACUAGUCUUUAGUUAUGAGUUUGGUUCUUAGCUAAUUGUUUGAGCUUAUGAGAAGUCAGAUCACAUACCUUUUAAUGGUGACUAGCAGGGCUGCCUUUUUGCUUUUAGUUCUGACUUGUCAGGGAAUAGAGUUGAAGUCUCUUCUGUUCAUAUCAUUGGGUUUCUCCCCGAGUUGCCCCUUUACCUCCUCAACAUUUCAUUACAUGAAUGGUGAGGGGUAACUCCCUAAACUUUGUAUGUGCUUGUAUGGGCUUAUUUUAGAUAAUUUUACCUUUCUUCUUGGUUAUGAGCUCGGAUGUCUAUUCAUGGCGAACUGACUCAGGUUGUGGGCAUAGUCCUUUGCUUUCAUUUAUCCUCCUAUGUGUUCCCGAGUGUUUCAUGUUGCGAGUUUAUCCGAGCUGAAAGCUCGGUCCUUUACUCUUCGCUUAGGCUUUUAUACCUAUAACCUGUGAUGCUUCUUAUACCCCUGAGUGUUUUCCGGGCUCUUUGCUGUUUUAGACCUCUCUCUAAGCUAGUUGAGCUAGUUUAGUGUCAGCGGUCACUUCUCGAGGUCUGUGCCUCUUGGCUAUUGUGGCCCGAGCUUCUUCGGGAGGUCGGAAUCUGGUUUUUCAUUGGUAGCUUUGGACUUAUCUUUCUCGUGAGAUCGGAGCUGUAUUUUUAUGAGUCGUCCCUGCAUAUGAUACUGGGAAUCUUUGCUCCGGGAGGCCCUUAAGACCUUCACCGACCGUUUUUGUUUUGUUUUUCCGGGAGAUCCCGGUCUUGUUUGUUUUUCCGGGAGUUCUUAGGGGAUCUCGGUCUUAUUUGUUUUCCCGGGAGUUCUUAGGGGAUCCCGGUCUUGUUUGUUUUCCCGGGAGUUCUUAGGGGAUCCCGGUCUUGUUUGUUUACCCAGGAGUUCUUAGGGAUCCCNNNNNNNNNNNNNNNNNNNNNNNNNNNNNNNNNNNNNNNNNNNNNNNNNNNNNNNNNNNNNNNNNNNNNNNNNNNNNNNNNNNNNNNNNNNNNNNNNNNNNNNCUUGUUUGUUUACCCGGCAGUUUUUAGGGAUCCCGGUCUUGUUUGUUUAUCCGGGAGUUCUUAGGGGAUCCCGGUCUUGUUUGUUUACCCAGGAGUUCUUAGGGAUCCCGGUCUUGCUUGUUUAUCCGGGAGUUCUUAGGGAUCCCGGUCUUGUUUGUUUACCCGGGAGUUCUUAGGGAUCCCGGUCUUGUUCCUCCAAGAGGUCUUUCUGAGCCCUGUUCUUUCUUUCUUAUGGAGGAUUAUUAUUCAUAAAAGAUAAUCUCAUUAUGUAAACAAUUUUAUUCAUUCAUGUUUGUCAGAAUACAAUGUUUUUCUUUACAAAUAUAUCAGGGGAAAUACCUCUUUAGGUGCUGAAUAUUCCAAGCGUGGAGCUCAGGGUUUCCUUGCAUAUCUUCGAUUUGGUAUACCCCUGGCUUGACCACUUUUGCUACCCUGAAUGGGCCCUCCCAGGUCGGUGCUAACUUACCCGCUGCCGCUCUUUUUCCUGUAGCUUCUAGGUUUCUCAAGGCCAGGUCUCCCACUUUCAAGCUUCUUUCUCUAACCUUUUGGUUGUAAUAUCGUGCUGCCCGUUGUUGGUAAGCGGCAGUUCGGACUUGAGCUUCUUCCCUAAUUUCUUCGAGAGCGUCCAGAUUGCUUUUUAUUUUGUCAUCAUUAGUGUUCUCACUAACAAAUUGGACCCGAUGAGUGGGGAUCUGCAAUUCGAUUGGGACUACAGCCUCUGUGCCGUAAGCAAGUGCAAAGGGUGUUUCUUUAGUGGGCCUUCUGGGGGUGGUUCGGAGUGCCCACAGGAUACUGUUGAGUUCUUCCGCCCAAUUCCCCUUUGCCCCAUCCAGCCGUUUCUUUAAUCCUUGGAGGAUAGCUCUGUUGGUAACCUCUGUUUGACCGUUAGUUUGAGGAUGGGUCACGGAGGAGAAUUUGUGCCAGAUGCCCAUGUUCGUCGUAAAUGCUCUGAAGGUGCUGCAAUCAAAUUGUCUACCAGUAUCUGAGAUAAGCACUCUUGGUAUGCCAAAUCUGCAGAUGAUAUGUCCCCACACAAAAUCUAUCAUCUUGCGAGCUGUGAUCGUGGCUAUUGCUUCCGCCUCUAGCCAUUUUGAGAAGUAUUCUACAGCCAUCACUACGAAUUUUCUCUGCCCCGUGGUCUUGGGGAAGGGUCCCAGGAUGUCUAUUCCCCAUUGCGAGAAUGACCAUGGACUGGAUAUGCUGGCUUGAGGAGUGGCUGAGACUUUGAUGGCGUUAGCAAAUCUUUGGCAUACGUCGCAUCUUUGGACAAACUCUUCUGCUUCUCUUUUAACAGUGGGCCAAUAGUACCCUUGCCUGAAUAUUUUAUUGGCUAAUGUCCCUGCUCCCUCGUGGGCUCCACACAUGCCUCUAUGUAUCUCUUCCAUCACCUUCGCAGCCUCUUUCGGGCUCACACAUCGGAGCCACGGACUGGAUUUUCCUUUUCUAUAUAAGGUUCCCCUUAUUGCUUGGUAGUUGGCGGCACGAGCUGCUAUCUUUCUGGCUUCAUCUUUAUCCUCGGGAAGCUUGCCCUUUUCCAGGUAUUCUAGGUAUGGGGUCAUCCAAGUUGGGUUUUGUUCUACUUGCAGUACCGUGUUUGUCUUAUUAAAAGCAGGUAUAUGGACAUGCUGUAUGUACACUUCAUCGGGGAGUUGUUCUAAUUCUUCUUUGGACAAUCGACUAAGCAGGUCUGCUUCCUCAUUUUCCUCUCGAGGUAUUCUUUGAAAUCUGAUGGUAACUCCUCGACUUGUGAGCUCGGCUUCUAAAGUUUUUACUUUAGCCAGAUAAUUCUGCAUGAUGGGGUCUCUAGCCUGAUAUACCCCUGUUACCUAGUUGAUCACCAGCUGAGAGUCGCUAUUUACCUCGAGAUCGGUUACCCCUACCUUCAGAGCCACCAACAUCCCAUUUAUCAGGGCUUCAUAUUCUGCCACAUUAUUAGAGGCCUUAAAUUCUAGGCGUAAGGCGUAGCAUACCUUAAAAUCCUCUGGUCCCUUAAGCAUUAUUCCAGCACCACUGUCCCCGGUGCCUUGCUCCGUCUACAUACAACUUCCAGUUAAAUUCUUGGGAAGGCUCUCCCUUACCUCCCUUUCCUGAUAUCUCUGAGGAUGAUCCUCCCCGCUCCUCAUUGAAUGUGCACUCUGCUAUGAAGUCAGCCAGAGCUUGAGAUUUUAUAGCUGUCCGAGGUCGAUACUCUAGAUAGUAAGGGCUGAUUUCUACGGACCAAGCCAACAUCCGACCUGAAGUUUCCGGCCUGCGUAGAAUCUUCUUCAAGGGUUGGUCUGUCAUCACAACUCCUUGGUGGCCUUCCAGAUAAACUUUGAAUUUUCGGACUGCUAGUAAUAGAGCGUAAGCCAUUUUUUCAAUAUUUGAAUAUCUGACCUCAGUAUCUCUGAGUACCUUGCUAACAUAGAAAAUAGGUUUUUGCUCCCCUUCUUCUACCCUUACUAAUAUUGCGCUGACUGCUUGUUCCGAGGCUGCCAGGUAUAUCAGAAGCUCUUUUCCUUUCAUGGGACUACUGAGCACGUGAGGCGAGCUGAGAUAUCUUUUAAGCUCUAUGAAAGCUUUUUGGCAGUCUUCUGUCCAUUCGAAGUUUGGUACCUUCCUUAACUUUUUGAAGAAUGGUAAGCACUUUUCUGCCGACCUUGACAUGAAUCGAUUAAGCGCCACUACUCUCCCGAUUAGUCUCUGGACGUCCCUUACACAGGUCGACUCUGGCAUAUUCAAUAUGGCUUCUAUCUUCUCCGGGUUGGGCUCGAUGCCUUUUUCGCUCACCAUGUACCCCAAGAAUUUUCCUCCCCUAAUGAAGAAGGCACAUUUUGCUGGGUUCAACUUCAUUCUGUACUGAUCUAAUACUCUGAAUACCUCCCCCAAAUCUGCUAUGUGCUGUUGGAAAGUUGGGCUCUUGACCACCAUAUCAUCUACGUAAACUUCUACAUUUCUGCCGAUUUGAUUUUUGAAGAUUUUAUUCAUCAAUCUUUGGUAAGUUUCCCCGGCAUUCCUCAAUUCGAACGGCAUAGCUCUAUAGCAGUAAGUCCCAUCUUCAGUUAUAAAUGAGGUCUUUUCCUCAUCCGUGAUAAGCGGUUGUCGAAGCCGUCAAAAAUAAACAUAUUCUCAAUCAACAAAAUAAUUUGCAGAUAGUGGCAAUAGGGUCGAAUCACAGGGAAUUGACACUACGGAUUUUCCUAAUAAUGACUUGGUCAAGUAAAUAACAAAUAAUUAAAAGAGGGGGUUUUGAGUUGAUGAUAAUGGAUUAAAACUAAAUAGCUAUAUAAGAAUUUCAAUAAGAGAAAAGCUUCUAGUUGAAAUAUGGAUCUUUUUCAGAUUGUUUAGAAUUGAUCAUUGAUUCUUUAAUACUCCUAUUUAUCUCAAUAAAUUAGUUUAGCAUGUGGAAGACGCUUCUCACAAUCCAAAUUCCUCCUUAGUUCUAGUUUGAUUAGGAAAGUUCACUAAUCAAACACUAGUUAACAAGUUGCCAAGGAACGUCCUUGGGGCCUUUGGCAUCGAACAACUGUUGACUGCAUUAAGACUUAGAGAAACCCAAUUCUAUCCUUGCCAACCGCGUGGUCAAAUUUAGAUUAUGCAAUUUGAUUAAAUGUGUAUUUGAACAACCUAAGCAAUUACGGACCUAAAUCAUUCAAAUAAUAUUACUUAAGCAAUUUAAAAGCAAUGGGCCCUUAUUGAUUCUAAAAGCAAAGUAAUAAUUAUAGAAAGCUCAAAUUGCAUAAAUAUUGAAAAUAAAUAGAAGUUUAACAAUGGAGAUUUAAAUCUCCCAAUUCAUCACAAAAUCUGAAAUUCACCAACUUCAACUAGAAAAGAAUGAAUUUAGCCACUCAUGGUGGACUAAAUACACAAAAAGAUGAAAAGAAAAGAAAGAGGAAAGAGGCUGCAGAGUUUCUGGCGAGGGGAGAAGAUGCUGAGUAGCUGAUCAGAAGAUGAUGCUCCUUGCUGGUUUGGAGGUUGCUCUUUUAUAGCUGAAGAAUUCCAUCCUUCUAGGGUUUUGAAAUCCCUUUUUAAUUUGGCUUGUGAUUCCUCUUUUGAUAUUGAAUUUAAUUGCAACUGGAAUUCCUUAGGUGAGAAACUCUUUCGUGGCUCUUGGAAUUGUGUUGGUAGUGAUUGAGUUGGAUUUGGACUUCUGAAAAAUCGAAAUUUGGUUCCCUGCUGUUUUCCCGCUUCUGCUGUCAAUUUUGCUGUCAAUGUGAUCGGGGCAGUGAUUUGGGCAAAUCACUUGGUCCAUCUGCCCUGAUCACUUUCUGCAAUUCUGUCCAGUUUCAGUUUCUGCCCCUGCGAGUGAUUUGACCAGUUUCUGCGAGUGAUUUGGGCAAAUCACUUGCCCAUAUCACUUCUGCCUGUUGCCUCCAGGUUUCUGCUUCAGCUUGAUCUGGACAGUGAUUUGGGCAAAUCACUGACCCAAUCACUUUUCUGUCAAUUUUCUGCACUUUUUCUCCAUUUUUCCAAUUUCUUCAUUUUCUGUAAAAACAAGAUAAAAAUCAUAAAUUAAGCUAAAAAAAUGUGUAAAUAAGCAAUAAAAAAGAUAAUAAAAAUGUGGCUAAUUUAUGCUUGAUCAAUCCGACCUAUCCAUUGGGAUUUGAUGAUAACCAGACAUAGCAUCCAAAGAAGACAUAUAAUCGAAACCGGCCGUAGAGUCGACCAUUUUAUUAAUAUCAGGGAGGGGAUAACAAUCUUUAGGGCAGGCCUUAUUCAGGUCAGUAAAAUCUAUGCACAUCCUAUAUUUGCCAUUGGCUUUUUUGACUAAUACAGGAUUUGCUAACCACUGCGGGUACAUAACUUCCCUAAUAAAGCCUGCCUCCUCUAGUUUCUGCACUUCCUCCCUGGUGGCCUACUGCUUCUCUCUUCCUACUACCCUCUUCUUCUGCUUUACUGGCUUGGCCUCGGGGAGGACAUUCAAUUUGUGUGUCAUUACCUCAGGAUCGAUUCCAGGCAUGUCGGAGGGCCUCCAGGCGAAACUCGACGCGUGACCUCGGAUCAGGGCCAUGACUUCAGCUUUUUAUUCUUCGGUGAGACCGGCGUUGAGACUGAAGACCUUAUCUGCCUCUGCUUCUGAUAAAGGGAAGAUCUCCAGUUCCCCCACCGGUUCUGUCCUGACCUCUGUUUUCUCAUCCUGGACCUCUAGAACUUCCGAGUCAAGCGUUUCUCCGGUUGAACUCGGUUCUGCUACUGUGGCUAAGUAUACUGCUCUUGCUUCUUCCUGGCUACCCCGGACUAUUCCCACUCCUUCCUCUGUUGGGAACUUAAGCGCCAAAUACCUGAUACUGGUGACGGCCUCGAAGUUGAACAGCGUCGACCUCCCCAGGAUCGCAUUGUAGCUCAACGGAAGUUUGACCACCAAAAACACCUCAUGGUGGGUGCGAGUUCUGGGUGCUUCGCCUAAGGUAAGAGCCAGCUUCACCUUUCCUUCUACGAGCACCGGUACUCCUCCGAUCCCCUUGAUUGGUGCCUGGUCUCGGACCAGCUGUUCUUCUGGAAUUCCCAUCUGCUGGAAGACCCGAUAUGGCAGUAAGUUGACCUUACUCCCGUCAUCCACUAGGACCUUUUUCACCCGAUAAUUAUGAAUAACGGUUUCAAUGACGAGCGCAUCGUCAUGGGGCAUCUGAAUAUCCUGAGCAUCUUCCGAAGAGAAAGUGAUGGUCAUGGGAGAGUGUUCAACGAUUUGCAUGACUUCGAUACUGCUGCUCUCUCCUUCCCGAUUUCUCUUCUUCCCUCUGCGGCUCAUCCGACCCCUUGUUCCCCCAACUAUCAUGUUGAUGGUCCCACUGGACCCAUCGUUCACUGGUCCAGUUCCUGUUCUCCUCGGCGUCUGGGUCGCCAGACUGGGUUGAGGCCUCUGUCCCUCUGGUUUCUUUAUGAAAUUCUUGAGGUGCCCUCUUUUUAUCAGCCUCUCGAUCUUCGUGAUUAACUGGAAGUAGUUAUUGGUAUCGUGGCCGUGUGUUCGAUGGUACUGACAAUAUUUGUCAGGAUCCCGUUGGUUUGCUUCCGAUUUCACAGGUUUGGGCCACUAGAGGAAUUCCUUAUCUUGGACAGCCAUGAGCACUUCGGCUCUGGAGGCGUUGAGUGGGGUCAGCUUCUCAGGAACCCAAGGGGGAAGUGAUCUUUGCUCAGGAACCCGAGGAGGAGGAGGUCUUUGAUCCCUUCGCUCCCAAGAUUGCUUGUACGGCUCAGGCCUCUUGCCAUGUUUCUUUUCGUGUCUCUCUGGCCUCCUUUCUUCUGAGGCUUUUUCUUUUCCUGCCAUCCCCUUGGCAAAUCGGCUUGUCACCAAGGCGUCAUCCUGCCUUAUAUACUUCUCAGCCCUCUUCAUCAGCUCGGCCAGUGAGGUCGGAGGCUUCCUGCUUAAAGAGCCGAAGAACUCGGCAGAGGUUGUCCCCUUUUGCAUGGCCUCCACCGCCCUUCCUUCAUCGAGCUCGGAAAUCUGCAGGGCCUCCGUAUUGAAACGAGCGACAUAUUCCCUGAAUGAUUCAUCCCCUCUCUGUCUUACUGUUUCCAGGUAGCUCGUCUUCCUAUCUGCUGGCACCCCGGCUAUGAACCGGCUGAUGAAGCGAGUGGCUAGAUCUCCGAAACUUCUAAUGCUUCCGGUCUCAAGGCUGUUGAACCACGCCCGUGCUGGUCCCGAGAGCGUCGUUGGGAAUACCUUGCACACUAAGGCAUCCGACAGAGUUUGCAGCUCCAUGAAGGUCUUGUAGUUCAUGACGUGCUCCCUCGGGUUACUAGCUCCGUCAUAAGCCGCCAUCGACGACAUCAUAAACUUCUUAGGAAUAGUCUCCUGCUGCACCUACUUCGAGAAAGGGGAAGAAGUGGGCAGGAAGGUUUGGCUCUUAUCCUUCUUGCCCAGCUCGGCCAAGAGCUGCUCUCUCAACUUCUGCAGCUUUUGGUCCACAUUCUCGUCUUCCAGCCUGGGUUUUUUCUCCAGGUGGUAUUCCUCCUCCUCUGCUUCAUUCCUCGUCCACCUGGUUGUCUCGGGGGAAUAGUUAUCAGCUUCCUCAUUUUCUAUCAUCUCUCUCGACCUCUUUCCAUGGAUUCGAGCCUCCGGUUCUUCCUCUUCCCCGGCUCUUCUCCCCUUUUCCCCGGUAUCGCGGCUGCUGGUUUGAAGGCGGUCAGGGGCAGGUCGGGGCUCAUUGGUUUGAGGUUCUUCUACCACUGGGAGUGUAUUUAUCGGGGUGCUGAGGCCCCUUUGUUGCAUUAUCUGCCCCAACCAGUGGGCGGUAUUCUGUAGCUGGAGAGCCAUGGUUUGAAGGUCCUGGUUAGAUAAGGUAGCGGUGGGAGUAUUCCCUGCCAAGCUUGGCGAGGGAUUGAGAGGAAUAGGCGUUUGGUUGUUUAGUAUUGUAGGACUAGAAAAGGAGAACUGCUGCCCCUCUUGGGCAGAGCUCAGGUCAUUUGGGAUGUUAAGGUUGCUUUCAUGGUGAUUAGCCAUCGUGGAUCUCAGUGGGUUUUUUCAAGAGUGGAACUCCGGUGAUGAAAAAAUCUCCUUCGUUCCCCACAGACGGCGCCAAUUGAUGAUCUGAGAUCCAGUAAAAGAGGGUUUUACAAGGGUUUCUUGUAUGGAAUCACAAGCUUAUUCUUUUUUUUUAGGGAGGGGUCUCCCCUUUUAUCCUUUUCUUCCUGCUUGCUAGUGAUGUGUAACGUCCUUCCUGUCAUUGGACCACGCGUCUCUGCUAUGAAGAUAUGGACAUACGAGGAUAUCAGGCAUCUGCCUCAUGCGUAAUGACUUCUGAUUCUCUCCGUACGUACACACAAGCGGAUCUACGGGCUGGUCGACGGGUCUCGUUCUUAAUUCUGGGCUGGGCCGAGAGAGGAACUAAACGCUGAGCCCAGGAGAUGGAGAUCUGCAUGUGAGGUCAUGCGGGCCGGGCUAAUCUGGGUGAGGAGUCCUGGUGGAGUCCGGCCUCAAGGGUUGGAUGAGACGGGCCUGCUUCGUUUAGAUGGCACGUGGGCCUUCCUUUCGUGGGCUAUGGUCGUGGUCUAGGCCCAUAAUCGGGGUAGAGAAAUCCAGCAGUCAUCAAGUGGUUUACUGGAGUUUUUGGAAACAAAGGAGCAUUUUAUAUUUUUUGGAAGGCAAACUCAAAGCUACUAUGAAUUCUACUAGAGGUUCUUACGCUCCACUUCUUAUUAGAUUGAUAGGAAAAUGAGAGAUAGCUGGAUUUCAGGAAGUAGUUUGCUCGGAAAUUACGAAAACAACCGGUUACAAGAUUUUGCAAUCGCUUUUAUCAAAAUGUCAGUUUUAGAGCUACUCAUACAAAACCAAAUAUAAAAGGAAGUUUCUUGUUAGUAAUUAGAUAUAUUUCUCUAUGUUACAAAAUCUCAGCAUCAUACAAUACAUCAUUAAGGAAUAUACUACUUUAAUGGUUCAAGCAAGAUAGUUGGCGACAUGAGAACUAAACCAAAUUUCUGAUAUUUUAAUGUUUAGAACCAUAUUUGGAAUUGAAUUUCAGUAUAGUUCUCCAUUUUAGUACAACCUCAAUUUGAUUUCAGUUUUUUUUUUUUACUUUAAUUUUAAUUUCAUUUCAGUUUAAAUUUUAAUUGUUCACUCUUUCAUCAUCCACUAUGAAAAUUUAUUAAAAUGCAAAUAAAAUUUAUAAACAGGUACAAAUUCAUUUAUAAAUUUUAUAACUUCACAAAAUCCACAUUGAGUUUUUAAUGGUUUAAUAAAUAGAUCGAAUGGUCCAUGCCGUUAAUAUGUUAAUUGAAUAUUUAGCGGUAUAAAUUACCUGAAAGUUAAUAUAAUGAAAAACCUAAUACCCAAAAUACUUAUGGCACUUGGAGUGAGAAGUAAGAGCAUUUCCCUCUAUUAACUUUGUCCAUGUAAAACACAUCAUUAUCCGUCCAAAGAGAGUGGGACAGGGCAAUGAGAGAAAACAUCCAUUUCUUUGAAAGUUUUAAAUUUGGUUGCACAAAAAUGGAAUGGAGCUUUUGGAACUAGAGGAACACUUGUAUUUUGGAGGGCAAACUCAAAGCAGCAAUACGGUGAUUCAUCAUCUAACUUUGAGGAGAUAUCUCAACGUCAAUUAGACUAUAUAAGAGUCCUACCAGAGGUUUUUAUGUUCUACUUAGAUUGUAAAGAAGGAGAGACAGUUUGGCUUCAAGAAGUGGUUUGUUUAGAGAUCCGUAGGCAACUAGUUAUAGGGUUUUGCUAUUGCUUUUCUCGUACAAAAUUAAAUAUAAAAGAAAGCUUCUUGUUAAUAAUCACGAAUGCUUUCUCUAUGCUAUAAAAUCCCAGUAUCAUAUAAUACAUCAUCAAGGAACAUGCUACUUUAACAAUUCAAGGGGAGUAGAGAGUGAAAUGCUAAAAGAAAAAGCUAUGGUGAAGGAAGUACAUGCCCAUAAAGAUAUACACUUCUCCAUAUUCAGUUUAGUACUCUAGUUAUAAAUGUGACAAAUUGAAAAGAUUUGAUUUUAUUAUUCAAAAUUUAAAAUUUAAAAUAUAAAUAUAGAUUAAUGUAAAUAUUUGGAUUAUUUAUCAUUCUAUGUCUGUUUACAAAUCCAAACAUAUCCAUUUAAUUUUACCAGCAAAUUAUUUAUCCGGUUGCGAAUUAGUUUGUAUCCAUUUAAUUUUACAAAUUAUACACUCAUUUGUGAUAAUUUUAUGUCCAUUUAAUUUUGUAAAUAGAUUCUACGUUUAUUUAUAUCCAUUUAAUUUUAUAAACAGAUUAUAUAGUCAUUUGCAAAUUAGUUUGUAUUUAUUUAAUUUUACAAAUAGAUUAUGUGUCCGUUUGUAAAUCAUUGUAUUCAUUUAAUUUUAUGAACGAAUUACAUGUUUAUUUGUGAAUCAGUUUGUAUCGAUUUAAUUUUACAAAUAGAUUAUAUAUCCUUUUGAAAACAAUUUGUUUCCUUUAAUUUUAUAAACGGAUCAAACAUUCUUUCAUGAAGCAAUUUGUAUCCAUUUAAUUUUACAAAUGGAUUAUACGUCCCUUAGCAAAUAUAUUAAUUUCUAUUUAAUUUAUAAACAAAUUAUAUAUUUGUUUGCAAAUUAAUUUGUAUUUAUUUAAUUUUAAAAUGGAGUAUACAUCUAUUUAUAAAUUUGUCUGUGAUGAUUUAUAAAAUUUUUACAAAUAAAUUAUACAUCUAUUUGUAAAUCAAUUUGUGAUGAGUUGCAAAACUCACCAUUUUUUUCAUAUUAAAUUCUAUAAUUUUGCUAUGAUUCUGAUGUGAAUAAUUUAUUUUUAUUUGAAAUUUGAUUUUGGAUAGGUUUUGAGCUAAAAAUGAGAAAAAGUAUCAAGAGAGGCUGGUUUAGAUUUUUUUUUUUCUGACCGGAAGUUACAGCCUUACUCAAGGUUGUAGUCUAAGUUGACGGACAGAUUCUAGGAUUACUGCUGUAUAAAAUUCAAAACUGUUUCAGAUAUAUGCAAACAUUAGAAUUAAAAAAUAAGAGUUAUCAUAGAAGUAGUAUAUUUAUUUUAUUUUUUCUUUUAAACUAUAAAUAAUUAUCUUUUUAUUUAUAAAAAGUCUAUAUAAAGACUGCCCUAGAAGUAGAAUUUACCAUCUCUUCUCAUCAUCUCAUCUCCUCUCUUUUCGGUCCCUUCUUGGCUGAAUUCUUCCUCCCCUCUUUUUAUUUUUCUGCAAUUUUAUUAUGACAUUUAGAAGCUAAACUCUUUUAUUUAGUUAAAAGUUAAUCAAAUUGAAGUUCAUUUAAAAUUACAAGAUUAUGUUUUUAAUUUUUGUUUAUUUUAUUUUUAUUUUCAAUUAAUUUCUAUUUUUGAGAAACACCACCUCCAUUGUUGUCCUUUUAGAAAUUCAAGAAGUCUAUUGAAUCUCUUAGGAAAACAUAUUAUUAUUUAAUUCAAGUAAAUAUGUAAUUGUUUAAUUGGGUUAAUACAAUUAACAACUAGCAUUUUUUUAUGUUAAGUAAUUAAUUUAUUUGUUAUUAUUGAUUAAAUUUGAGUUAUUCUCCUCUUAAAGCGGUUAAUUAAUUAAAUCUACACGCUUAAUGGAGUUAUUAAUUAACUAGAAAUUAAUUUAAGCGCUAUGCAAAUUAAUUUAAUCAUAAGAAAGAAUCAGUGGAAUUCAUUUGUUUGAACACUAUAGCCAAAAACUUUCUUUUUAAUCAAUAAUUAAUGGCAAAUCUUUUAAUUUUGAUUAUCUUCAUUUUAAUUUGAUUAUUUGUUUCAUCGUUUUAAUUCCGUUAUUUUCUUCUUUUAAGUGUUCUUUUUAAAUUCUAUUCUUUUCUUUUUUUUUUAAACUAUUCUUUUAUCCUACUUGUCAUCUAAUUUAAAUAAAAUUAAGGUCUUUGUGUAGAUCAACAUUCAUUUACCCUAUCUGCAGAUUUUUUUAAAUCAAGUAAAAGGAAAUCAAUUUUAAUUAACGGAUUCAACGCCUGUUUGUAUCUAUUGAAUUUUAUAAAUGGAUUCUAUACUUGUUUAUGAAUCCUUUUGCAUUUAUUUAAUUUUACAAACAGAUUAUAUAUUCGUUUAAAAAUCAAAUUGUGUUUAUUUAAUUUUAUAAAUGUAUUACUCAUUGGUUUGUAAAUACAUUUAUGUCUAAUGCUAAAUAUGUGAAAAAAAAUAUAUCAAUUCUAUAUUUAAUCUUUAUAUUAAUUUAUAUUUUAAUCAUUUUUUUUAAUUUCAAUUUAAUACUUCAUGAGUUGCAAAAUUUAUUAUUUUUUCCAUAUUAAAUUGCAUGAUUUUGAUAUAAGCAAUUGAUUUUUACUUAAAUUUUAAUUUUGGAUAGAUUUUAAGCCGAAAAUGAGAAAAUAAAUCAAAUACCAUGUUAGAGCUUUUUCUGACUAGAAGGUAUAGUUUUAUUCAAAGUUGUGAUCGAAACUCGAUGGACAAAUUGCAUUAUUUCUGUUUUGCCAGCUUUAUAGAGUUCAUAACUAUUUUCAUAUAGAUGCAAAUACAAUCAGAUUAGGAUUAAGAUAAGAGUUAUCAUAGGUGACACGGAGCAACUAGCCUUAGAUUUUACGGCAGACUUGGACCGAGUCUAACUUUUACUGCCGACGUCCGAUGGAAAUCCACAAUAAUUUUUCAGAAAGAGAAUUUCAAGAUGCGCAAUUUUCAAAAGUGUGAUAAAGGCCGUAGGCCUGUCACAAAAUUCGAUAUGAAAAUUCCACUGUUUAGAGGGUCAAUUUUGCAUUUUAUUAUUUUUUUGGAUAUUUUUAUAAUUUUGCAUAUUAGAGUUUGUUUCUUAUUAUAAAUAGCCUUCCUUUGCUAUUUGGAACUCACUUUUCAAUCUUUAAAGAAUUUCAAUAAGAUUUUGCGGCUUUUAUCCUAUCUUUCUCUUAUAUCGUCUUAGCAAAGCGAUAUUGGUUAAAACUCCUGACGGAGUUUAAAUAGUCUUUUAUCAGAUAGGUAUCAGAGUAAAAGUUCGACUAUGGCAGAGAACUAAGAGGCGCGAUUUACUGCAAUUGAGGCAUCUUUGGCAGAAUUGAGGGAGAUGAUCGGAAAGUUGGCCUUGCAGUAGGGAAUCCACCAACUCGCCGCCGCCGCCCACCCCCAGCCAGUCGCUAAUCCUGUGGCUGCCAAUCAUAUGCCUACAAAUCCCUAAUAGAAUUAUCAGGAAGGUUACAAGAUCAAGAUAGACUUUCAAAACUUUUGUGGUUCGUUGGAUGUAGAAUAUGUUCUUGAUUGGUUGGCGGAGGUUGAACGUUUCUUCGAAAUUAUGAACGUGAAAGAGGAUUGCAAGGUUCCGUUUGUGGCCUAUAAGUUAAAGGGGGUGCAGCAUCCUGAUGGAAUUCAAUUCAAAACGAACGCUAUCGGAGGAGGCUUGAUCCCAUACAAAAUUGAAUGUUGAUGAAGUAGAUGAUUGAACAACGGUUCUCGCCUAGCGAUCACGCUCAAAUUUUAUAUUAUCGGAAUCAUGACUGUAAUACCCGGUUAGACCCCGGUAUCGGAGUUCUUAAGUUCCGGCGGAUUUUCCGUUGGAAUUAGGGAUUCGAGGAUGCCGGAGCUUGCCCUAAGGGUAUAAGAGAGGUUUUUAAAGUGUUUUUUAUCAUGUUUGCAUGUUUUAAGUUAAGAAAAUUGAGUUUUUGCAUGAAAAGACCAAGGGGACGGAAGCCAGGUUCGGCCGCCGAAGGUGAAGUUCGGCCGCCGAAGGUUGCAUGGUUUCGCAUGCACGUUAGGCCGCCGAAGGUGAGCUGGUUGGCCACUACAAAAGCCCUUUGACCGAAAACUUUGGGGUAGAACACCCUGUUUUUGAGCCAAAGGUAAGUCCAUGUCCUCCUUAGAAGAUUUUCUCAUGUUUUCCUCAAAUCUUGCAUGUUUUAACAUGAUUUGAACUUUGGUUUAGAGUAUUGAGCAAAAGGAAGCAAGUCGAGCAACUUGGAGACUUUGAUUAGUUUUCCCCCACAUCUCCCAGCUUGGACCAUCAAUCCUCUAGUUCUUCAAGAGGUAAGCAUGGAUCCGCACCUCCCCUUAUGUUUAAAGUAAGUUUUGAGAAGUUUUAGAGAGUUUUUGGCAUGGUUUGGGGUGUAACCAUGAGUUUGAGCAUAUGUUGACCAUAUGAGUUAUGAAGAGUUUUGAUGUUGCUUUUGGGGUAUGAGUUAGUUUUUAGGCCCCUUUAUGCAUGAGAUAUGUUAUAUGUUAGUUGAGAAGUGUUGCUAUGCAUGUUAUGGGGGUUUUUUAGGUUUUGGGAGGCUAAAACCCUGAGUUGGGUUGGGAUUCUGCCUUUCUGGAGAAUCCAGGUUCGGCCGCCGAAGCAAGGUUCGGCCGCCGAACCCCUUGAGGAGGCAGUUUCGGCUGCCAAACCUUGCCCCCGAAAGCCAGGUUUUCGGAUUAGAAAAGGACUUUCGGCCGCCGAAAGAGGGAGUUCGGCCGCCGAAAGUGUGUGAGUUUCGUCUCUGGACGUGACUUUCGGCCGCCGAAGGUGCCGCCGAACAUGCAUGAGUUUCGUCUCUGGAGGGAGGUUUCGGCCGCCGAACUAGCCGCCGAAAGUACCCUAUCCAGCCUUCUUUUGCAUGUUAUAUGUGUAUGUUGUAAGAUCUUUUAGGGGGGUUUUGGGGAGAUAUUAAGAGUGAUGUUUAAGUAAGUUUGGUCCUCAUUUGAGUCCACCUGUGUAGGUGCGGACCCGAGGAACCCAGAAGGCCCACAGCGUUAGAGUUACAGAGACUGCUCAGCAGUUGACAGAGGUGAGUGGAACAGAACUUUGUUUUUAAGAUUACUGAAUGUUUUAGCAUGAUUCAUGCAUCAUUAAUGCCAUGAUAUGUAGGAUGUUUUGCAUUGCACUAGAAUACACGAAGAUAAUGUGUUGCAUUAUUAUUUGUAUAUGUGGAUUGGACCAAGGCGACUCCAAUAGCCCGUAAGUCUGUCAUUAUUGAAAGACCUGUGUGAGCUCCUUUGGGGCCGGGCAUUUUACUUGGAUGAGUCCUGUGAGAGCCCUUUCUAGGGUCGGGCACCAUGAGUAGAUUAGUGAAAGUCCUGUGUGAGCUCCUUAGGGGGCCGGGCACCGACAGAGGGAGUUUUGGGGUCAUGUCCAAUCUGAGAUGUGAAAUGUUUGUGCUGUGACGCAUUUCAUGUUAGCAUAUUUUAAAUGUUUUUAUGGCUUCCACUCACUGGGCUUUAGUAGCUCAUCCCUCUCCCUAACCCCAUUUUUCAGGGCCUCAAGAAAGAGAAAGAGAAAGAGAAAGAGAAAGCAAGGGUAAAAGCAUAUGUAAUAGCAUAGAGUAGUGGACAUGAUUUACAGUACAGCGUUUAUGUAAUGUAUAGACAUGAUAUAACAGUUAAGUAUGUAUUGAGUUAUAGAAUUGUGCUUGGCCCUAGUGUAUGUUUAUCCCUUUGCACAUGAUCAUUUUAUGUUUGAGUUUUAUGUAUGAGAUGAUGUUUUAUGCUGAGUUCUAGCAUGGUUUAAGGACUCCAAGUAAGGGGGUCUUCAUGCUUCCAGUGACUGUAUGGUACCACAGCAGGUAUCACUCUCAGAAGUGCAUACAGUAUAUGUUCAGUUUAAGUUUAGUAAGAGAAAAAAAAAAGUAUAAAAAGUUUACAGUUUAUGCUUAAGUGUGAUCAUAUAUGGGAUAUAUCAGAUACAUAGAGUUCAGUAGGCUUACUACGGGUCCCGGCGGCCUUAAGCCGAUCUGGAUCCUAGUGCCGAUGGCAGUCCAAUUUUGCGGGCUGUUACAAUGACUGUGUAUAAGGAAAUCGAAGGGUGGAUGAAUAUACCAAGGAGUUUUUUAAGUUGCAGGCGAGGUGUGAAAACUGUGAGAAUGAAGUUUAGCAGGUUGGUCAUUAUUAGAGGAGUUUGAAUCAUGAAAUUCGUUGUAUGAUGGGAGUAGCUACGAUUUUCACUUUGGCAUACGCCAUUGAGAUGGCAAAAAGGGUAGAAGAGCGUGUUGAUUGGUAGCUACGACAGCAGUAUUGUAAUACCCGGCUAGACCCCGGUAUCGGAAUUCCUACGUUCCGGCGGAUUUUCCGUUGGAAUCCGGGAUUCGAGGAUGCCGGAGCUUGCCCUAAGGGUAUAAGAGAGGUUUUUAAAGUGUUUUUAAAGUGUUUUUAUCAUGUUUGCAUGUUUUGAGUUAAGAAAAUUGAGUUUUGAAAUGAAAAGACCAAGGGGACAAAAGCCAGGUUCGGCCGCCGAAGGUGAAGUUCGGCCGCCGAAAGUUGCAUGGUUUCGUAUGCAUGUUAGGCCGCCGAAGGAGAGGCGGGUUGGCCACUACAAAAGCCCUUUGACCAAAAAUUUAGGGUAAAACACUCUGUUUUUGGGUCAAAGGUGGGUUCAAGCUCUCCUUGGAAGAUUUUCUCAUGUUUUCCUCAAAUCUUGCAUGUUUUAACAUGAUUUGAACUUUGUUUUAGAGUUUUGAGCAAAAAGAAGCAAGUUGAGCAACUUGGAGACUUUGAUUGAGCUUUACACCCAUCUCCAAGCUUGGACCAUCAAUCCUCUAGUUCUUCAAGAGGUAAGCAUGGAUCCUCACCUCCCCUAUGUUUAAAAGUAAGUUUUGAGAAGUUUUAGAGAGUUUUAUGGCAUGGUUUAGGGUGUAACCAUGAGUUUGAGCAUAUGUUGACCAUAUGAGCUAUGAUGAGUUUUGAUGUUGCUUUUGGGGUUUGAGCUAGUCUUUAGGCCCCUAUAUGCAUGAGAUAUGUUAUAUGUUAGUUGAGAAGUGUUGGUAUGCAUGUUAUGGGUAUUUUAUAGGUUUUUGGAGGCUGGAACCCUGAGUUGGGUUGGGAUUCUACCUUUCUGGAGAAUCCAGGUUCGGCCGCCGAACCCCUUGAGGAGGCAGUUUCGGCUGCCAAACCUUGCCCCCGAAAGCUAGGCUUUCGGUUUAGAAAAGGACUUUCGGCCGCCGAAAGAGGGAGUUCGGCCGCCGAAAGUGUGUGAGUUUCGUCUCUGGACGAGACUUUCGGCCGCCGAAGGUGCCGCCGAACAUGCAUGAGUUUCGUCUCUAGAGGGGGUUUCGGCCGCCGAACCAGCCGCCGAAAGUACCCUGUCCAGCCUUCUUUUGCAUGUUUUAUGUGAUUGUUUUAGGAUCUUUUAGUGGAGUUUUGGGGAGAUGUUAAGAGUUAUGUUUAAGUAAGUUUGGUCCUCAUUUGAGUCCACCUGUGUAGGUGCGGACCCGAGGAACCCAGAAGGCCCACAGAGUUAGAGUUACAGAGACUGUCAGCAGUUGACAGAGGUGAGUGGAACAGAACUUUGUUUUAAAGUUAAUGAAUGUUUUAGCAUGUUACAUGCAUCAUUAAUGCCAUGAUAUAUAGGAUGUUUGGCAUUGCAUUAGUAUACACGAAGUUGAUGCAUCGCAUUAUUACUUGUAUAUGUGGAUUGGACCAAGGCGACUCCAAUAGCCAUAAGUCUGUCAUUAUUGUAAGACCUGUGUGAGCUCCUUUGGGGCCGGGCAUUUUACUUGGAUAAGUCCUGUGAGAGCCCUUUCUAGGGUCGGGCACCAUGAGUAGAUUAGUGAAAGUCCUGUGUGAGCUCCUUAGGGGGCCGGGCACCGACAGAGGGAGUUUUGGGGUCAUGUCCAAUCUGAGAUGUGAAUUGUUUGUGCUGUGACGCAUUACAUGUUAGCAUAUUUUAAAUGUUUUUUUAUGGUUUCCGCUCACUGGGCUUUAGUAGCUCAUCUCACUCCCUAACCCCAUUUUUCAGGGCCUCAGAGAAGAGAAAGAGAAAGAGAAAGCAAGGGUAAAAGUUUAUGUAAUAGCAUAGAGUAGUGGACAUGAUAUACAGUACAGAGUUUAUGUGAUGUAUAGAUAUGAUGUAAUAGUAAGUUAUGUAUUGAGUUAUAGAAUUGUGCUUGGCCCUAGUGUAUGUUUAUCCCUUUACACAUGAUCAUUUUAUGUAUAUGUUAUAGAUAAUGUUGCUUUGAUGAGAGCUAGGCUUGGUGCAUGAUAGUAUAACCCAUCUAAAGCAUAGUGAGAACUUUAGUGAGGGGUUUCUAUCUCUGUAGUUACUGUAUGGUACCAUAGCAGGUAUCACUCUCUGAGUGCAUACAGACAGAGCAUGCAUAGUCCAAGCUUAGUGUAUGAGAAAAGUUUCAAGUUUUACAGAAAAGAAAAGAUUAGAAAAGCAAAGUAAGAAAAAAAUAUGUAGUACAGCUUAAGUAUAUGUUGAUCAUGUAUGGGAGUUAACAGGUACACAGAGUUUACAGUUGGCUUACUACGGGUCCCGGCGGCCUUAAGCCGAUCUGGAUCCUAGUGCCGGUGGCGGUCCAAUUUCCGGGCUGUUACAAGUAUAACCGAAAUUUUAAUUACAGAAAUUCUGGAUUGACAGGGACGCAGCAGUAUAGAGGCAAUUAUAGCGGACAACCUUCUAUGGUUGUAAAUUUUGGCAAUUCUCAGAAUACUAUGGAAGAAACGAGAGACAAUAAGGGAAAAACAGUCACCACUACAGCAGACAAAGAAGACAGAUUUUUUAGUAGAAGUUGAGAAAAUGAACGAAAAAAGACUGAAUUAAAAGAUUUUUGUACAGAGAGAUUGCAAUAUUGGCCAAACUUGUAGUCCAAGGCGAUGGGAAGUUUCAAAAAGCCCCAUCUCAGCAAAUUUUGCCAUCUAACCAAGGAUAAGAUAAGUUUCAAAUUGGAUCAAACACAAUCAGAUUAGAAUGGAGAUAAGAUAGGAGUGGUAGAAUUUAUUUUAAAUUAUUAAAUUCUAUCUUUUUGUACCUAUAUAAAAACUCUUAGAAUUAAACCUAGGCAUCAUAUUUUCUUCUUCUCUCCCCCCUCUCCUCUCCUCUCUUGCCGCCACCCCUCUCUCUUCUUCUCCAUCUUCUUUUCUUUUUCUUUUUUCUUUUUUUUUCUUUAGCUUUUGCAAUUUUAUUAUAGUUUUUAGAGGCUAAAUAAUUAUUUUCAGUUGAUAAUUAAUUUCAAUUGAGGUUUUAUUCAAGUUGUGAGUUUAUGUAUUUCAAUUUUUUUUUAUCUUAUUUCUAUUUUCUAUUAAUUUCUGAAUUGGAGGAACACCACCUCCAUUAUUAUUUUCUUGAGAAUUCAAGGGGCCUAUUGAAUUUCUUGGAAAGAUAAUAUAUUGCUAAUUAAUCUAAUUGGAUCUAUCUAAUUGGAUCCAUAAUUAUUUAAUUGGGUUAAUAACAAAUAACAAUUAACAUAUUAGUUUAUGGUAAAAAAUUAGUAGAUUUGAUUUAAACAAAUCGCGUGUUUUUAUUGAUUAAGUUUGGGUUAUUCUCUUUUAAUGCAGUUGACUAAUUAAAUCUAUACGCGUGUUUGGGUUAUUAGUUAACUAGGAAUUAAUUUAAGCGCGAAACGGAUUAAUUUAUUCAUAAGUAAGAAUUGGUAGGAUUCGUGUGUUUGACCACCAUAACCAAACAAUAGAUAAUAAUAUGAAUUUUUUUUCUAACUAAUGAUCAAUUAUAAAACACAUUUGAUUACCUUCGGCUGAAAGUUUUAAUUAAUUAUUUGUUUCUCAAAUUUUAAUUGCAUUAUUUAUUAUUUUUCUUGGCUUGCCAAGGCAAAACCACUUUCAUCAAAAAAACUAUUUUCUUCUCACUUGUUGUAUUAAACUACUCUUCUAUCUAUAUGGUAUAGAUACUCCUUUACUCUAUCUACAAGUUCUAAUCAAUCAAGAAAAGGGAAGUAAAUUUUAAAUUGACAGAUUGGACACUCGUCAGUGAGCUGGUUAUUAAUAUUAAAAAGUGCAUUUAUACGAGGGAGUGCAGCAAGCCAUUUCAUUAAAAAACUCUCUUCUUCUCACUUUAUUUAUAUGUGGGAGUGCAGCAAGCCAUUUUCAUCAAAAAACUCUUAUCACUUGUUGUAUUAAACUACUUUUUUAUUUCAAAUUGAUUAUCUAAAUUAAACAGAAUUAAGGUUUCUGCGGAAUCAAUACUCACUUACUCUAUCCUCAAAUUCUUAUUAAUUAAGAGAAGGAAAGUACAUUUUAAAUUGAUGGAUUCGACAUUCGUCAGUGAGCUGGUUAUUAAUAUUAAAAAGUGCAUUUAUAUGAUGGAGCGUAUUCUGUUUUUGAAAUUCAUUGUUAGUGUAGAAGAGAUAUAUAUUGAUGAGAAAAAGGUAGAAGCAAUAUAGAAUUGACUCAUCCCAAAACUAUUUCUGAAGUUAAUAAAAAUGGACUUGUUAAGGGGUGUUCUUUGAAGCUGUUAUUCUAAAAGAUGAGAGUACCCAUUAAUUCUCUCAACAUAUGAUUUAUGAAUGGAGGCAUGCUAGAUGUCAGGAGUGUAGGAACUUUGAACAUUAUGAAUCUCAGUAUGAGAAAAAGCACGAGAGAUAAGUCUGGCAACUUAAGAAUAAAAAAAUGGAUGGGAAUAAGGGUGACAAUGUUGAAGAGGUGGUAAUGAUAGCACGGAAUAUAAAUGAAGGAAAAUGGAAGAGGAGAGUGGUGGGAAGUGGGAAAGAAAAAGAGAAAAUAUAGUCUCACGAGAGAAAAUCAUUAAUUAUAUAAUAUUAUAACAGGGAGAUUGAAAGCAUUUUAGUUUUUUUUUUUUUUGCUUUAUNNNNNNNNNNNNNNNNNNNNNNNNNNNNNNNNNNNNNNNNNNNNNNNNNNNNNNNNNNNNNNNNNNNNNNNNNNNNNNNNNNNNNNNNNNNNNNNNNNNNNNNNNNNNNNNNNNNNNNNNNNNNNNNNNNNNNNNNNNNNNNNNNNNNNNNNNNNNNNNNNNNNNNNNNNNNNNNNNNNNNNNNNNNNNNNNNNNNNNNNNNNNNNNNNNNNNNNNNNNNNNNNNNNNNNNNNNNNNNNNNNNNNNNNNNNNNNNNNNNNNNNNNNNNNNNNNNNNNNNNNNNNNNNNNNNNNNNNNNNNNNNNNNNNNNNNNNNNNNNNNNNNNNNNNNNNNNNNNNNNNNNNNNNNNNNNNNNNNNNNNNNNNNNNNNNNNNNNNNNNNNNNNNNNNNNNNNNNNNNNNNNNNNNNNNNNNNNNNNNNNNNNNNNNNNNNNNNNNNNNNNNNNNNNNNNNNNNNNNNNNNNNNNNNNNNNNNNNNNNNNNNNNNNNNNNNNNNNNNNNNNNNNNNNNNNNNNNNNNNNNNNNNNNNNNNNNNNNNNNNNNNNNNNNNNNNNNNNNNNNNNNNNNNNNNNNNNNNNNNNNNNNNNNNNNNNNNNNNNNNNNNNNNNNNNNNNNNNNNNNNNNNNNNNNNNNNNNNNNNNNNNNNNNNNNNNNNNNNNNNNNNNNNNNNNNNNNNNNNNNNNNNNNNNNNNNNNNNNNNNNNNNNNNNNNNNNNNNNNNNNNNNNNNNNNNNNNNNNNNNNNNNNNNNNNNNNNNNNNNNNNNNNNNNNNNNNNNNNNNNNNNNNNNNNNNNNNNNNNNNNNNNNNNNNNNNNNNNNNNNNNNNNNNNNNNNNNNNNNNNNNNNNNNNNNNNNNNNNNNNNNNNNNNNNNNNNNNNNNNNNNNNNNNNNNNNNNNNNNNNNNNNNNNNNNNNNNNNNNNNNNNNNNNNNNNNNNNNNNNNNNNNNNNNNNNNNNNNNNNNNNNNNNNNNNNNNNNNNNNNNNNNNNNNNNNNNNNNNNNNNNNNNNNNNNNNNNNNNNNNNNNNNNNNNNNNNNNNNNNNNNNNNNNNNNNNNNNNNNNNNNNNNNNNNNNNNNNNNNNNNNNNNNNNNNNNNNNNNNNNNNNNNNNNNNNNNNNNNNNNNNNNNNNNNNNNNNNNNNNNNNNNNNNNNNNNNNNNNNNNNNNNNNNNNNNNNNNNNNNNNNNNNNNNNNNNNNNNNNNNNNNNNNNNNNNNNNNNNNNNNNNNNNNNNNNNNNNNNNNNNNNNNNNNNNNNNNNNNNNNNNNNNNNNNNNNNNNNNNNNNNNNNNNNNNNNNNNNNNNNNNNNNNNNNNNNNNNNNNNNNNNNNNNNNNNNNNNNNNNNNNNNNNNNNNNNNNUAUUGUAUACAAAAAUUCAUUUUUAUUUAGAGUCAAAUAAAUUCAAUUUAAAAUUUUAGGUUAAUUAAACUAUGUAAUUUUAUUGAGAGCUAAAUAGAUUCUAACUUAAUAUUAUUUUUUAAUUAUAAAAUAUUAUUUUUAUAAUUUAAAACAUUAAAAAUUUAGUAGUUUAAUUAUCAUAAAAAUUUUAAAAAAUAUAUAAAUAUAAUAAAUAAUUUUUAAAAUUAUAAAAAUAAAGUUUCAUCAUAUAAAAAAUAAUUUUAUUAUUAAAAAAUAAUAUUAUGUUAAAUUUUAACUUAUUUGACUCUUGAGUAAUAGUAUAUAGAUUUAAUUGAUUCAAAAUUUUGAAUUAAAAUUAUUUGACCCUUAAAUAAAGGUAAAGACUUAAUUAAAUUUAUAUUUAAAAAAUUAUUAUUAUAAAAUGAUAAAUUUAAUUUGUUAUUAAAUAAUAUUCUUAUAUGAAAAAUUAAUAAAAAAAAUUACAAAAUAUGCUGCAUAUAAACAACUAGUAAUGCAUUUCCUUUCCCAAUUUCCUUUUGUUAUCCUAACCACUUUACCAGCUGGCAGAGAGCCUUCCCUUUCCGAUUUUCUAUUUCCUUUCCUCAUCCCAAUCUCCGAUACAUCCCUAAAAACAACUGACGAUAGAUCGAUGAUGAUGAUGAUGAAGAUGCCUUGGAGGAGCAAGAGCAGGAGCUUCCAUCUUCAGCUACAAGGGGCAAUUGGUACCAUUCAAUCUCCAUUCCUAUUCUUAUUUUUACCAAUUAUUGCCAUUCUUCUACUUCCACACUUGAAGAUGCACGCUUCUUAACAAAUAACUUCAAAUCUGCUUCUUUUACCCGCCUUGAUGAUGCCAUUGCUUCCUUUAAUCAUGUAAUUCAUAUGCAUCCUCUGCCUUCUAGGGCUCCAUUUAAUAGAUUCUUUUCUGCCCUUGUGAAAAUGAAACAAUAUCAUACUGUCCUUUCCAUGUCUAAAACAAUUGAAUUGCUAGGAAUCUCUCACAAUGUUUAUUCUCUUAACAUCUUAAUUAAUUGCUUCUGCCACUUGCACCUUGUGGAUUUUGGCUUCUCUGUUUUCGGCAAGAUGUUCAAAUUCGGAUUGGAGCCUACCACUGUGACAUUUACUACCUUAAUUAAUGGGCUUUGUAUAGAGAGUGAAAUCGAUAAAGCAGUGCAAUUUUUCGAUGAUAUGGUUGCACGUGGUUAUCAACCUAAUGUUUAUACUUACAAUGUGAUAAUAAACGGAAUGUGUAAAUUUGGGAAAACAAAUGUGGCUAUUGGGCUACUAAAGGGAAUGGCUGAUAGAGGUUGUGAGCCAAAUGUUGUGACAUACAAUGCAAUCACUGACGCACUUUGCAAGGAUGAGCUAGUUGAUGAGGCAUUAGAGCUCUUCUCUCAAAUGAGGAAUAAGGGCAUUUCACCUAAUGUCAUCACUUACACUGGUUUAAUUCACGGUGUUUGCAAAUUAGGCCAAAAGAACCCAGCUUUGGCCUUGAUGAAUGAAAUGGUGGAGCAGAACAUAUCACCUGAUGUUUAUACCUUCACUGUAUUGAUUGAUGCUCUUUGUAAGGAUGGAAUGGUUUCAGAGGCUCAAAAUACAUUCAAUAUAAUGAUUCAAAGAGGUGUAGAGCCUAAUAUGGUCACCUACACUUCCUUAAUUGAUGGUCUUUGCAUUUCAGACCAAUUCAAGGAAGCUUUGGCCUUGUUGAAAGAAAUGGUGGGGAGGAACAUAUCCCCUAAUGUUUUUACCUUCAAUAUAUUGAUCGACACUCUUUGUAAGAAAGGACUGGUUUCAAAUGCACAAAAUAUAAUCAAAAUAAUGAUUCAAAGAGGUGUGGAACCUACUGACUCGCGGUUGUCGAAACCGGUCAAAAAUAAUAUUUCUGGUUAUCAACAAUUUACAACUGCAGAUAGUGGUGAAAGGAUUGAAUCCACAGGGAAUUGAAGACUUACCUAUUAUCCUUAUUAAGACCAAUAAACCAAUAAAAUAAACUGAAACAAAAAUAAACUGCAAAAGAAGAAAAUUGAAAACGAGAUAAACUGAAACGAGAUAAAACUGAAACGAGAUAAAACUGAAAUAAGAUAAAACUGAAACGAGAUAAAACUGAAAACGAGAUAAACUGAAACGAGAUAAAACUGAAAUGAGAUAAAACUGAAAUGAGAUAAAACUGAAAGAGAAAUAAACGGAAAGCAAAAUAAACUAAAACGAGAUAAAACUGAAACCAACUAAACUGUAAGUAAAAUGGGGGGGUUUUGAGAUUGAUUUAAUUAAUCUAAAACUGAAAGCAAUAAAAAUAAGGCAAAUAAUAAAAAUAGAGAGAAAUAAAUAAUAAGAAAGAUCUAGUUGAAGAAUUGGAUCCACUUUAGUUAUUGGGAUUGAUCAUUGACACUUAAUUUUCUUUGGGUUGAUUCAAUAGAUUAGUUAUGGAGAUGGAAGACGCUUCUCACCACCAUUAUCUCUCCUUAUGAUUAAACCAAUUAGGGAACGUCCUCUAAUUAAUUACUAAUUAACAAAUUGCCAAGGAACGUUCUUGGGCCUUAGGCAUCAAAACAAUUGUCAAUUGCAUUAAGAAAUAGAGAGAUCCAAUCCUAGCUACCCAAACGUAUGGAGAUAAUGCUAGAUCAUACAAUUUCCUUGGGUUUUAUCCCAAGUGUUCUUAUGUAAGAAUAAUCUAAGCAAUUACGGACUUAAAUCAUCCAAACUAACAUAUUAUUACUUUGCAAUCAAGAAUCAACGUAGAUCUAAACAACAAAGCAAUAUUAAAAUCAAGCAUGAAAUUGCAUAAAUAUUGAACAACCAAAAGUUAAACAAUGUUUGAUCAAGUCUCCCAAUCCAUAAAACAACCAAAGUAUCACCUAAUCUUCAACUAGAAUAAAAGAUUUCAGCCUCUCAUGGCUGAAACAAAACCACAAAUAAAAGAAAAGAAGAAAGGUAGAAGAAGAGAUGUGAAUUUCGUAGGUGUCUCCCAAGGGGAGCUUAAGGGACAUGUAGAGGCUCCUUAUAUGGCUUUUUAUAGUUGAAAAGUGUUGCCCUAGGUCAUACUUACUGCCCAAGAGGUAUUUUCUGCCCAAGUUGUGUCUGAAAAGGAAAGAAUCGCGUUUUUCGGCUUCAGAAGGAAGGCUGCGCACGAAUGCUUUGCGGAAGGAAGUUGGUGCGCGCGGUUUGGUCUCCGAAAGGGAAGGAGCCGCAGAUUGUGCUUCCUAAAUAAGUUUAGAUGCUGACCUUGCUUCCUAAUUAGUGUAGAGGCUGCCCAAGGUGCUGCCCAUGCUCAACUUGUUGCCCAAGUUAUUGCAGAAAAGGAAGGUGGCGCGCAGAUGGCUCUCAGAAGAGGAAAGCGCGCAGAUUGUUUCUGAAUAGGAAGGAUGCACGAAUUUUGGUCUUCAAAAGGGAAGAUAUGCUGUCCAUACAUUUCUUUUUAGGUGGAGCCUCUUUUGAAAUUCGAAUGUUGAACGCAAAAGAGGAAGAGCAUCUCUUUGAGAUCUUGCUGCCUAAAUAGGAAGAUAUGACUGCAGCAGUGUGUGCACAUUUUUGAACAAGGAAAGAAAGAUCUGCGAUUUGAAUUUCAAAUAAUCUUCUGACUGAGCUUUCCUUGUUCGCUUUUGCUUAUGCACUUUCCUCAUUUAAAAACUUUCCUUUUCUGAAAACUUUCCUUAUUUGGAAACUUUCCUUAUUUUGAAACUUUCCUUAUUUGGCACUUUUUGGCAGUUUUAAGAGCAUUUUCUCCAGAUUGUCUCUUUACACCUAAUAUCUGCAAAACAUAAUUAAAACCACAAAAUUAAGCAGAAAAGAUGUAAAUAAACAUCAAGAACAUAAUGAUAAAAUGGACUAAAAUAUGCUCUAUCACCUACUGUUAUCACUUAUAGUUCAUUGAUGGAUGGAUAUUGUUUGGGCAACCAAAUUGAUAAGGCUAGAAAGGUAUUUGAUCUGAUGGUGACCAAUGAAAUGGUUGACAUUUUUAGCUACAACAUUUUGAUCGAUGGAUAUUGUAAGUGCAAAUGAUCAAGUUGCUGCUAAACCCACCAUCUUCCUUGCAAUUUUUUUUUGGGAUGCUACUACAGCCUUAACUUUAGAGCUCAGUCCUAAGAAUGAGUUGAGAA
Molecule: long non-coding RNA, 89303 nt
Filed under: Manihot esculenta (cassava)
Lineage: Eukaryota; Viridiplantae; Streptophyta; Magnoliopsida; Malpighiales; Euphorbiaceae
Description: long non-coding RNA (MESC_LNC005136)
Source: RNAcentral